RNAcentral lists this long non-coding RNA (108301 nucleotides) under Hordeum vulgare. RNAcentral describes it as "long non-coding RNA (HVUL_LNC006854)". Lineage: Eukaryota; Viridiplantae; Streptophyta; Magnoliopsida; Poales; Poaceae. The record is from RNAcentral.
CCCACCAUUGACCUUGCCGGAGUUCACCUCCAUCACGAUGAGAUCCUGUCCCUCUUUCAUAUGUUAGAUUUUCAAUCAGACGACUAGGAUUAGAACACUUAGUUUUAUUUAAACACCAAAACAUUUUUUUAAGCCACGGUUCUCUACCCAUAGCUCUAGCGCACACAGGCCUAAGCCUACCACGGAGCACCACGUGGCCAUAGCCGACCCGUAGUGAUUCCAUUUUUCUGUUUCUUUUUAUUUUUCAGAUGUAGUUUCUGUUUUUGAAUUUGAAUAUCUUUUAUGUUUUAGUUCCUUUUUGAUUCUAUUUGCAUUAGGUUAGAAAUUAUAUAAAGUUUCUGUAGUUUCAAUUUAGUCCAUGUUUGAAAACUUUAAAUCUGAAUUUGAUGAAAUUUGUUCAAGUCACUAAUUUCCUUAUAUGUUGUAUUUAAAAAUAGGUUUUAAUCUCAUUAUUUUUGCUAGUUAUCCGUGGCCUUUUUUUAUCUAGUAGGGUGUUAAAAAUUUCUUUUUGAUUUAUUUAAAUUUGUUUUAUUGCAAAACAAUACUAUUUUGAUUAGGGUUUUGAUUUACCUUCAAUAUUUUGUUUUAAAUUAUUUCUUUUUGUCACUUUUGACAAAUCAUGUUAAGUUUUUGUUAGUCAAUAGUAGACAAUUUUUAUAGGUUUUAAAAUUUAUCUUUUUUUUCUUUUGUUUGUUUUAAAAACUUGUUUAGGUCAUACAUAGAGUUUUAUAAAAGCUUUUUGGUUAAUUAUUUUUGCUAGUGAAAACUAUUAUAAAGUACUUUUUGUUUAUUUCAAUUUUUAUAUUUUCUAUUCUGUUAAUUUGUUGGGCUAGUAUUUUUCUUUGUUGUCAAGUUCUUACUUGGGACAGAAAUAUUUUGUGUGUACAGUUUCUUUUGUAGUUUCUUUAUGGUUUUAUUUUGAAGUUUUAUUUGGAUUUCUUUGAUUUCAUUAUUGUCUUAUUUAUUGCUUUUAUUUGUUGGUUGUUUAUAUGUGUGUUAGAAUUGCUUCUAGAAUAAAUGCUUAUGUGACUGCAAUGUUUGAAUAUAUAGAUUUUCAUUCAGAGGGUGCCGAAUGCUUCUACCAAGUUAUUUUUGAGAGCGAUAUUAAACUUCACAAACUUUACUAGGCAAGUUCAAGUUGUCCAUACGUUCAUACCCUUGUUUGCAUUUAAUGUCACCUUUGCAAUAUUUCCUCCAGUGGUUAUAUUGAAUCUUGUAGUUGGGUAGAAGAUGAGGUAGGAAACCACGCCCCUAUUACUAAAUCCACGAGAACGUUAUUUAUUUUAAUGCUACCCUAUAGUAGACGAGGAUUGGUAUGUGUAAGUGCAUCUAGUGCCCCUUAGUGAUUUUGGUGUAUUGAAAACUUAUCGGUUAAGAGACUAAUGUGUUUGUGAGUGUAAACUUGUCCUAUAAGUCCGUGAGGAGUUUGAUUAUUAGACGGAUGUCGACCCCUAAAAAUCAAUGUCUUCAACUGAAUACUUUGAAGCUUUUUUGAAGACUUUGAAAAUGAAUAAAUUGGCAUGACCUUGAAGAUAUUGAUGUCAGGACUAUGAAGCAUGAAGACAUUUUUUUCGUAGUUUCUUUCCUCUUUUGAGUCAUAGAAAACACCAUACCGUUAAAGGGGGUCGAGGUAAAACUAAGGAACAUUUGCAACUGAUGCUCAUCUCAAAGCCUACGCGUACCCAAUCCUUCAAGUGAACCCUUUGGAAAUAUCUUACACUUUAGUAAAAUUCUUCAGUGACAGGGAUGAUGUUUUUCUACUCACUGAGGAAUUUGGUUUGGAUGAGGAGUUAGGAUUUCGCUAGCACGAAUUUCCUACAAGUCAAGAAUAUGAUAGCACUGAGGACUUUCAUAGUUUGAAAUUAUAAUCGUUGCUAUGGUUAGCGCCAGCUAUCCCAAAAUAUCUUAUCCACAUAACGGUCAUAUCAUUGGGCAUUUAUGUCAUAUCAUAUCGGGUUGCACCCUCACUAUAAAUAGCCACCCCAUAACCACUAGAUGGAUGGCUGCUCCGAGAGAGAACUUGACAAGUGUCAUUUGAGAGCAACCCAUCCUCUGAGGACUUUGAGUGAAAAUCAUUAGUGAGGAAAAGCCCAAAAACCCAAAACCCAAAAUUCCAAAUACCCAAAGUGAUUGAGCAUCACUGAAGAGAUUGUUCCUGUGUGGAACUGAUGCUUGUUACCUUUGAAGACUAUGUAUCUUCCAGACGGUUAUGCAUCAAUGGUCUAGAGAAUCCAAGAGGAAAUUGUGGAUUGCCGGGUGACCGAGAUUGCGAGGGUUUGAAAGUUGGCCCUGAAGACUUACCACCAGUGUUGGGAGAGAUUUGUGUGACCUUAGCUCAAGGUGAAUACGGUAAGGACUGUGUGCCCUGGGACUGUUUAAAUACCAAGGCGCUCCAAACAAGUCAUAUGACUGUCACAUCAGUUGGAACUAGGUCAUAAAAUCAUUGUCUCCACCAAGCCCCUGGUUCUAUUUCCUCAAUCCUUCCAUUUCCUCAAGUACUUGUUGAUGAAAUUAAUCGUUACUCUUUGAAGAAUUUGAUUGAAGAUUUUCUUAACUUUUUCAUCUCAAAUCCUUUAGUCACCUUGUUCUUCACGUGCUUAUCCUGUUUACACGGUACUUGUGCUCUGUGUAUGUUUCAUUUCAUCAUUAUGAAUAUGCUACUUCUAUGUUUUGCAUGCAUUUGAGUACUUAUUCCGCUACUAGUAUUUCAUCGCUUAGCGAAUUCUUCUACUAGUAAUUCUUGAGUGACAAAUUUGUAAACAUUGCCUAUUCACUCCCCUCUAGUCGAUAUAACACACUUUCAGUAUGAGUAUCUCAGAGUGAUGUGAGAAGGAGGAUUCUACGUCAAUAACGACAACUUCAUAAUGGCAUCUUCAAGCCUUACAUCUGCAGGACCUCAAGACUGCAAGACCCGAGACAAGAUGUCAAUACACACUAUUGGGUGGAAUGGUUCCGAGGCACCUUGGAGUAACCAGUUGAUGUGUUGUCAGAUGGAGUAGGCAAGUAUUCAUGUGGAAGGUUCCAUCCAGACUCAAAGAGACGGAUGAAUACUUCAUGUCGAGAAGCUUGCCUGUGCAGCCACAAGUCAUUAUGGGCUCUGGCUUGGUUGAUAUUAGUUGUGACUCUCGCUGGACAAUUGCUAGAAAAUGUAGACAAACAGUAGGCUGGAUGGGCACUUUCAGUGGUUAGGAAAACUCUAUGAAAGACCAUAUUCAUUCAUCCUGUUCUCAAACACCUGAUAGUGCAUGGACAUAAAAGAAGGGAUGAUUCUUGUGGGUAAAGUGCAUAACACUCUGCGGAGUUAACAACCUAAUUAAUUAGCAAUGCCCCUGGUUACGGGCAAUUUGAGCCUCUGGAAUUGGAUCUAUCUCGGAACUCUCAACACCGGACUGAUAAUUAAUUGUGGGCCACUUAUAAUGAUUUAGGCAAUGAGAUAUUGCUUGUGAGAAUCAUGUCAUAUUAGAUAACUAUAUAGUGAAAACUCCUAAUAUUCCUCUGAUGUAGGGAAAAUAAAACCAUCUUUUACACAAAAAAUGAGACAUAGAACCACAAAUCCAUAUUGCAUAUACCAUAGUUUAUCAUCUGCUUUCUUAUUAUGAUCUUGCUUGUAUAUUCAACGUACUGACCUAUGCGACUGCAACGUCUCAUGUUGUAGAUAUUUCUACAAUGACAAAGAGUUAUGAUUUAAGGUUACAGUCUACACUUAAAUUGCCAUUGGCGUUGAUGGGACUCCACCCCCUCAUGAAUGUUUUCCGCUGUGUUACUUAAGGUAUACUAUGGAUCUACAAUAUUUAUUUUACAUGUGAUUUUAUGGUAUUUCAUCGAAGUACUGUGUGUGCCAGCAUACUGAUCUCGGGGUAGCACAGAAAAGAUAGACACUUGACCAUAUUGGGUCGGGUCGCUACAGUUAAACUUUGCAAACUGUGAAUUUUUUAGAGAAUGCUAUUUAUAUCUACCACACCAAAAUGUAUACAAUAUGAAAGUAAAUGUCUGUGAUGUAUCUAAUGAAAUGUAUUUGAAUUCUAGAUGUAUAUGUUUGUAUCUACAAACUUGAUCAAGAUAAUUAAAUGUUGACUUCUCAAAAUAUUUGUCCACGACACAUUGUAGAACUGAUGGAGUAAUAUAUUAGAUCAUUCUACAAUUGCAUUUUAGCUUCUAAUAUUGACUUGCUUCUUGUAGUUACAUAUGUCCUUGGUAUAGAUCCAUGCCUGGACCCUUUUGCGUGUGGGGCAAUGAAAUAUUCAUGAACCAACAUCAAGUGAGGAAAUUGAUAAGAAUUAUUAGGGAAAAGAGAUGACGAUGCCAAUUAAUCUAUUUGUUUAUGCUCUAUCCAAAACAAAAGUGUGUUUUAGGAUGGUGACUACUAACUUUACAUCCUUCUAUUAGUUCUAUCCAUAAUGAGUUGUCACACAACAAUGUCUGAAUAUUUUCUUUUGUAGUUGUUCCCAAAGCAGUUUACUCAAGAUAAUCUCACAAAGUACAAAGUGCAUGAUUGGUGGACGUGCAAUGAAGGUUAAAGUAUUUCAUAGAGACUAUAAUGAGUAUCGAUAAAUCGUAAAAAAGACUGUGAAGGAUGGGUGGGAGGCCAUCACUAGGAGUUGUCCUAGAGUAGUGUGUGCGUUAGGCAUGGAGGAGGGCACAAUUUGGGUAUUCUGCUUCACCUUCUCGAGCAACUAGAAUGUCUUUUGUCCCUCUCUUUACCAUCUUUCACACAAUUGUGGUUCCAUUAUUCUUUAUUUAGUGGUUCUGUAGUUUUCCUUUUUUGCAAAUUGAUGCUUUUGUAGUUCUUGAGUAUAUGUACAUGUGAAUCGAAUUACGCAUUCGCUCUUGAACCUAUAUUUGUACACAUGAUUCGAUAUGAAAUAAAUGUUUCCUACAUUCGAAUUUAAAUUAUGUGAAUUUCGAACACAAGUAUUAAAUUAGGGAUAAAUUAUGCUUUGAAAGCCAUUACAAUGCACACAGUUUGAGAAAGCAGAAUAUUUAUGAUCAACUUCAAGAUCAGACAUGUUUCUCCACUCGCAAUGUGUGUGAUGAAUCUCUUUGAUAUCUCCUUUUUAUAGAUCCAAUGUUGGAACAUAAAAGGGAAUCUCGUGCAUGUUUCCCUAGAGGUGACCCUGGGUAUUGAAUCCACGAGAGGAAGAUUCCCUUGAAGCAAUGGUCUCUAGCAAGCUUUUACCAAAAUGUCAAAUCCAGCUUUUGACCGCAUCAACAAGCAAAUUUUGAUACAAACACUCAUAAUAAAAACAGGUACGGGUAUGAGGUCUUAAUGCUUAAAACCAUGUAUUUGCAUUGGAAACAAAAAGGAUAUUAGUUUAUGCUUGGGAAGUCACCCAUCAAGAUGUGCUUGUUUCAUAUCGAAGCGGGGGAUGUGUCCAAGUAAUAUCUUAAUCGACACGAGUCCUGCAUCAGGAAUCGGUUGUCCUACCGAAGGCCAUAUACGUUUCACACGGUUGCCCCUAUAAUUAAGAUAAUAAUAACAGAAAAAGCAUUGGGUGUUUAAUGAUCACACCUCAUGAAUACCCAAGGAUAUGAUUCAUGUUGUCAUACUAAACCUUAUUUUCAAUGAUGUACGGUAUACCACAUCAUGGUCCCAUUGCUCCUAGCCUCACCGGUGCUCAAUAUCCAUAAUCAUGGAUACCUGCAUGGAUGAAGAUCGCGGACAAGACAAGAGACACUUCAUGAAGAAAUUUUACUUCACACAUAUGGGACGUCAUGUCAAAGAUUUCCAUUGAUCCCCUCAACAAUCACUUAGGGUUGCAAGGCUCAUGCCUCAACCCAUACCUUAUGGAACUACUCACACAAGGAGAUCAGAUUGCGAGAAGAAGACAUUGAAGAACACAUCUUGGGAUUGACUGAUUGCAAUAUGUCUUACAAUGGAUGCCUUGUGCGAUGUGCAAUUACAAGUAUGAACUAGAUGAGAGAGCACUAUGGUGGUGGAGAUGGCUAUGGAGAUGAAAAUGGCGGCGGCUAGGGUUUAUGGAUGAUGAAGAGGCUCUGGCUAUGCUUGACGCUGUUUUGUUGGCAUUUCGACGGGUUCCCCUUUAUAUAUGUUGUUCAGGUGGAUGACUUGCCUCAGCUUCCACGACAAACGACCACGCAUACAGGCGCUUGCGCCCGUAUGGAACACCGUCCUUUGCUUUGAUUAACUUCUCGCGCCUCCCAUUGAUUAUUUUUUCCUUUAUUUUCCUUCCUUUCCAUUCCUCCAUGUGAUUUCUUCCCUUUUUAGCCCAUUUGUUGUAGGAAAAAAAUUAAAGAGAGGAUUUGUGGAAUCCUUUACAUUCAUUAGUCAUUAGUAGCAAUAUCGAAGCGAAUAUCUCUCUUUUAGUGAAAUAUCUCAGUUUAAACAAGGGUGAAAUGAGUGUAAAAAUAUCACUCAUCACUCUAGUGCACACACGAUCAGCCAAGAAAUAAUCUGUGAUAUUAACAACACCAACACACACUGUUAGUUGUUAUCAAGUGUUUGUGAUAGUCUCCUUAUGACACACAAUUUAGUAUCGUGAACUUUUUAUGAUGUCGUUCACAUCAUAAAUACAGGUCAUAGAAGAAUGCAUGUGAUAAUGUCGGGAUAUUCCAGACUCAUCAUGUCUGAAGUGAAAGGUUUGCAACACAAUUCGAUGAUAUAAUGUUGUGAGAUUCUCGGGAAAUGAACCAUGGAAGCCAGCUCCAAAACAUGAGUUGGAUUGCAAGAUACUUAUGAACAUAAUGUCUAGAACGAUCGUGUCCACAUGGAAAUCUUACAACAAAACACUACCGAGUUUAGGUUUGUAGCCAUCAUGAGGAAGUUGAAGUCCUUACAUAAGUACGGAUUAGCUCUUAAGAAGGAACUUCUUUUCCUUCAGCAAAUCAAUCAGUGGCUUGGUGUGCUAGGAGAUACAUAUGGAAUGGAUAUGAUUAGUCUAUCAAACCAUAGAAUACUUCGCACGUGCGUGACUGACUUGGGAUGACUCCAAAGAAACCAAAACGCGCUUCUCAAAUUCAUGGCAGCAACUUGCACCAAAUGCACAUGAAUUUAAAGGAAGUCAAUUGUUAUACCUAACAUAUACUUCAUGUACAAGAAACGAAGAUAUUGCCUACAAAGUUUCCAACACUAGCUUAAUGUCCACCAUAAGUUAUGGAGAAGACAAAGGUGUUUCUCAUGGGCUCAACAAUAGUUCAUCGAAAUAUCCAUACAGAUGGAAUUCCGCAACUCACGUGAGCAAGGUGAUAGCAUUGGUCAGAUCAAAGGAUAUAAGGGUGUAUGCUCAAGGAAAUCCACGAGUAAGACACCAUUACAAAGAACUUUGGUUCUGAGUUUGAUUUGAUGAUAGCCCAUACUGAAAUAAAAAAUUAGACAAGAUAAUAGAUGCAACAAAUGAUCACACAGAUCAGUCCAUGGAAAUAUCAUCUUUCUUCAACACACACACACCCACUCACACACAAGAUAUUCCUUUGAAAUGAACUAAGUUAGGCAAUGCUUUUAUCUUCCAACUCUCCAAGUUGUUGUUUAGCUUAACCAACUACUUUUAGGGUAUCCAACAUAAGUCCUUAGAGAAAGGGUGGUUUAUAGGAAAACCAACUUGGUCACGACCUCAACAUAAUGGUCGGGGGACAACCUCAUAAUACUUCCGAGAAGAUAUUCAGAAAAUCACGGACCAUCGUAUGUUAUUAAGCUUGAGAACAAUCUUGCUUUUCAGGGCAAGAUGAUGUGAUCGAGAGAGCAAUGAAUUGACACAAUCUUAACUCAUUGACCAAAGAGUGCACCAGGAAAAUGGACUAGGUAGCACGAUCAAACUUAGAGUGGUGAUUCAAUGACCAUCACACUAGGAAUGAGAUUAUUGUCCAUUAACUUCCAAGCAAUGAGAUUCCUAGGAGUAUUGAUUUCAUACAUCAUGAUUCAUUUCUCGGUAUUCUGGUUACAAAUAGCACAAAGACGGAGGAAUGAAUAAUGAUGGUAAGGAGUAUCACUUCUUCAAGAGUUCGUAAGAGAUGGUGCAAUUCUCACAACAUCCUUCACAUAAAAGGGUAAUACUCCAAGGUAGUACAGAACAAAAGAUGGAUUGGCAUUUUGAUCUGCGAAAUACAAGUGCUUUGACCAAAUCCAAGAAAUGGAUGAGGCACUGGAGUUUGUUUCUUCUAGUCAUUCUGAAAUAGAGUGACUUGAAGGACCACAAGAAUAAUAUGCAUCCAUGAACAUGAAUGCACAACUACUCUUGACCAUCGACUGAUUGGUAAAGGUCGGAAUACAAUUGAAGAGGGGAAACUCAAGAGCACAUGGCUUCUCUAAGUUGUAGAUGCAUAGGUUAGCAUGUCAUACGAGUUCAACAUAAUUCUUCUGGAUAACCCAUGUAGAAAGGUAGGAUUGGCAGAGUCACAAUUAGAAAGGAGAACUCAUCGAGCACUAUUAUUGUGAUCAUUUAGUUCAUGAAGAACUUAUGCCAUGAUAGUUCAUGGUAUUAGAAUAACGAUAUACCAUGGGCCUCGAGGACUAGAAGAAAGUUACCACUGUAAAGGCACGAGCAAACACUAUCAACAGGAGUGAGCAGAAUGAUCCUCGGGUUUAAGAACGCGGAGAUAGAUUACCAACUACUAUAUAACAUCAUAGGAUGCUUUAGAUAAUGAGGGCCAUAAUCAUCAUACUGGGAACACAAAGUACAAUAAGACUAUUGGGUGGUUCUCUUAGAUAAUAUGGUUUCAUAACACCUACAACAAAUACGUCGAGGUAAUAGAGUACAUCAACACAAUAAUUAGUGUGCUUUGUCUGGCCCAAAAGACAUUAACUCGAUAUGAAAGGAUUUUCAAAUGCAUCAGAUUAUUCAUAAACCUGGAUAACUCGGACAACAUAAUGGUUGUAUGGUCAUGAAAUAUGAAGCAACCUGCAUCAAAGCUGAAAACAUAACAACUUUCCAAGAAUACAACAACUUUCCUAUAGGUCUCUAACAUAGUAACUCGUCAUCUAGAUAGAUAGAUAAGAAAGCCUAGUUCUUAAACCACUUAGAAUAAAGAAGAGUGUGACUUAGAAUUAGAAUGACACAAGGAUAGGAGUAAAAAGAGUCUUACAUUCCCUUCCACAAUCAAUUCCCUUAUAUAACUAAGGGAGUACUAGACACAACAUCAACCAGUUUGGCUUGGUAAUCCUACAUGCACUCAAGCUAUGAUACCAACGCUGUCGGGACCCCGAUCCUAAGACAUAUGAAUCUAGCAUGUAACACAACAUAUCGCUUUCCAGCCUCACACAUGGUAAACUCCAUGGCUUACAGCUUACUUUGGCCGCGACCGUUUGCGUAUUUUGGAUCACGUAUAUGAAUGUGUUGCUAGAAAUCAUGUUAGAGAAACCGGGUCGACAUGACUAGUUAUAAACCCAAGUGGCACAUCCAUACAGGGACAAACAUAUGUAACCCAGCAAUACACGUGUUGGUCAGCAACUGCGUGUAGACAAGUCAUAGCAAGCUACAUGGACUCCAUUACACCGUCAGGCAUUUCUAUCACCAACUGCGUGUAGACAAGUCAUAGCAGGCUACAUGGACUCCGUUACAUCAUGUGCCAUUUCCCCCGUGGGAACACACACAACAAUAAAGAAGGAUACACGCCAGUCAAUCAUUGUGUCUAGAGCAGUAGCAAGCUACCAUGAAUCAGUGGAAGCAACAACAAAGAGGCAUUUCCCUGGAAAGAGGGCUACUAAACGCACACAACUUGGCGUUGAAUCCCACACAUACAAUACAUUUCAGAACAUACACGCAAUAUGCACAAUAUGUGUAGAUACAACAUGGCAUCACAACACAACUCUAUGACUCAAGCAUUUAUUAAAGACUCAUAAGAGCCAACAUAGUGUGAUAUUACAAACAGGGGUCACAUGACCGACCACUCAAAGUCAUACAAGCAUCAAGAGGAAGCAUAACAUGUCUGGGUACAGACAUCUACUAAAAGUGGCUGGAGGAGCCUAAAAAUCUACAACGACCCUACCAAAGGAGCCAGACCUCUGUCUGGGAUUCCCAAGCUAACCCCGGUCAACAUCGAACUUCGCAUAGAAAACUAAUAGUGAGACUGAAGUCUUGCCUGCAAAAACAUAAAUUAAGCAACAGUGAGUACAAAGGUACUCAACAAGACUUACAUCAGAACUAUCUACAAAUGCAUCAUUAUCAACAGUGGAGUUUAUUGCAGCAAGCCAUCUUUGACUCUUGGCUAACCUGUACUACAACUACAAGUAGUAUCUUUGAGGUGGGAUAGCGCACACGAGUCCACAUAUUCACCAAAUCAAUAGACCACUAUGGAUCCACUCCCCAUCUCCCUAUGAGAAGGCCAUCCAUAGCACUCACACUUAUCUUGCGUGUUUCGAGUAUCCUUUUCAAGUUGUCUAUGUACCACAUAAUGUUUUCCAAGUGGUCCAUAUUCGCGGACGCGGCUAUUCGAAUAGAUGAAUUAACCCUGCACGGGUAUACUUCUUCACACAUGCUCUCACCACUUAUCACCAUAUGCAUGUCAUGCAUCUCAGCAACCUUCAAGCGGAAGCACUAGUGUGGGCAUCGGCCACGACCUCACAAACCACAUAAGACUCUAGUCCAGGUUUAUUGCCUAUUUGAGACUGAACGCGCAAGGAAGUUCGGCCGAAGUUUCCAUUACGACCCAAACGAUGUGUACAGGGUUCCCAAGCCCACCUCGACGAAUGGUUCUAUGCUUGAUACACCUGGCCAUGUGCAUAUACCGUGCCAUAGCCUACCUCUCCGGUCAGCUCUAUGCACGGCCGCCGGCAUAUCCUACAACCACAAAAACUAGUUGCAACACCUAGACACGGGUAAGGCGAUUAAUAAGCCAAGAGAUUCAAUUAAGGAUCCGAAUGUGUGGUAGUAUCUUCUCUUGGAUAACAUACAUAGAACUCGGGUCUUAAGGACGGUCCGAAUGAGACAACCCACCAUGUACUCCUACAUGGCCUCUCAACGCUACCUUUACCAAAUCGGAUUCACACACUUUACUCUCACACGGUAGGACAUCAACACAACCAUUAUAAUUCAUCACCCAGAUGGAUCAGACCUGACACAACUCUAAGAAUAGAAGGCACAGUAAGCAAGCAUGGAUGAGUAGGCACAACAAGGCUCAAGCAGUUGCUACUCAUGCUAAGUGGUUUCAACUAUUUACUGUGACAAAGACAAGUCAUGCAAAGGUACAGGUUCAACUAUCGGGAACAGAUAACAGCUGAAUUGUUGUUGUACUAGUGCAGUAAAAGAGAGCAGGAGCGAGAGAGUGGGUUUAUAUCAGUAUGCUCAAGGGGCAUGGGGUGCUUGGUUGGCACUUCUGAAGAUAACAGUGAGUCUUCAUCAGUGACAUCGAUCUUAUCGUUGGAACCACGUCUGUCGAGAGGGAAAACACCGACAAAUAGGAAAAGAACAAACAUUUACUUCGCGGAAAUGCAACACUAUGAUGCAUGAUCAUCACAUGGCAAUAUGUUGUUGUUUGAGCUAAUGCAUCUAGAACAACAUUAAAUGAAGUUGGUUUGAACAAAAGAUUCCAAUUCAAACUUCAUACGUGGUUAUGUAAAUCUCAUUUAUAUGUUUAGUCCUAAACAAAUGGCAUAAGUUGUUCUAAUAUGCAUGAAAAUGCCAUAAUAAGAUUUAUUGGAUUUUUCUAAUCACUUUCAUACAUAAUUUAUUUUCAUCAGAGCUAUAGAUUAUUUUCUAUGAAUUUUCUAAGUUUAUAAUACUUUUUGGAAUUUUCAGAAUAAUUUAAAAUAGAUUUAAUCCAGAAAAUACUUUAUUGCGUCAGCAGUGUGUCAUGAUGAUGCUAGGUGGUCAACUAACCUGGUCCUGGUCAGAAUUGAUAGUUGGGAUCCACUUGUGAGUGAAUUAUUUAUUUAACGAGAGGUUAAUUAUCUUAACUAAAUGCUUAACCUAAUUAAACUAGUGGCUGGUCCCACCUAUCAUUGACACUGGGGUGUCAAAUCUUGGUUAGCCGGGGUCAUACUAGCUGGGGUUUACCCGCGGCUCGUCGCCGGCGAAGCCACAGACGACGGAGGGCAUCGGGUUUUACCUACAUGCGACGGUUUCGAGCGCAGAUUGGCUCUACAGAGAGAUGGGACCGAGUCACAUCUAUUGGUGGAGGAGCUGGACCAAGUGGUCGCCGGAAUCAUGGUCGGCGAUAAGGCGAGCGGUGGCGGCGGCUUGGCCUUGCACCGAUGCUGGGCUACAUAGAACGGGCGAGCUGGAUGAGGGUCCUUGCAGCUUCUAUAGAGCUCCAGUAGCUCGGUUUUGAGCUUGGACGCGCCUGGUGCUAGCCAGAACAAUAGCGGCGCCGUGGCCGGCGCCGAGGGAUCUCAAAGCUCGUGGUGAAGUGGCUAGAGAAAGAAUACGAGAGGGGUAAGGAUGAGCACGAGGAGACUCACACAGCUCUCCUGGCGGGGAGAUGGUGACAUGGGGAAGGCCGCCAUCACGAAGCAGGAGGUGACGCUCCCGCUCGUGUGUUGUCUCACCCUCUCCCUACUCGCGAGAGGAGGGAGAUGACUGGCAGUUGGGCCCGGGGAACUCCCUUUGCCACUUGGGCUGCAUAGGUAAGCGUGAGGUAACUUUCCCUUCUUCCCUUUUUGUUUCUUUUCUAUUUUCUGUAAUAUGUUUUGGUUUGAAAAAAUAUCCAACCACUUUCAAAACUCCUAAAAUUUAUAUGUGGGAUGAAUGGACUUUUCCAAACACACAUCAUAACUUUGAGAGUUAUUGGACAUAUAUCAUAUAUAUAUUAGAUAUAAAUACAAUGCAUAGUUAUUGGUUUAAAUCAAAUUCCCAAUACAAAUAAUCAUGUGAGUCCAAAAAUAUUGGUUUGAAUUUUACCUCUUGCAAAUAUUUUCACGGAAUAACAGGAACAUUUUCUUGGACUUAUUUGAAGCAAUUUUGUCUUGAUUAUUUUGACAAAAAUGAUUUCCGAGGCUUGCUAAAUCCCCAAUUCAAUUCAUUUUAAUUUUAAAAUACAUGCAUGAAAUGCAAUGACAAGCAAAUCUAAAUUAGGGCUGUGACAGAGAGACCUUCAACGGACAUGGGUAGUACGAAUAAAAUGUUUGGGACAUUUUAUAUACCAGAAACGUUUAUCAAUAGCACAAUGUGUGGGAUAGAUUCAACCUUCCCAUAUGGUUUUAUAAGAUAAAUGUAUGCACUCUUAGAUCCCAUUACAGACGAUCUCGUAGAACUAGAUGUGUGUAAUAGUCCCCUUAUCAUACAAAUUUUACAAUCACAGAUUAAUUGUGACGCGGCUCACAUCGUAAAUGGUGCAUCACAGAAUAGCUCAUGCCAUGGUAAUGCAAUCCCAUACGAGUAGCAAGGAUGUACCAUAUGGGAAAUAUGACAUAUCUCAAAUGGUUGACCGAUGAAUCUUUUUUGUGAUAGAUGCACACAUCGCAUCCGCUCACUUAUGCCAUACAUUUGUGUUCUUGUUCCAUAUCACCAACGAUUUCUUUUGUAUCGUGUGGUAUGGACCCCCCCUAUCGCACAGACACGCAUAGCGACUGUUUAAAACUCUUUCGUGGAAAGGGGGUAAAAUUGUUUGUAUGCGACGUCGUUGCACCAGUGUGUACGUUCAGGCAUGGAAGUGGAGGACUACGCAAUGUGAUUUAGCAACGGAGUAAAGCGGAAUAGUUGGCACAAAUUCAAUAUGAACAUGGCGACAUUCACCGAUAUGAUCCACAAUUGGGCCUUGUGAUCGAGUUCGGGAUUAAGGGAUCCUCGGGAAGUCGGCUUACUAUGAAGAGGUCGGCCUGAUGGGCCGUACAAGUUGGAGGCCGGGUUGUGUGGUUGUCUCGUGCUCAACCAGGAAAGCGUUGAAGACCGGUGUGACGUCCAAGUAAUGUAUAUCAGGUCGGUUCUAUGUAACCUAGGUCCCCUGGUGAUUAUAAAAAUUGGGGGUCCUCAUCCAUGUAGAUAGGUUGAUUCACCUAGGGUUUAAUAUACAUGAUCUUGAGGUAGACUUUGUAAUCAUCAUCCACAUCAAUAUAAUCAAUCAUGACGUAGGGUUUUACCUCCUCAAGAGGGCCCGAACCUGGGUAAACACUGUCUCCCCCUCUUUCCUGCAACCCAUCGAUCUAAGAUCCACAGUUCGGGACCCUCUACCCGAGAUCUGCUGGUUUUGACGCCGACAUUGGUCCUUUCACUCAGAGUUCCACUGAUUGGAUCACCGGAAGGUCGAUGGCAGGCCUAGUAAUCACCGAGGAGAUCAUCAACAGGGAUGUCUUCGUCCCCGGACAAAUCUUCACUUUUGGAAGCAUCAUUCUGCAUGCCAAUCCGACCGGCCACCUCAGCCUGGUCGAGAACUUCGCUCCAGUCAGGAAGUCAGGUUUGGAACCUAGAUUUCACCACUGACCCCAGGGGAUAUCUUGCAUUAACAAGACUCUUAGCACCUCUCGAAGAACCAACGGGUCCUGAUACUUCGGCAUCGGAAACCGCAAAUCUCACCACUGGGACGACCUGCAUCCCCACCCUGGCCCUAGAGCUCGACAUGGUAAACACGCAUGAGCUCGUCUCAGCCGAGGACACUCUGGAAAUGACCUUCAGCGCCAUGGGUUAACCCCCGAACUAUUAAGCGUCACGUGCUCCACCGAAACCUCGGUGCUACACGAACUACUCGAUUAGAUAGACGUCAUGGGCAUGAAGAAAGAUCAUGCUACAGUCUACGAUCAUAUCGGGCUUAGACACGACGGCAGGGAAAUUUACACCCUGCCCAUCACAUACUUGGUCAAGAUCGUGAUUACGCGCUCCCCGCACUAGCCACCAGAGUUGAGGACAGUUUAUUUCCCAAUGAAUGACCAUCCGGACUUACCCGAUAGUCCGAAGAACUAACCUCGCCCGGGUAGUGUCUUGGGGCCAGUGGCAGGUCCAGUGCGUGACCCAGCCGGGAAUGUGACCAUUAAGGUCUCUUGCCCACGAAUCACGGGAAUUCAAAAUCUUUUCCCACCAACCACCCAACUCGAGCACAACGCAAAAGAGUAUGGUUCUUAAGCCCCACGUGAAGCCACGCAACGGGCGGGGGAAUCAGUACACCACUUUUGGGCUAGAUUCCUCCUCAACAACAGGAAGAAGUCUGCGAUGAGCAGGAGCUUAUUCGUGCUUUCCAGCAUGAUGGCCGUGAUGAGGGUAUCCUGAAUGCCCUGUGCCAUCGUUGGAUUCAAACCCUCACCGACUUGUCAAGCCUAGUACUCAAAUACUGUGCCAUGGAAAGCAGUUGGCAAAUACAACAAAUGUGCAAUGGCCCUACAAUUGUCGGACAAACCAUACAACCCCGAACAAGACGUACACCCUUACUCACGGGGCUGGUCACCACCGGACACUCAACAAAGAGAACACGAACGAGGGCUAAGUCAGUCUUGGAUGUACUAAUAGACAAGCCAUGCCCCAUACAUUCUGCCCCGCCUGAAUCAAGCUCCACCCAUAGCCUUAGAGCAUGUUGGGUCGUCAGGCACGUACCGGCGGAGCACCGGUCAGUAAUUCCACCAGAUACAUCCACAGAAAUCUUAACGAUCUACAAGACGUUCACCUCAAAAAAUCAAUGAAAGAGAGCCUUUCAGGAGCUCCAUCAAAUCCACCAUGUAGCAGUGGAAAACCCAUGGACGAACACACCUAUCACCUUUUACCACGGCGACAAGCCGAUGACUAGCACAGGUCGGGUACCUGCCUCCCUACUCCUGAACCCCAUAGUCGACGACUUUAGACUCAACAAAGUACUGAUGGACGGGGACAGCGGCCUCAACCUCAUCUACAAGGAAACACUUGAAAAAAUGUAGUUCAACCAAUCUCGAAUAGAGACAAGCACAACCAGCUUCCGGGGUAUUGUCCCCGGCAAAGAGGACCGCUGCACCAGACGAGUAGCGCUCGACGUGGUAUUCGGUACACCUGAUUACUACAGAUCUCAAGAGCUCCUCUUUCAUGGCAUCCCGUUCCAUAGCGGUUACACCGCAACGUUCGGACGCGAAGCCUUCACAUGAUUCCAGGCCAUACCAUACUACAAGUACAUGAAACUCAAAAUUUGAGGGCCAAAUAGAGUGAUUACAGUAAACAGCGACCCCAAAAGAGCCCUUUGACCUGAAAACAAAAUGGCUUCCCUAGCAUGGAGGUUCUAGCGGAGACCCUACCACAGAAGAACUCAUAGCACUACGCGCCCUGGUGGACAAAGACGACGUGAUCCUCAGCAAGUGGCCCAAAUCCACAUCCUUCAAACCUGUCGAUGAAAUCGACAAGCUCCACGUACACCCAACGGACCCAGUAAAACAACAUCUAUCGGGGCACAACUGGAGUACGAAAUCUACAAAGCACUACGGACCUUUUUGCGCAAAAAUUGGGAUAUAUUUGCCUCGCACCUCUCAGACAUGCGAGGAAUUCCUCUGGGGCUGGCAGAGCACAGCCUGAACAUAAUCACCGGUUUCAAACUUGUCAAACAGGCCUUGCGCCGAUUUUCUGAACUUAAGCAUCAAGCCAAGAGUGAGGAGCUUGCCAAGCUAUUGGAAGUCGGGUUUAUUAGGGACAUUAAACACCCCGACUGGUUAGCAAACCUGGUCAUGGUACCAAAGAAGGAUAAAUCUUGGCGGGUAUGUGUCGAUUUCAAAGACCUAAACAAAGCCUGCCCCAAGGAUCCUUUUCCGCUGCCCCGAAUAGACCAAAUUAUCGAUGCUACACCCAAACAAGAUUCCUUGUGUUUAAUCGACGCCUACUCCGGUUACCAUCACAUGAAGAUGAAGGAAUCUGAUCAUGCGGCAACCUCUUUUAUAACACCCUACGGGCCAUUUUGCUGUAACACAAUGCCAUUCGGGUUAAAAAAUGCGGGCGCCACUUACCAAUGCAUGAUCCAGACAUGCUUGGGGAAACAAAUCGGCAAAAUGGUAGAGGCAUACAUGGAUGAUGUAGUCGUUAAGGCUAGAUACGUCAACCAGCUGGUGGACGGCCUCAAAGAAACCUUUGCCGACUUACGGGCAUACGAUAUUCGGAUUAAUCCGGCUAAAUGCGUCUUCGGAGUCCCACUCGGUAAGAUCCUCGCAUUUAUCAUGUCGAAAAGAGGAAUUGAAGCCAAUCCGACCAAAAUAUGAGCAUUGUCAUAGCUUGCGAUGCCAACAGAGUUACAACACGUCGAAAAGUUCGCAGGGUGUGUGGCGGCCUUAAGACGAUUUAUAUCUCGUCUCGGCGAGAAGGCCCUCCCGCUCUAUAGGUAGCUGAAGAAAACCAAAGAUUUCAAGUUGACUAACGAGGCCAGAACGGCUCUAGAGGACAUCAAGGCGAUAUUAGCCAGCAACCCCAUACUAGCAGUGCCCUUCACAGGGGAGCUGAUGCUACUAUACAUCUCAGCCACCAAUAAAGUUGUUAGCACGGUACUCGUCGUAGAACGAGAAGCUGAGGGCCAACAACUACGGAUUCAAAGGUCGGCCUAUUAUGUAUCCAAAGUGCUCACACCAUGUAAAACGAGUACCCGCACUACCAAAAGAUCGCCUACAUAGUCUUUAUGGCAUCACGGAAGCUUCCACACUAUUUCCAAGAAUGUGCGGUCACUGAAACUUCAGAAGUUCCAUUGAACGAUAUCAUCAACAAUAAGGAUGCCACCAACCUAAUAGCCAAAUGGGCCAUCGAGCUCUUGCCAUUCGAGAUCACUUACAAACUGAUACGUCCCAAACGUAUCUAUAAUUUCUGCUUGUUCCAUGAUCUUUUGGGUGACAUUGUUAUAUGUUUUGCUACACUUUUAUAUCAUUUUACACAUAUUUGGACUAACCUACUAACUCAGUGCACCCAGUGCCAGUUUCUGUCUACUGAUGUCUAUUUUGCAGGGGCUUUUACCCAAUUUUCCGAAGCCCGAAAAAAUCCAGAAAUAUAUAUAUAAAAUCAGAGAAAUGGAAGUUUCCGGAUCACCAAAGAUGGGCCACAGGGGGCCAGGGGGUCUCUUGGGUGGGUCCCACCUCCUCCGGUGCCCUCCUUUGGCCUAUAUUUAGAGUCCCGAGAGGAAACCGUCGCAGACUUUCUGGAAUCAAGAAUUUGUCCAUCGUUCCGCCGCCGCAGCGCUUCUGAGAUCGGGAGCGUCAAGAGACCUCAUCCCGGCACCCUGCCAGAGGGAGGAUUGACCUCCGGGAGCUUCGCCACCGCCACGGACGCUUUCUGGACGUGUCGUGAGUAGUCCUCCUUGGACCAUGAGUCCAUGACCAAUAGCUAUGUGAUGUCUUCUCUCCAAUUUUGUGCUUCAAUGGUUAGUCCUUGUGAGCUGCCCUACAUGAUCAAGGCAUCUAUGUAACUCUCUUGGAAUUUCUAUGCUCGGUUUGUUGGGAUGUGAUGGAUUACGAGAUUAUGUUCAGAUUGUUAUGAGUUAUAUAUUUGAUUAUCCUUUUAUAUUAUGUUCCUUAGUGAUUCAUGCAUGUUCUUCAUUGCUAUUUAUCGCUUCGGCCAAGUAGUAGAUUAUAAGUCCAAGAGGGAGCGUUAUGCAUGAUUGUGGGUUCAUAACCCUCGAUGUCUAGCUUGAGUGACAAAAACAUGAGACUAGGGGACAUGCUUGUUGCCACCAGGGAGAAAACAAUGGUGCUUGUGACCGCAGUUGCAAGGAUUGUUUACCUUACGCAUAGUUCGUUAAUGCAGUUGUCCGUUGCUUUGAGUUUACACUUCGGGUGGGGCUCGCAACUUAAUACCGGAGAGAUGUUCUGGAUAGAUAUCUCAAGGUGGAUGAUUAGUAAGUAGAUGUUGAUGAAUAAAUGGUCUACUUGUCUUGGCGUACUACCCAUUACUAUUGAACUCUAACUAUCAAGGAGCAUAAUUAGCAUUGCGGUGCGGUCAUAAUUCUGCCAAUUGCCCAACUGUGAUUUGUUUACCCUAGCAUAGUUGUUUAUCGCCUUUUGGGAGAGACAUCACCAGUGAACAUCAUGUGACUCCGGUCCAUAUCACCAUCAUUGUUUACACUUCCAUCAUUUACUGCUUUCAUUUAAUUUUCCGCUGCAAUCACUAUUACUUUCCCGCUUGUGUUUUGAUCCUUUGCAAACUACAAGGCCGGAGAGAUUGACAACCUCUCUGUACUAGUUGGGGGCAAAGUUAUUUGUUGUGUGUGUAGGUACACGUCUUCUGCUAGCGCCAUGGUGGAAGACACCUACUUGUUGAGCCUAGGAGUCCUCUUGGUUCGAUAAACCUUACAGUCUCCGUGUAAGGGAAAUCUUCUACUCACUACAUGUCCACCUUCCACUUGGGGUAACCAACGAGGGGCGAGAAGUAUAUCCAUCAACUCAUCAUCAAGCAAAUUUCUGGCGCCGUUGCCGGGGACUCUAGUCUUCAAGAUUGGGGAGUUGCACGCUAUCUUUUACCUUUGCUUUUUAGUCUUAUUAGUUUGCUUUCCAGUUUUUGCUUUCUAGGUUUUGCUUUAGUGUCUAAUACCAAAAAACCACAAAAAAUUAGUUGCUUUGUUCUUGCUUGUUGUUGCUACUAUGGGUUCCACUGAGAACACUAAGUUGUGUGACUUCACUAGUUAGGCUUAUGGAAAACUGCACUCUUAGUUCACUGCUUGGGGAAGGCCGCUUAACCACACCCGUGGUAGAGAAGUCUCCUCCACCUACUGAAUGUAUCCCAUUCAAAAUACCACUUGGGAUAAUUGAAAUAAUUAGGAAUGAUUGUUAUGCAUGAGAUGGAACAGUCAAUCCUAGUAUUCAUUUGUUGAAACUUACAGAACUUUGUGAGUUGUUUAAGAUUUCAGGUUUGACAAGAGAUGGAGUCAUGAGGAAAUUAUUUGCCUUGUCGCUGAAAGGAAAAGCAUUGGAAUGGUAUAGGCUACUAGAUGAUUCUCACCUACGGGAUUGGGAAGAGAUUCAAUCUCUCUUUUACUCUUCAUGAAGUCCAUGUGGAUCAUGGUAACAAUGCUUUAUGUGAUACUUAUAUUGUUGAGUUUAUUCAUGAUCUCACUGAAAAUUAUUAUGAGAAGGGAACAUAUGCUUAUAGAUAUUUCAAUAAUAUAAAAUUCCCUCUCUUUAUGUUGAAGGUUUUGAAGCUACACUUGUUUUGCCUUCCUAUGCUUAUUGCUUUGUGCUUCAAUGAAUUAUUCUAUUACAAUGUUCCUAUGCAUAGGAAGCAUGUUAGACUUAAAUGUGUUUCAUAUUUGCUUCUUGAUGCUCUCUUUUGUUCUACAACUCUUAUUCCUACGAGAGCAUUAUUAAAAUCUUUAGCCUGUCUUUAUGGCUAUAAAGAAAGAGCUCUAGGUAGACAACCCUUGUUAUCUUUACUUUGAGUUUUUAAUUUUAGUUUUAUUGGUCUUGAUGUGUAUUACUACCGUAGAAACAUCAUUGUAUCUUUAUUUAUAAGCUUUGUGCCAAGUUAUAGCCUCCGAUUGCAAGAAAUUUCAAAAGUUGUGACGUACUUUCCAAAAAUAGAUUCUGUCUGCUUGACGGAAAAAUUCGCCAAAACUCACCAGAUCAUCUUUCUGAUCUGAAUGUUUUUGACAGUAUGCUAUAUAUAAUUGCCUCUCUUGCAUAUAUUCUGAGUUUUUUUAUUUGAGUUGCAGAAGCGCCCCGAAAAAUUUAUUUACUACCCGUUGUUCUGUUUUUCACAGAUUCUGCCAUGUUUUGCGUUUUCAAUGUUUUGCAAAUCCUAAGCUUAGUUUUUCUUGCAAAAACCUUUUGGUAAUCAUGAUAAGCGGUAGAUUUUCACGAAAAUAUUUAUUUACAACAGGAAUUGAAUUAUUUUAUUGAGGGAACUAACCACUCUAAUCAGCUUAUGAUGAGUUUCGUAUGAAGGGAGUUUUCAAGUAUGCGAUGGGACAGAUGAUGAAAGAAGAUACAGGGGUGUCAAGCGCUCAAGCUUGGGGAUGACCCAUGCACCCUAAGAAAUAUUCAAAGGAUACUCAAGCGUCUAAUCUUGGGGAUGCCCCCAUGCAUCCCCUUCUCUAUCAACAAUCAUCAGGUCGUCCAUCUCCAUGCUAUAUUUUUAUCACUUCAUAUGUUAUGUGCUAUGCUUGGAGCGUCCCGUUAUUUACUUUUUAGUUUAUUUUAGUUUUGCUUGAUGUUCAUAACAAGUCGGAACCUAGGCUACCUUUUUUGGGAGAGAGACACGCUCAAUUCCACUCUAGAACAGAACAUAGGUUUUCAUGCUUAUCUUUUUUGUGUUUUCUUCAUCUUUUAAUAGCUACUGUCAUGCUUAGCUCUUAGUUUUCAUGCUUAUAUUUUUAAGAACUAUUAUUUAGGUUGCUUCUGGAACUCUCUUGCAUUAUCAUGCUUAUCUUGUUUAGAGCGUUGGCUCGUUGCACUAAGUUGUGUGUCUUGCAUGAGUAGAUAAUUGAGAUUGCUAUUUAAGUAUAGUAGUAACCUGCAAUAGUUUUGAGGUAUUGAUUUGAGUAAUGUUUGGAGUAUUGGUGCCAAGAGCUUGAGCCUAUUAGUGAUAGGUGUCGUAUUUUGGGAAAUCUGUGUGUUCUUCAAAAACUAAAAAUUAGUUGAGAACUCUAGAUACUAAAUUGAUCGCUAACCUCUCGAGGGGUUGGAAUAUAUAGAGUACCCUCACAUUACCAGAGUCGAGGAUGUGCAAGGAUAACCAAACCCCCAAACACUCCUCCUCGGGGUACUUGUCUCAUUGUGAAUUUCUUAACUAGAUAGAGAGUUAUCGAUAAUAAGUGUAUGAGUUCUUCGGACUAAUGUGAGUAUUCGAUUGUUGGCACUUCCACCAUCCAUAUUUUGCUAGCCUCUUCGGUACCGUGCAUUGCCCUUUCUCACAUUUAGAGUUGGUGCAAACUCCGCCAGUGCAUCCAAACACAUGACAUGAUACGCUCUGUAAUACAUAAGCCUCAUUAUAUCUUUCCUCAAAACAGCCACCAUACCUACCUAUUAAGGCAUUUUCGUAGCCUUUCCGAGAUACAUUGCCAUGCAACAUCCACCAUAUCAUGACUUGAUCUUCACGUCAUAAUGCUUUUGCUUGACCGUAGAGCCACAUCCUAGUUGGGCCUUGCCCCUAUUACUGCUACAUGACGCAUUGGUAUCAUUGCAUAUCCUGCUACACUGGCAGAGGCAUACAUUUGCAUACAUCAUGAUAGUUUUCACUUGUUUUUAUGUUGAGUACUUCUUAUAAAGUAUGAUGAUUUUUAUUUUAUUCAUGUAAAACAUAGAGUGUUUCCCUUAAGAGAGGAAAAGAUCCCAAAGUGGACAGAACAAAAGAUCCCAAAGAGGACAAAUGAGAGAUAAAAGAAAGAGCCAAUGAGGGCACACAAAAAAAGAGAAAAAUAAAAAUAAAAAUAAAUAAAAGAGAGAAGGGGGCAACCCUACUAUUCCUUUUGAAAGAUCCACACUCGUACUCCAUUACUAUAUUGGUACAACAUAGAGAUUAUCAUUCAUGCAUAACUAUGUGGGGACCCUUACACUAUAGAACUUGGUUUGCAUAUUCCAAUGAUGAGCCUCCUAAAAUGAGCUCUAGGUAUUCAUGAGCAAACAAGUUGGAUGCACCCCCACUAGUUCCAUUGCAGAGCUUACCUUAGCUCAUAUGUGCAUCCGUUACAUGGCAAUCCCUACUCCUCACAUCAUAUCUAUCAUUUGGCUUUCUCUCGCCUAUGGUUGUCCUCAUUGAUGUGAGCCUUUCACACCUUUUUGUCUUCCUUUCCCAUCAUUAUUCUAUUUGCCAUCCUAAGUGCCAACAUAUCUUGCUUACGCUCAUCCAUUGCAUGAGUACUCAAAGUCGAAAGGGAGAGGAUCAUUUUGACUUGUGCCUGACUAGUGGUCUGGGGAUGAGUCAAAAUAAGAUUCUGAAGGAGACUAAGUGUGAGGUUUAGUAGGUUGAGUUCUCAAUUAAAAAUAUAUAUUUUAUGAUCUCAACCCAUCUCCCACUUCUUGCACGCAAACACCAUUUGGAGACAUUCGAGUCACGGACAGCGAGAGCUCUUGCACCUUAAUGUUCUUACUUUGUUAAAUUCAAUACUAGAUAUAGACUCUUUCAUGUUAUUGUCUUGAUUUGAAUUGCAUAUUUUACUUGCUUUACUUUCAAGUUCUUAUAUGUGUGUUAGCAUGUCACCACAGAAAUUAUUGUGUUAUCAUUUAUCUACUCGAGGACGAGCAGAAAUUAAGCUUGGGGAUAUUGAUAUGUCCCAAAUGUAUCUAUAAUUUCUGCAUGUUCCAUGAUCUUUUGGGUGACAUUGUUAUAUGUUUUGCUACACUUUUGUAUCAUUUUACACAUAUUUGGACUAACCCACUAACUCAGUGCACCCAGUGCCAGUUUAUGUCUGCUGAUGUCUAUUUUGCAGGGGGAUUUUACCCAAUUUUCCGAAGCCCGAAAAAAUCUAGAAAAAAUAUAAAACAAAUCAGCGAAACGGAAGCUUCCGGAUCACCGAAGAUGGACCAGAGGGGGGCCAGGGGCUUCCCAUGCGGCCUGCUGGCACGGCCAGGCCCUAGGCCACACCAGAAAGUCGCCUCGGUGGGUCCCACCUCCUCUGGUGCCCUACUUUGUCCUAUAUUUAGAUUCCCGAGAGGAAACCCUCGCAGACUUUCUGGAACCGCGAAUUUCUCUAUUGUUCCGCCGCCGUAGCGCUUCCGAGAUCGGGAGCGUCAUGAGAACUCUUCUCGGCACCCUGCCGGAGGGAGGAUUGACCUCCGGGAGCUUCUCCACCGCCAUGGACGCUUCCCGGACAUGCCGUGAGUAGUCCUCCUUGGACCAUGAGUCCAUGAGCAGUAGCUAUGUGAUGUCUUCUCUCCAAUCUUGUGCUUAAAUUGUUAGUCCUUGUGAGCUGCCCUACAUGAUCAAGGAAUCUAUGUAAUUCUCUUGCUAUUGCUAUACUCGGUUUGUUGGGAUCCGAUGGAUUAUUAGAUUAUGUUCAGAUUGUUAUGAGUUACAUAUUUGAUUACCCUUUUAUAUUAUGUUCCUUAGUUAUUCAUGUAUGUUCUCUGUUCUAUUUAUUGCGUUGGCCCAGUAGUAGAUUGUAACUCCAAGAGGGAGCGUUAUGCAUGAUUGUGGGUUCAUGCUCCUCGAUGUCUAGCUGGAGUGAAAAAAACAUGAGACUAGGGAACGUGCUUGUUGCCACCAGGGAGAAAACAACGGUGCUUGUGACCACAGUUGCAAGGAUUGUUUACCUUACGCAUAGUUCAUUAAUGCAAUUGUCCGUUGCUUUGAGUUUACACUUGGGUGGGGCUCGCAGCUUAAUACCGGAGAUAUGUUCUGGAUAGAUAUCCCAAGGUGGAUGAUUAGUAAGUAGAUGCUGAUGAAUAAACGAUCUACUUGUCUUGGCGUACUACCCAUUACUAUUGAACCUCUAACUAUCAAGGAGCAUAAUUAGCAUUGCGGUGCGAUCAUAAAUCUGUCAAUUGCCCAACUGUGAUUUGUUUACCCUAGCAUAGUUGUUUAUCGUCUUUUGGGAGAGAUACAUCACUAGUGAACAUCAUGUGACUCCGGUCCAUAUCACCAUCAUUGUUUACACUUCCAUCAUUUACCGGUUUCAUUUACUUUUCCGCUGCAAUCACUAUUACUUUCCAGCUUGUGUUUUUGAUCCUUUGCAAACUACAAGGCCGGAGAGAUUGAAGACCUGUGUGUACUUGUUGGGAGCAAAGUUAUUUGUUGUGUGCAGGUCCACGUCUUCUGCUAGCGCCAGGGUGGAAGGCACCUACUUGUUGAGCCUAGGAGUCCUCUUGGUUCGAUAAACCUUACAGUCUCCAUGUAAUAGAAAUCUGCUGCCAACUACAUCUGCACCUUCCACUUGGGGUAACCAACGAGGGGCGAGAAGUAUAUCCAUCAACUCGUCAUCACAAACCACGAUGAGCCACCAAAUCUUAGGUCUUGUACGACUUCGUGGAUGAAUGAGCCGAGGCCGAACUUCCCAGAGAGUAUAGCACUUAUGCUCAUUGGACCAUGUAUUUUGUUGGGUCCAAAACUCUCGCCGGUCUGGGGGCUGCAGUGAUUCUCACAUCCCCUACCGGGGAUAAUGUUCGGUACAUGCCAGAAAUCAUGUAUGCCGACUCAAACAAUGCAGGAGAAGACGAAGCGCUAAUACACGGUCUUCGGAUGGCGGCCUCAAUGGGCAUACAACCGCUCGAGGUACGAGGAGGAUCUAAUCUCGCCAUCUCACAAAUCAACGGUGAAUUUGAUGCAAGAAAUCCAAAGAUGGCGGCUUAUAGAAACACCGUCCUCAAAAUACUAGCACGAUUUGACGGGCUAGAGUUCGACCACGUCAACAAUAACCAAGCAACGGACGUUCUCUCCCACUUAGGCGCAAAGCGCGACCCCGUCCCGAGCAAUAUAUUUUUAGAAUGGUUUUUCAAGCCAUCCGUAGUAUGGCAGGACGAGAUGGGCCGCACAGGAGCCGAUGGCUAAGAACAGGUGGUACCCCCAACAACCGAGCAAGACGGUCAAGUGAUUGGCAGAACUUCAAUUGAAGAAACAUCAUCGGCCCAUGAGGUCAUGGCCAUAAUCGCACCAUGGACCAAACCCUUCCUUGCUUAUCAAUUACACAAGGAACUCCCAGAUGACCAGGCCUAGGCGCGACAUAUCAUCCGCCGAUCAAAGGCUUACAAGGUCCACAAGGGCAAUCUAUAUAAAAAGAGCACCACAGGAGUACUCCAGCGGUGCAUAUCCGGGGAAGAGGGAAGGCAACUUUUGGCCGAGGUACAGGUCGGUAAGGGCGGUCACCAGGAAGCAGCCCAGACCCUUGUCAGCAAGGCUUUUCGAGCUUGUUUCUUUUGGCCGACAGCCUGAGUGGAUGCCCAAGCGCUCGUUUAGUGUUGUACGGGGUGUCAACUCUUCGCAAAUCAAAGCCACAUGCCCCCAACAGCUCUUCGGACAAUUAUGAUCACAUGGCCCUUUGCGGUCUGGGGUCUGGAUAUGGUCGGCCCACUUAAAGGGGGUACUAAGAAAAAGAAAUACCUCCUGGUUGUGGUGGACAAAUUCACCAAAUGGAUUGAAGCAAAGUUGGCUAGCUCCGCCAAAGCUAAGCCAGUAAUCAAAUUCAUCUCCUGUGUCGUACAUCGUUAUGGUGUUCCGCAUAGCAUAAUAACACACAACGGAUCCAAUUUCACCGCCCAGGAGGUAAAAGAUUGGUGUGCAACCUUGGGCAUCAAGCUCGAUUAUGCCUCCGUAUACCACCCGCAGACUAACGGACAAGUCGAAAGAUACAAUGAGCUCAUUACGAGAGUUAUUAAACCUCGGUUGGUCCGCUCCCUUCAAGAAUCUGAUUUCCAAUGGGUUGAGGAGCUCGACUCCGUACUAUCAGGCUUGCACACCACCCGAAAUUGUUCUGCAGGGUACACCCCUUUUUUAUGGUGUAUGGGGCUGAAGCAGUCCUCCCCUGUGACAUUAUACACGAUGCACCGCGGGUGCAUAUGUACAAGAAAAAAAGCCGAGCUAGAUCGGCAAGAUGACUUAGAUGCACUAUAAGGUGACCGUGACAUAGCCCUGGCCCGAUCCGCUUUCUACAAUAGCAAGCUAGGCUCUAUCAGAGUAGGGAAGUUCGGGCAAAUACACACAACAUUGGAGAACUCGUCCUACACCUCCCCGAGAAUCAGAAGCACAAACUUCACCCAAAGUGGGAGGGCCCUUUUAUAAUUGAUGAAAUUUUAACAAGAGGAGCUUAUCACCUGUGCAAUUCCGAGGACAGCCGCCUUGAGCCAAACUCGUGGAAUGCAGGUCGUCUUUGGUGUUUUUACGGCUAGACCAACAUCAUCACCCUUUUUCCGCCUUUUCCUUUUUUUCAGUUUUCGCCCUAAAUUUUUUUUAUCUUUCCUCUGUAGGGCUUGUUAGUUGUUGUUGGGGCAUGUUCGGCUUAACCGAACAUCCUCAAGCAUUUAGCACCUGGGGGCUUCCUUAAAAAGUCACUCAAUGUAUUUUCCAUACCUACUUGUUUAUAUAUACACCUCGACUUAAAACAUCGAUUUCAGCCAUUUUAUGCAUCAAUUGGACCUAAGAGUUUAGCAAUGCUGGGUUGCCUCGCUCUUGUGCUUACUCUCUAUGUUCCCUAUAUGUUCAGCUAGAGGGUAAAGGAAGCACUGCUGCGAUUGUAAUGACCGGUUCGCCCAUCCACUCGGCAAUUUUACGUCAUAAAAAGGAUGUCCCCGUUGCACGGAGAAACGGCCACACCGACUACAAACUAUGUAGUAACCCAGAAAAAGAAACCCAUCAAGGAACUAUUUUUUCCAGAAGAUGUUUCUUACGUCUCGUCGUAAUAUAACAUAAUCCCCCCGUAUAAUCUUUUUCUGUUAGUACCACAUGGCCGGAUUGCCUCGUUAUCAGAAAUUAAUUCCAAAUUUCAUAGAUACCAAGUACGAACCACUGCCCAGUUAUAAUAGGGGGGUAGAAGCCGAUGCCCGCUUAAGAACAGAAUUUUCAAAACAUGGAGGGAAGUGCCUUAACACACAAAUAUUACAUUACAUAUGAUCACAUUCUUGGUGACUCGUCCAGUUGAUCUAUCAUAACAUCUAAUGUGCAUUCCUCCUGUGACAUGCGUGCGGCGGGCAUCACUUGAUCAUACACCAGGUGUAGAGACAUUUCCUUCCCAUAUAGCCUCGUUGGUCCAACCCUGUCCAUUUCCUCAGGAUCUAGAUGGGUAAAGAGGGUCUUCACCAUAGCCCAGGUCUCCUGAGAUCCUUCUCGGUAGGCCGAAGUUUUCCACAAAUCAAAGUGCCUUCGGGAUCCUUUAAAAUGAUCGGCAAGCUCGGCCAUGCCUUGCGGAGGGUUUUGGUUCGGCCAUAGAGCUCGUACCAUACUCCACAUAGCUUUUUGGGCCCACUCAUGCACAAUGGAUAGUUCCUUCAACAGGUCCCCCAAAGGAAUUGGCCUCGUGUAGAUGACCCCCAGUUAAGAUACCUAAUCAAAAGAAGUGCACAUUUUCAUGGUCAACACAAUAAAACCUUGAUCAAUUACACGUGAGAGCUUUACUUAUAGAAUAGACCGCCUUUUAAUUUCUGAUCCUCUUCUCGGGUUUGUGCCAACUGAGUUCAAAAACUCUCAACUUCCUCAGCUUGUUUUUUAUUCUCUUCUUUGAGAUCGUUGUUUUUCUCGCGGCAUCACUUCAGUACACGAUGACCGACUUCAAGUUGAGAUUCGGCGUACCGCUCAGCCUCGCGAGAUGCAUCUAGAUCCUUUUACAUUUGGCCUAUCGAUUCGCCUGCUCUAGCAAAUUCCUUGGCUAUUACUUUAAAAAAUACAUUUUAUGGAAAUUUAGCAUUUCACAAAUAAAUUCCGUUACCAUGGGUUUCUCUGGUGAAUUUCUUCACAUCUUCCAGCUCAGCCUUACUAGGGUGUAAAUCGAUCUGGCUCGGUUGAAAAUCUUUGGAUAAUCUUUUGUUCUCCUGCUUUAAGUCCUGCAGAUUUAAAGGUUAUUAAGUUCACCCAUAAUUCAGCCGUCCCGCCCAAAUUAAGGCUCGUGGGCUACUGGGCUCGAACUUUUGUUCGGAUAUAAUGAUGUUGAUGACCCACCUGCAGAUGGAGAGACACUUGCCCGACCACUUCUUUAAGGCCAGCUCACGCGGCUCGAAGGUAUGCAUCGGCCGAGUUGAGAGCAUUAAACUCUUGCUCAGAAAAUACUAUUGGAAAUAUGCCCGAGAGGAAAUGCUAAAGAGUUAUUAUUAUAUUUCAUGUUUAAAGAUAAUCGUUUAUUAUCCAUGCUAUAAUUGCAUUGAAUGAAAACAUAGAUACAUGUGUGGAUACAUAGACAAAACAAUGUCCCUAGCGAGCCUCUAGUUGGCUAGCCAGUUGAUCAAUGAUAGUCAAGGUUUUCUGACUAUAUGCAAGUGUUGUCACCUGAUAACUAGAUCACGUCAUUAGGAGAAUCAUGUGAUGGACUAGACCCCAACUAUGAACGUAGCAUAUUGAUCGUGUCAUUUUAUUGCUAUUGUUUUAUGUGUGUCAAGUAUUUGUUCCUAUGACCAUGAGAUCAUAUAACUCACUGGCACCGGAGGAAUACCUUGUGUUCAUCAAACGUCGCAACGUAACUAGGUGACUAUAAAGGUGCUCUACAGGUAUCUCCGAAGGUGUCCGUUGAGUUAGUAUGGAUCAAGACUGGGAUUUGUCACUCCGUGUGACAGAGAGGUAUCUCGGGGCCCACUCGGUAAUACAACAUUACACACAAGCCUUGCAAGCAAUGUGACUAAGUGUAAGUCACGGGAUCUUGUAUGACGGAACAAGUAAAGAGACUUGCCGGUAUCAAGAUUGAAAUAGGUAUGCGGAUAUCGACGAUCGAAUCUCGGGCAAGUAACAUACCGGAGGACAAAGGGAAUGACAUACGGGAUUAUAUGAAUCCUUGGCACUGAGGUACAACCGAUAGGAUCUUCGGAGAAUAUGUAGGAUCCAAUAUGGGCAUCCAGGUUCCGCUAUUGGAUAUAGACCGAGGAGUGCCUCGGGUCAUGUCUACAUAGUUCUCGAACCCGCAGGGUCUACACACUUAAGGUUCGAUGAUGUUUAAUUAUAGUUGAGUUAUAUGUGUGGUUACCGAAUCUUGUUCAGAGUCCCGGAUGAGAUCACGGACGUCACGAGGGUUUCCGGAAUGGUCCGGAAACGGGUAUUGAUAUAUAGGAUGGUUUCAUUUGGUCACCGGAAAGUUUUGGGCAAUUCCGGCAGUGUACCGGGAGUGACGAAUGGGUUCCGGUUGUUUACCGGGAGGGGCCCACCCACCCGGGAGUGAGCCCAAGGCCCUAGGGUGGCGCCACAAGUCCUUAGAGGGCUGGUGGAGUCAUCCCAAGAGGGCUAUGGCGCCACAUAAAGAAAAUACCAAAAGAAAAGAAAAAGAAAAAGGAAAGAGGGAGGUGGGAAGGAAGAGGAAGCCUCCUCCUUCCCAAACCGAAUUGGAGGAGGAAUCCUCCUCCUCCUAGCGGCCGGUGCACCUUGAGGGACUUGUCCCUCAAGGCUAGCCCCUCCCCCUCCCUCCUAUAUAUAGUGGUGGUUUAGGGCUUUUUGAGACACAACUUUGCCACGUGCAACUCUAGCCUAUACCGCAUAGUUUUACCUCUAGAUAGGAUUUCUGCGGAGCUCGGGCGGAGCCCUGCAGGAGUACAUCAUCACCACCACCGGAGCGCCGUCAUGCUGCCGGGGAACUCAUCUACUUCUCCGUCUUGCUUGCUGGAUCAAGAAGGCCAAGAUUAUUGUCGAGCUGUACGUGUGCUGAAUGCGGAGUUGUCGUCCAUUCGGCGCUAGAUCGGAACGGAUCGUGGGACGGAUCGCGGGAUGGUUCGUGGGAUGGUUCGAGGGAUGUGAAGACGUUCCACUACAUCAACCGCGUUUCUUAACGCUUCCCAGUGUGCGAUCUACAAGGGUACAUAGAUCUAAUCUCCACUCGUAGAUGGACAUCACCAUGAUAGGUCUUCGUGUGCGUAGGAAAUUUUUUGUUUCCCAUGCAACGCUCCCCAACAAAUACAGGAUGCCACAGUGACUCCUUCCGCUGCCAAUGAUUCAUUGCACUCUCAUAUUUGGAGUAGCUUAUCAAUAGUCCGUCUGAACCCUUUGGGAGUGGACCCAUGUUCGGGACUCCGUUGUCAGCCAACACUCUUGGGUUCGGUUGACUGCCCAAUGCCAUGUGGUCGUCCUCGGGCAAGGAAGGCUGUGCGCAUCUCCUGAUUCGAUCGGCCAAGGUCCUUAAAACGUGCAGGACGAAAGUUGCUACGGUAAGGUUUAAAAAUCGGUUUGUAUACCUUUUUGCCGAAGGGGCAACUGGUGUGGUUUCUUUCGCUACCUAUUGCUCAGGAAUUCCGCCCUUGCUUGACAAACCCCUACCGGUUUAGUAUGAAUAGUGGUCCGGCAUGCGCUCCGGCGACCCCUAGGCACGGCCCCUCGUCGGGCAACAGUUUUUCUCUUACUCCCUGAAGAGGGAAAGGACCUGGGUUUGUUGGCUAUAAGGGCCACCUUCUUCUCUUCAACACUCUCUUGAUAAAACACCUCGUCUUGAAAGAUAAUCGAAAGCUCUGGGUCUUCAUGAAACCGGGAGUCAUCUUUAUGGGCAAAGUCCUCGAGUUGGGGUGUGGGAUAGUUUACCAUCUCGAUCCAGUGGUUCCAGAGCUACGAAGGAGGUAUAGGAGUUAUAAAUCAAACAAUAAUGGGCAUGAAUGCCCAAAACUUUGAACAUGAACACAAUUACCCAUUCGACGGGGUUAUAUGCCGAAUAGCCAUCCUUCGGGGUGAGGCGGGUAAAAUCUUCUUUUUCCCCCUUGAAGAUAUCGGUCAGAAUGGCCCCUAAGGCCUUCUCGUCAUCCGGUCCUUGCCUUCUGGAUCGGGUUGAAUCGCUCGUCCCACUGUAAUGCCACAAAGGAUGUGUGCGAUGUUGGAGUGGUUGGACGCACUGGGUAAUCACUGCGGCCAUCACAUCAAUGAUAGUUAGCCAGCUAUGAGUAAGCACCCUGGCCUUGGAGGAUAGGCGCUUCACUUCAGAGCUGUCCUCGUGGGAAGAGCUCUUUGGCCCCCAGCUGAAUCGCUUCUUUAAAGGAAUCACAAAGUAUUCGGGAAGGCCUCUCCGAACUGGGUCAGAUAGUGGAACAUCCACAAUAUAAAACCAUUCCGAGGGCCACUCGUCAAGCUCCUUCUUCGACAUCCCAAUCGGGUAUCCUAUGGCGGCUAUGUGCCAUACUUCGGCUCCACCUACUUCCCGAAUUGUCAUUCCUCUAGUUCGGAGAAUGAUGGAGAAGUACUUUCUCCAUAGAUCAAAGUGGGGCUCGCAACCCAAGAACAUCUCGCAUAAGGCCACGAAGCCUUAGAUAUGAAGGAUGGAACUAUGGGUGAGAUUGUGGAGCUACAACCCGUAAAACUCCAAUAACCCCCUUAGGAAAGGGUGAAUAUGGAAUACCACCCCUCACAACAGGAAGGAAACGAAGCAAACCCGUUCUCCCCUUUGCGGGGAAGGGAAGUUUUCCGCGAAGGCUUUUCCAUCAAUGGAGGUCAGACCGGUGUGAGUGGGUGCGAGGUCUGAUUGGGGAAGAUACCCCUGAGUUUUGAGCUCGUGCGGGCGGAUGAGAGAAACGGUGCAACUAGCCUAGUCCCCCGAAAGGGGGCCGAGGGGGCUUGAAGAGGAACAUUCCAUGACUCCGGAGAUGUUAAGAGCUCUAGGGUUUCUUCGCGAGGCUGGGAGGCGAUGGAGCCUCAAAACAGAUCUCGAUCUGUUUACAAAGGGUGUUAACCCCUCUUGUUAUAGGGAUUCAUCAUUUCUUGCUCGGAGGAUACAGAGGAACAUGCCUUGCAUACUGAACACUUUGGGCGUGAUCAUCCGAAGACCCUACACAUUAGCAUGGAAGGCUACUUCAGGGGCUACUAAGAGAGUCCGGGAUUAAGGGGUCCUCAGGUAGUUGGCUUACUAUGAAGAGGUUAGCCUGAUGGACCGUACAAGUUGGAGGUUGGGUGUCUCGUGCUUAAGGAGGAAAGCACCGAAGACCGGCAUGACAUCCAAGUAAUGUAGAUUAGGUCGAUUGUAUGUAACCCUAGGUCCCGGAUACGUCUCCGUCAUAUCUACUUUUCUGAACUCUUUUGCCCUUGUUUUGGACUCUAAUUUGCAUGAUUUGAAUGGAACUAACCCGGACUAACGCUGUUUUCAGGAGAAUUACCAUGGUGUUGUUUUUUUGCAGAAAUAAAAGUUCUCGGAGUGUUGUGAAAAUUUACGGAGAAUUUUUCUGGAAUUAAUGAAAAAUACCUGCGCAAAGAUCCACCGGAGGAGGUGAGCCAGUGGGCCACAAGCCCAGGGGGCGCGGCCACCCCCCCAGGCCGCACCAACCAGGCUUGUGGGGUCCACGAGGCUCCACCACCUCCAAACUCAGCUCUAUUUAUUCCGUUUCACCCGGAAAAAAUCAGAGAGAAGGAUUCAUCGCAUUUUACGAUACGAAGGUGCCGCCACCUCCUGUUCUUCAUCUGGAGGGCAGAUCUGGGUUCCGUUCUGGGCUCCAGAGAGGGGAAAUCGUCGCCAUCGUCAUCAUCAACCUUCCUGCAUCACCAAUUCCAUGAUGCUCUUCACCGUUCGUGAGUAAUCUCAUUGUAGGCUUGCUGGACGGUGAUGAGUUGGAUGAGAUCUAUCAUGUAAUCGAGUUAGUUUUGACGGGGAUUGAUCCCUAGUAUCCACUAUGUUCUGAGAUUGAUGUUGCUACUACUUUGCCAUGCUUAAUGCUUGUCACUAGGGACCGAGUGCCAUGAUUUCAGAUCUGAACCUAUUACGUUGUCGCCAAUAUAUGUGUGUUUUAGAUCCUAUCUUGCAAGUUGUAGUCACCUACUAUGUGUUAUGACCCGGCAACCCCGGAGUGACAAUAGCCGGAACCACUCCCGGAGAUGACCAUAGUAUGAGGAGUUCAUGUAUUCACCAAGUGUUAAUGCGUUGGUCCGGUUCUUUAUUAAAAGGAGAACCUUAAUAUCCUGUAGUUUUCAUUAGGACCCCGCUGCCACGGGACGGAUGGACAAUAGAUGUCAUGCACGUUCUUUUCCCUAAGCAUGUAUGACUACAUAUGGAAUACAUACCUACAUUAGAUUGACAAAUGGGAGCUAGUUACAUAUCUCUCCGGGUUAUAGUUGUUACAUGAUGAAUCACAUCCGGCAUAAUCAUCCAUCACCGAUCCAGUGCCUACGAGUCUUUUACUACUAGUCCUUUCUACGUUACAUUGUCGCUACUACUGUUGCUGCUGCUGUUGUUACUCUGUUGCUACUGCUGUUACUCUACUGCUAUUGGUUACUGGUGUUACUUGCUACUGUUGUCACUACUGUUGUUACUUGUUACUUUGCUGCUACCUGCUGCAAGACUUUUCUGGCGCCAUUGAUACAACAAGUCAGGAAUAGCCUGCCGUCAACACACCUUUUUCUGGCACCGUUGCUAACGUACCACUUUGCUACUGAUACUUUGCUUGCAGACACUAAUCUUUCAGGUGUGGUUCAAUUGACAACUCAACUGCUAAUACUUGAGAAUAUUCUUUGGCUUCCCCUUGUGUCGAAUCAAUAAAUUUGGGUUGAAUACUCUACCCUCGAAAACUAUUGCGAUCCCCUACACUUGUGGGUUAUCAAGACUAUUUUCUGGCGCCGUUGCCGGGGAAGCACAACUAUAUUCUCUGACUCACUUGGAAUUUACGUCUGCUGAUCACUAUGAGGAAUCCGAUAGAUCCAAGAACUAAAGUCUUGCCCUCAACUACGAGGACAGGUAAGGAACUGCCAUCUAGCUCUGCACUUGAUUCAUCUUCAGUUAUGAGUAAGUUUGCAACAUCACCUCCUGCUAGAAAUCUUGAUAUGUCGCCUGUGCUUGAUGAUGCUACUUCUGCUUCCCAUGAUGCUUAUGAUGAUGCUAUGCUUGAUACUAUGCCUGAUGAUGCUAUGCUUGAUACUAUGCCUGAUGAUGCUAUGCUUGAUACUAUGCCUGAUGAUGCUAUGCUUACUACUUUGCCUGAUGAUGCUAUGCCUGAUACUGCUUUGCCACUAGGUGCAUUCCUUGAUGCACAAAUUGCUAGAGUUGCUUCUAGAUGUGAUGAUAUUUCUGAAACUGCUGAUACUAUUGAAGUAGAACCUGCUAUUUUGCCUGCUAGAACUAGCUCUCCUAGACCUGAUAUGCCUGUUAUGCCUGAGCGUUAUGUUAUGGAGGGAGAGAUAGCUGAGGAUUUUCUUGCGUGUAAGGAUAGCUAUGAUGUUGAGAAAUUACUGCGCAAGUGGAAAUAAAAAUGUCUAAACACGAGGAUGAAAUACGACCCGAAGUUUGCCACUUCACCUAUCUUUGUGACCGAUAAGGAUUAUGAAUUCUCUGUUGAUCCUAAGUUAAGCACCCAUGCCCUUUCCUCCCAAACCAUCCAAGAAAAAGGAUGAUGAGGAUUUUGAGCGCUUUGUUGAAAUGAUUAGACCUGUCUUUCUACAAAUGUGUUUGACGAAUAUGCUCACGAUGUCUCUGUAUGCGAAGUACAUGAAAUAUAUUGUGACUAAUAAGAGGAGGAUACCCGAGGUUGAGAUUUCCACCAUGCUCGCUAAUUAUACCUUCAAGGGUGGAACUCCCAAGAAACUAGGUGAUCCCGGUGUGCCCACUAUACCUUGCUCCAUUAAAGGCAACUACGUUAGAACUGCGUUAUGCGACCUUGGAGCCGCUGUUAGUGUUAUGCCUCUCUCUCUUUAUCGUAGACUUGAACUGGAUAAGUUGACACCCACUGAAAAUCUCUGUGCAAAUGACCGACAAAUCAACUGCUUUCCCUAUCGCCAUUUGCGAGGACGUGCCUGUUGUGGUUGCUAACGUCACUAUCUUAUCAGACUUUGUUAUCUUGGAUAUUCCCGAGGACAAUGCCAUGGAAGUCAUCCUUGGAAGACCCUUUUUAAACACCGCACGGGCUGUUAUAGAUUGCAACAAAGGCAAUGUCAUUUUCCAUGUCAACGGUAAUGAGCAUACGGUGCACUUUCCGAAGAAACAAUAUCGAGUACAUUGCAUCAAUGCUAUCGAAAAAACUUCAUCGAUUCUUAUUGGGAGCUUUGAAUGCCCUAUUCCUUGUGUCAAGAUGAAGUAUGAUUCGCUUGUUGGGGAAAUACACAUCGCCAUUGAGGUGACAUAGUGACUAUUCGAAAAUUCUCCGUCUUCUUUUGCGAUUCGAGAAGUUUUGUCGAGGGGAAUUUGAUCAACCCCAUUGACGGAUUUCUUUCGAUGACCAUGAGAUGGAUGAAUCAAGGAGUCACAAACCUCUGUUUUAAGCUUUCAUCUUUGGUUGCUUAGAAGAAAGAUGAUAGAUUUAGUUUAGUUUUCCCUGUUUUCUGUUUUAGCGUCCGGUAGAAAAGUACCGCGAAAAUAAAAGUUCUCCGAACGUCGUGAAAAUCAAGUAUGAUUUUUGCUGGAUUUUUUGAAAAAUACUGAGACGAAGAGCUUGUCUGGGGGCUGCACCAGUGGGCCACAAGCCCAGGGGGCGUGGGCACCCCCUUUCCGCGCCACCCAGGCUUGUGGGGUCCACAGGCACCCCCUCCACUCAUUCUUGCUCUCAUCUGGUUCUCCUACCUCCAGAAAAAAUCGUUUCGCAACUCAAACCUGUGUUCUUGCUCCUCUUGCUGGGAUUUCUGAUUUCUUUGCUGAAAGCACCAUUCUCCGAACUGUUUUGGGGAAAUUACUCCUUGUUAAGUGACUCCUCCAUUGGUCCAAUUAGUCUUUGCUCUAGUGCCUCAUACUUCGCGUAUUUUUGCUGCCUUGAUGACCAUGUUCUUGAGCUUUGCAUGCUAAUUUUAGAUGGUCCCAAGUAGUUUUGAUGCGUAAUAUGGCCUCUAGGCACUUGUGGGGGUAGUUGCUACGAGUUUUGUUGAGCCUUGUUCACUUUUCCUUAGAGUCACUAAAAAUUUCAGAAAUUUUCAGAGAUAGAAAAGGGAAAAUAUGAGGAGGUUCUGAAGAGGCUCUUCAAGCCGUGACCCCAAGGAUGAUGGGAGUGAGAAGAAGCCCAAUUAUCUGGUCCGUCGAGUCCUGGAAGUUCGAGCGUGCGAGUGGCCAAGCGACGUGUUCUUACGCGCCGCCGGAAUUUAUGAGGACUUUUAUCACUCGGUGGAGAACGCAGGCCUUACCGCCUUCGUUGAAGAUAAGUGUCUGCAAUACCUCCUCCUCACUAAUAUCUUCGUACAAAGCUUUAACUUCUAUCCAAGGAAGAAUCCUCCUAUGGUUGUGUUCAAACUUUAUGAUAUCCCCCAGGGCAUGUCACUCCAGGAUUUUUGCAAUGUUUGCAAAUUACCUUACGUUGGGGAUAUUCGUGAAUCUCGUGCACGGGACUUAGAAUCUUUCAUCGAUACAAUUGCCGUAGGAGAGGAGAGAGGAGUGUCUUGUGCUAGAGCUGCUAGCAUUCAUUUUCCCGUGCUUCGGUACUUCUCAUUAUUUGUGGGAAAAUGUUUGAUUGGCCGUGGGAAAGCUGGGUCACUUAGUUCCCCAGAUCUUAAGGUCUUGCGCGAAGCACUUUAUAAUGAUAAAACUUAUAGCUUGGGCGCUAUAGUAGCUCAAUGGUUGAACACGAACCGUUAUAAAGGCAUUGUCUAUGGAGGUAUCUAUGCUACUCGUCUUGCCGGACACUUUGAGAUACCUAUUAGACUGGACGAGGAAGAAGAGAUUCUUCUUCCCAAAAAAUAUCUAGAUUAAGAUAGCAUGGUUCGCCAUGACUUUCUUUAUAGAGAUAUAAAUAGAAGGAUGAUUUAUAACCUGGUAUUUAGCCAGGGUACUCGUGAGACUAUUACUUUGCCUGCUCCUUCUUUGUUCAAUCUUCAUGCAGGGAGGUACAUUAUUAUGCCCUCGGACAUCACCGCAUAUUGGGGCUUGGCCCAACCAUAGGUGCCCAUGCCCGAGCCACCAGUCGAGUACCAGAUGCCAGUUUAUCAGUGGGAGCCACAGGAGCUCACACAGCAGUGGCAUCGUCAGUCCACUCUGGAGUACCCCGGAGCUGGUUAUUUCCCUCCUUGGGAGUAUACCAACUUAGGCCAAAAGUGUAAGCUUGGGGGAGUACGUGUUUCUCACCGACUUUACAUUCUUGCUUAUGCUUUCACUUUGUUCGUUGGUGUUCACACUUUGCCACUGUAUCAUCCAUGCUAGUUUAUUUUCUUUUUCUCAUUUUCUUUUCGUGUGUUUGCCUAGUUUGAGAAAACCCAAAAAGAUUUUCUUUUUCUUCUUUUGCUUGUUGGGAGCUUUCUCGUGUAAAUAGUUUUCUUUUCUUUGGGUCAAGGUAGAAGACCAUGGUUACAAUGUUUAGUGGCUCUUGCAUGCAUACCUGUUUUGCUUUCAAAGAGCCAUAUUACUUUGUCUUCUCCUUUGUGUUUUCCUACAGGUUCCAGCUUUAGUCCAAUGCACGAGCACUCUUAUUAUUGUUUUUAUCGUUCGAUCGUACAAGUGAAAGGCAAUAAUGACGAUAUAUGAUGAAGUGACUGAGCCUGGAAAAGCUGGUAUGAACUCGAUCUAUUUUGUUCUUGUAAAUAUGACUAGCUCAUUGUUCCUAGUUCAACUUUGUUGUGAGAGAAACAUGUUUGCAAUGACAACUUAGAGAUCAUAGUUGCUGAUGCCAUGCUUACUUAGCUAGGAGCUUAUAAUGGUCUGUCUUGGUUGGCAACAUGAAUGUUGAGAUGACUAUGAUGUAGUAUGAUAGGAUGGUAUCCUCCUUUGAAUGAUUCAAGCGGCUUGACUUGGCGCAUGUUCACACAUGUAGUUGAAACAAAAUCAACAUAGCCUCUAUGAUAUUCAUGUUCAUGGUGAUUUAUGUCCUACUCAUGCUUGCACUCAAUGUUAGUUUAUCUCAAUGCAUUUUGAGGACCGUUGUCGCUCUCUAGUUGGUCGCUUCCCAAUCUUUUGCUUGCCUUCACUUGUACUAAGCGAGAAUACUGCUUGUGCAUCCAUUUCCAUAACCCCAAACUUGUUCCAGAUGAGUCCACCAUACCUACCUAUGUGCGGUAUCUACCUAUCGUUCCAACUAAAUUUGCAUGUGCCACUCUCUAAAUCUUCAAGAAAUAAUCUAUUUUGCAUGCCCUAACCGCUCAUGUAGUGACAGGGGGCUAUUAGUAUCUUCCAUGCUAGGCGUGUUAUCCUCGAUAUGUGUUUAUUCACUAUCAUUCAUGAGAAAGGGGCCGGUAAUUGGAAUUCCCAGUUCCAUGCUCAAAUCGAAAAGAUAAUUGCAAACAAAACUCCCCCAGGAUUGAUGUUGGUAUGGAUGGUACCCGAGGAUUCGGCUAGCCAUGGAGUGUGAUUGAUUGGUGGUGGGGGAGUCAAAACUUUACUUUUUUGUUUGGGAACCGCCUAUAGCAUGUGUAGCGUGGAAGAUGUUGAGAACUCUUAGUCAUUGCGUCGACAAUGAAAGCAUGCCACCGAAAAUUAUUAUCUCUGUUUUCAAAGCUUGAGCUCUGGCACCUUUGCAAAUCAAUGCUUCCCUCUGUGAAGGGCCUGUCUAUUUAUGUUCCUGUUGAGUCAUCCUCCUCUUAUAAAAGCUCCAAUUAGAGAGCACCUCUGUCAUUUUUAUGCUUUUGUUUUAACUAUGUUGGGUAUGACUGUGACUGGAUCUUCUUUGCCAUGAAUUACAAUGUUUAGUCAGCCCUUGGUCUUUGAAGGUGCUCUGCAUUUAUGUUUUGCGGUCUCAGAAAGAGCUAGCGAGAUACCAUCUGUUUGCACUGAUUCAUGUUGUUUUGAUUGAAGUGUUGACAUUUGAGGCUUAUUAUUAUUUUCUCGCUAGUUGAUUAUGCCAUUGAUAUGAGUCUACCGUGAGACCUAGAUGUCAUUUUCUUAUGUGGUUUGCUUGUGAUCUUGCUGAAACUAUGGAUAUGAGUUAGACAUAGUUGCAGCAACAAGAUCAAACAGAGUUCGUCGAAGUUUUUCUUUUGUCUCUUUCAGUUUGUCAACUGAAUUGCUUGAGGACAAGCAAGGCUUUAAGCUUGGGGGAGUUGAUACGUCUCCGUCGUAUCUACUUUUCCGAACUGUUUUGCCCUUGUUUUGGACUCUAAUUUGCAUGAUUUGAAUGGAACUAACCCGGACUAACGUUGUUUUCAGGAGAAUUGCCAUGGUGUUGUUUUUGUGCAGAAAUAAAAGUUCUCGGAAUGUCCUGAAAAUUUAUGGAGAUUUUUUCUGGAAUUAAUGAAAAAUACCUGCGCAAAGAUCCACCGGAGGAGGUGAGCCAGUGGGUCACAAGCCCAGGUGGCGCGGCCACCCCCCAGGCCGCACCAACUAGGCUUGUGGGGCCGACGAGGCUCCACCGCCUCCAAACUCAGCUCUAUUUAUUCCGUUUCAGCCGGAAAAAAUUAGAGAGAAGGAUUAAUCGCGUUUUACGAUACGGAGGCGCCGCCACCUACUAUUCUUCAUCUGGAGGGCAGAUGUGGAGUUCGUUUUGGGCUCCGGAGAGGGGAAAUCGUCUCCAUUGUCAUCAUCAACCUCCCUCCAUCGCCAAUUCCAAGAUGCUCUUCACCGUUCGUGAGUAAUCUCAUCGUAGGCUUGCUGGACGGUGAUGAGUUGGAUGCGAUCUAUGAUGUAAUCGAGUUAGUUUUGACGGGGAUUGAUCCCUAGUAUCCACUAUGUUCUAAGAUUGAUGUUGCUACUACUUUGCCAUGCUUAAUGCGUGUCACUAGGGCCCGAGUGCCAUGAUUUCAGAUCUGAACCUAUUAUGUUGUCGCCAAUAUAUGUGUGUUUUAGAUCCUAUCUUCCAAGUUGUAGUCACCUACUAUGUGUUAUGACCCGGCAACCCCGGAGUGACAAUAGCCGGAACCACUCCCGGAGAUCACCAUAGUAUGAGGAGUUCAUGUAUUCACCAAGUGUUAAUGCAUUAGUCCGGUUCUUUAUUAAAAGGAGAACCUUAAUAUCCCGUAGUUUCCAUUAGGACCCCGCUGCCACGGGAGAGAUGGGCAAUAGAUGUCAUGCAAGUUCUUUUCCCUAAGCACGUAUGACUAAAUACGGAAUACAUGCCUACAUUAGAUUCACGAACGGGAGCUAGUUACAUAUCUCUCCGUGUUAUGGCUGUUACAUGAUGAAUCACAUCCGGCAUAAUCAUCCAUCAGCGAUCCAAUGCCUACAAGUCUUUUACUACUGGUCCUUGCUACGUUAGUUUGUCGCUACUACUGUUGCUGCUGCUGCUAUUACUGUGUUGCUACUGCUGUUACUCUGGUACUACUCGUUACUGCUGUUACUUGCUACUGUUGUUACUUGUUACUUUGCUGCUACCUUCAGCAAGACUUUUCUGGCGCCAUUGAUACAACAAGUCAGGAAUAGCCUGCCGUCAACAGACCUUUUUCUGGCACCGUUGCUAUCAUACCACUUUGCUACUGAUACUUUGCUUGCAGACACUAAUCUUUCAGGUGUGGUUGAAUUGACAACUCAGCUGCUAAUACUUGAUAAUAUUCUUUCGCUUCCCCUUGUGUUGAAUCAAUAAAUUUGGGUUGAAUACCCUACCCUCGAAAACUGUUGUGAUCCCUACACUUGUGGGUUAUCAGUCCCCUAGUGAUUAUAUAAACCGAGGGUCCUCAUCCAUGUAGACAGGUUGAUUCACCUAGGGUUUAGUAUACAUGAUCUCGAGGUAGACUCUGUAAUCAUCAUCCACAUCGAUAUAAUCAAAAAGGACGUAUGGUUUUACCUCCUCAAGAGGGCCCGUACCUGAGUAAACAUUGUCUCCCCAUCUGUCCUGCAACCCAUCUAUCUAAGAUCCACAGUUCUGGAACCCCUACCCGAGAUCUGCCAGUUUCGAUGCCGACAGCUUGCCCCCUUCAAAAAGUCAUCCACGACCUUGAUGACCAUGGGCAGGAAUGGAACCAAGAUGAGGUCGUUAGACCGUCAUGCCAUUGUGCCUAGACAACGCGUGGAUUCAUCACAUGUUCAUGUACAUGGGGCUCAAAAUGAUGCUAUAGUCGCUAAAAAGCAAGAAAAUUUGUACAUAUGGUAUAAAAUGUCGCUAAUCGACUUUUUUCCCAUCUAUAAAACUUUGUAAUACAAUGUUAACCUCAAAUUAGUAUUUUUAAUCUGUUGAAUUGAGUGUGAGACUAUUAAAUUGAUGAAAAAGAAAACAAAAUAUCUAGAGCUAACAAAUAUGAUGACUAUGUUUUUACAUAUGGUCUCCGUAGGCUCCAAAUGCAUAUGGAAUAUGAUCCAUAUAUAUUGUGAAGGUUGCCCAUAUUACGAUUGGUCUAGACUUGAUCUUAGAGCAUCUCCAACCGGAUUGGGCAAAUAUGCCUUCACAUGUCCACGGACAACAUCUGCUUUCCCUCAUUUGUCCUUGGCCUCAACCGCCCCCUCAUUUCCCCUUCCCAAAUCAAUACAAAUCCAUGCAACGUCGAUCACGCAGGAAUGAAAAUAGUACACACUAGUAGAAAAUGCCCAUUUGUCCCGGUUCCAGAGGCCCAUUAGCCCCGGUUCUUGAACUAGGACUAAAUGGUCAGGACUAAAGCCCAAAACCUUUAGUCCCGGUUCGCUUACGAACGGGGACCGAAUGGUCUCCACGUGGCCGCUACGGCGAGCCCGAGCAGGAGGUUCUCUAGUCCCGGUUGUCCACACCAACCGGGACAACAUGGUAUCCACGCGUCAGCAUCUGCCCGGGCUGCGGUUUUUGUUUUUUUAUCGCGGGGGGGGGGAGGGGGGUUGGAGGGUUAAUUUAGUGGUUUCAUAUUGUGUUAGCUAGCUAAUAGAGAGAAGUGUCCUCUCUUUCUCCAUGCUUGGUCGACGCUAACUACUAUACAUAUAGAGAGAACAUGACGCUAGCUAAUAAGAAAAUGAAGGAAAUGAUUUACAAUACUUAACAUCUUUUACAAUGCCUAACAUCAUCUACCAAAGAUACAAUCACAAAUAUCCCACAUGAUAUUCUCCGUCGCUAGGUAUGACGUGGUCAAGAAGGAAACCCGCCAAUUCCUCUUUAAUUGCUCGUAUGCCAUCAUCUGAUAGGCGUUCAUCCCGCUUCUUCCAGAUCUAAUUUAAAGAAUGGAUCAAUACAUGCAUAUAUAUGAAUAAAACUCAACACAAUUGAAGGUAAUAUAUAAGAUAAAAUUGUGAAUAUUACUUACGUACUUCAAAUUGUUCGUCAGAGAUACCCCGCCCAGAGGUCGAGAGACGAAUGAACUCGCAUACGUAGUAUGCACAUUUUUCAGUCCCAACUACCUGGUACAAGCACUUUACGAGAAUAUAUAGAGUUCAAUCAAACUAAUAAGCAAGCAUGGUAAUGAUAUAUUGAUGAAAAUUUCAAUCAAUUAGAGAUGCGCGGAACUAGCUAGCUAGUACUACUUACUGGGGUGCGUAAACUGCAACUCUUUACCGCGAACCUUAUUCGUGAACUUCUUCCAAAUCCUGCCAGGAAAAUAAAAUGAAUACUUGAUAUCAGGAAAUUAAGGAAAUUUGCAUGCCGGUAUGGUCCCGGUAUUGAGUGAACUUACUUCUUAAGCAUUGCAGUCAUGUCCGCAUAAUCCUCGGACAAUUACUUUUGCCGCGUCAAGCUUAAUGGAUAACAGAAUCCAGUGGUAACUGUGCACACAUAUAUAACUCAUCAAUUACAUUUACUAAUUAACCUCGAGUAAGCGAAACCGAGUAUACAGAGAAGACAACAACACUCACCUGAAGUUGUAAGGAAAGAGUAUUUCCCUUUUGUUUCGAUUUACAAGCAACGAAUUUAACAACUUAACAUCGGUCUCUUUGGUUUCAUUUCGUACCGACAAUACAUUUACCGAUUCUGGGCUAAUGAACCCAACGUCGAAGAUUCCUACUUUUCUUCAUUCGGCGAUCUUCAAUCUGCAUAAUAUAUAUAGUGAGGACAAUUAUAGAUACAUGCAAUGAACGAGCUGAUCUAGAGACUUAACUAUAAAAGUAAUACUUACAAACAGUAGCAAGUCAGGAGUUGUUUGUUGAGGGAUAGGUCAUUGUAUAACUGAAAUAACUCCUCAAAUUCAACAAGCACCACUGUAGCUCCAAUAAAUUUUCUCCUUGAAGAUGUUCAUGUACCACUCAUGCAAUUCGUGCAUCCUCGGUGUUAGAGGAGGAUGACCAGGUUUGACAAGAGGCUUCCCGAGCACGAAUUUAUAUAAUUUUUCUUUUAUUACCUCGUCCAUCUUAAAAAUUACUGAAUCGCUCACGUAAUCACCAGGAUUGGUACCGGGCAGCAACCCCGAAUCAUUAGCGACGACGAUAUCGCUAGACACCUUGAGUGGGGGGCACGAUUGCUUCUUCUGUUGGUCAAGCUGGGGAAUUGUUUUCCCACUUCUUCAUUUUGCUAACAUUGCAUCACUGCUAGCCGCCAGAGCGACGGUGGAGUCUGUCUUCCGCUUGAGAGAAGGAGGAGGAGGCGGCAUCUUUCUUACUUGUAUAACUUUCGGCGGAGCGGCGACGACGUCUGUCUUCUGCUGUUGCAGAGGAGGCGGACUGCUCCGACGCGCCUGAGGAGGAGCCGAAGGAGGAGGACUUCUCCGACGCGCUGGAGGAGGAGCCGAAGAAGGAGGUGGACUGCUCCGACGCGCUGGAGGAGGAGCCGAAGAAGGAGGCGGAGUGCUCCGACGCACCGGAGGAGGAGCCGAAGGAGGAUGACUGCUCCGACGCGCUGGAGGAGGAGCCGAAGAAGGAGGCGGAGUGCUCCGACGCGCCAUAGGAGGAGACAAAGAAGGAGGCGUACUGCUCCGACGUACCGGAGGAGGAGUCGAAGAAGGAGGCGGAGUGCCCUCACGCGCCGGAGGAGGAGCUGAAAAAGAAGGCGGAGUGCCCUCAUGCGUCGGAGGAGCCGGAGUGCCCUGAUCAUUCGCUGGAGGAGGAUGAGGAGUGCCCUGAUCAGUCACCGGAGGAGUAUGAGGAGUGCCCUGAUCACUCGCUGGAGGAGGAGGAGGCGUCCAGUUUGGAAGAUUGAUGCACUCCUUCGGCCAUAAACAUGUACUCCUCAAAGCAUGAACCAGCUUAUUCUCAUCUUCACAUGUAGGGUGGUCAAGCUCGAGCUGCUCAAAAUCCUUCUUUACUUCAUCCACCAUCACAAGAGCAUAACCACGUGGAAUCGGACGGCAGUGAAAAGUUCCGUUGGAUUGAGGACGUGCAACAAUGCCGAUAGCAGCCUUGAAAGUGAGGUUCCGGCAUUUUGUCAAAAGCUCGCAAGGUUGAGACUCCUUGAUAGUAUACACGGGGUAGCUAGGAGCCGUGAAGUCAGACGACCACGCUGCUUCUCCGCUGAGAUGGCGGGAUAAAUUCUGGGGUAGUUUCGUGCCGCUGAGAUGGUUGGUCGACAGCUCGCUGGCUUUGAAGUUCCUCUAGAAUUUGUAGUCUUGCAUUGAUCUUCUGCAUGUCUCUCAGCUCCGCUUUCCUCUUUCUCGCUCGGAUUCUGUAACCGGCUGCGUCGGGAAACCCAACCUUCCACGGAAUAGAGCCUGGUGUGCCUCGUGUUCGUCCAGGGUGCUCAACAUUCUCUAGGGCCUCGGUCAGUUCGUCCUUCUCUCUUUUGAGAAAGAACGCCCCUUCCUACGCUGCGGUGAUACACUGCUGAAUCUUGUUGAUGGGUGUUGCAAGUUGCUCGUCCGUCCAACGACACUCCCCUGUUUCAGGGUCCAAAUUUCCCCCAACUCCGAAGAACCAAUUCCUUGAUCGGUCGGGCCAGUUCCAUGUCUGUGGUUGGACCCCUUUAGCAAUGAGGUCAUUCUCAGCUUUGUCCCACAACGGACGACCUUUGAGGUAGCCACCCAACCCCGUGUGAUGGUGAUACUGCUUCUUUGCAGCAUUGUUCUUGUUUCUCUCUGACAUUUCCUUACUCUAAUCCGAUGACUUGUAGGCCACAAAUGCGGGCCAGUGAUCUCUAAUCUUCUCAAAUCGGCCGACGAAUUCUGGAGUCUUCCCUUGGUCGACAUACUUUGAUUUCAACUCUUUCUUCCACCUCCUGAAUAGUUCUUCCAUCUUCUUAAGAGCACACGCCUUGACCAGUGGCUCUAUAACUGGGUUAUUCGGAUCCUCCUCUGGUGGUAGGGUGAAAUUUUUCCUUCAACGCGGUCCAAAGAUAAUCUUUCAGCCUAUCAGUGACAUAAUGACCUUCAGGGAGGUUGUCGCCCUUAGGCUUAUUCCAUUGCUUGAUGCUUAUCGGGAUGUUUUCCCUGACAAUAGCUCCGCACUGAGUAGAAAAUGCGUCCCUGGUCUGCUUGGGUUCAAUCGGUUGGCCAUCGUUCGACAGUUCUGUGAUCGUGAACUUUUGAUCCUUGCCCAACCUUCUCGUCGGGCCUCGUCUCGUUACCGAAGUUUGGCCCGAUCCGGACUUUUCAAUAGCUCCCUCCUCCGUUCGGUCACCGGAGCCGUCAUCAUGGUCUCCUUCCUCCAGGAUUCGGUAGUAACCGAAGCCAUCAUGAUAAUGUCCUUCCUCCUCCAUUGUUCGAUCACCGAAGCCAUCAUGAUAAUGUCCUUCCUCCAGGAUUCGGUAGUCACCGAUGUCGCUGACCAAAAGUUCGACAUUACUACCGUCGCCGUGGAUUAUAUCCCCCAAAAUUUCUUCUUUUUCCAUGUCUCUUUGGAAUAUCCAUUGUUUCUGGAAAUAUUACUAAGUGGGGGGGGAAGCCCUUUAUACAUAAUCCCAAAUAUUAACAUGAAAACUUAAUUUGUAACUUAAUCUAAUCUAAAUAUUUUUAUAAUUUUUAUAACUUUAUUUGCUAUUGAAACUGAAUAUAAUCUAAAUAUUUUUAUAACUUUUAUAACUUGUGUCACAUUGGGGAGUUAAAAAAUGUACCCAACAUAUUCUAAUAUGACUGUAAUACACACACAGGGAUUCACAAUUAGACUACGUCCUCUCACACACAUAGAUUCGCAAAUAGGGAGAUGGAGAGAUCAAUGGACGUGCUACCGGUGCGUCGACGGGCAACGAUGGUGGGCUUCGGAACGACGACGGGCGACGACAACGACGGCGAUGGGCACGGGGGCUACGGCAACGACGACGACGACGACGAUGGGUGGAGACGGGUGACUACAAUGACUGCAAUGGGCUCGGGGGUGACGGCGACGGUGAUGGGCUCGGGGACAACAGCGACGACGAUGGGCUCGGGGGCGACGGCGACAACGACGGGCUCGGGAGCGACAGUGACAGUGAUGGGCUCGGGGCGACGACGGGCUCGUGAGCGACGGCGACGGCGACGACGGGCUCGUGGAGGAGACGCGGGCCGGCGGCGACGGGCUCGGGUGCGACGGUGAGGAAGAGAGAACGGGGGGGAUGGAAGUUGGUGGAAAUUUCGACAACUCCCACAAUAUACGAACACCUUUGUUCCGGCUGGUGGCCCCAACCGGGACCAAAGCACACCUUUAGUCCCGGGUUGUUACACCAACCGGGACUAAAGGUCAAUUUCGACAACUCCCGCACUAUAUGCAAAAACCUUUGGUUUCGGUUUGUGGCACCAACCGGGACCAAAGCCACACUUCCGAUGGCCCAAAAGGGCGGGAAGAAGAGUACUUUCGUACCGGUUGUUGGCUAGAACCGGGACAAAAGGUCCGUCGGCCCAUUUGAUAUUUUUCAUACAUUUACUGAUUUUUGUUUUGAGCUAAAUGACUCUUAAAUUUGAAAAGCACUACAAAUGAACUCUGAAAAUGUUGAAAGUUGGCAUGGUAUAAUCAUUUCACGCACAUGGCAUGUGCUAAAAAGUUGAGAGGGUUGCGGCAAAAACUAGAUGCACAUCGUGUUCAAAAGAGACAGUCUCCUUCGAAGUAUUAGGGUUUAAUACGAAAACUCAUCUGUUACAAAGGGAUUUCAUUUUUUUGAACUUAUUUGAACUCCAGACUUUUUGUGUGUUCAAAAUUCACCAUUCAAAGACACAAUAUCCAUUUUAACUAUUUCUAACUUCAUUUGGUAUUUUCAUGCAUUUAGUGAUUUGUUUUGAGCUAAAUGACCAUUAAAUUGAAAAGCAUUACAAAUGAACUCUGAAAAGGUUGAAAGUUGGCAUGGUAUCAUCAUUUCACCCACAUAGCAUGUGCUGAAAAGUUGAGAGGGUUGCGGCAAAAACUGGAUGCACUUUGUGUACAAAACGGACAAUCUCUUUCAAAGUAUCAGGGUUUCAUACGAAAACUCAUCUGUUACAAAGGGAUUUCAUUUUUUGAACUUAUUUGAACUCCAGACUAUUUGUGUGUUCAAAAUUCACCAUUCAAAGACACAAUAUCAAUUUUUAACCAUUUCUCACUUCAUUUGGUAUUUUUCAUGCAUUUAGUGAUUUGUUUGAGCUAAAUGACCAUUAAAUUGAAAAGCACUACAAAUGAACUCAGAAAAGGUUGAAAGUUGGCAUGGUAUCACCAUUUCUACCCACAUAGCAUGUGCUAAAAAGUUGAGAGGGUUGCGGCAAAAACUGGAUGCACUUCGUGUACAAAACAGACAAUCUCUUUCGAAGUAUGAGGAUUUCAUAGGAAAACUCAUCUGUUACAAAGGGCAUUUCAUUUCUUCACUUUUUCUUCUCUUGUGUUCCUUUCUUAUUUCACCGUAAGCGUGGAUAAUCUUCAUCGUUUAAUAGGGUGCUUGGGUCAGCCUUGACUUUGAAGGGAUGAAUUUCAUGAAACUUUUCAUAAUCUUCAGACAUGUCUGUCUUGCCCUACAAUCCCACGAUGUCUCUUUUUCCUAAAAGAACUAUGUGGUGCUUUGGCUCAUCGUAUGAUGUAUUCGCUUCCUUAUAUUUUCAUAUUCUCGGUUUGGUAGACAUGUCCUUCCUAUAGAAAACUGCGCCACAUCAUUGGCUAGGACGAAUGGUUCCUCUCCGUGUGCAAGAUUGUUCAGAUCCACUGUUGUCAUUCCAUACUGUGGGUCUAUCUGUACCUCGCCUCCUGACAGAUUGACCCAUUUGCAAUGAAACAAAGGGACCUUCAAAUCAUGUCCAUAGUCAAGUUCCCAUAUGUCCACUAUGUAACCAUAAUAUGUGUCCUUUCCCCUCUCGGUUGCUGCAUCAAAGCGGACACCGCUGUUUUGGUUGGUGCUCUUUUGAUCUUGGGUGAUCGUGUAAAAUGUAUUCCCAUUUAUCUCGUACCCUUGGUAACUCAAUACAGUCGAAGAUGGUCCCCUGGCCAAGGAGUACAACUCAUCAGAAACGGUGUUGUCACACAUAAGACGUUUUUGCAACCAACUAUUGAAAGUCCUGAUGUGUUCAAAUGUAAUCCAGUUGUCACACUACUCCGGGUGUAUGGAGCUCAGAAUAUUCUUGUGUUCAUCGACAUACGGGGUCACCAAGGUAGAAUUCUGUAGAACUGUGUAGUGUGCUUGAGACCAAGAAUGCCCGUCCGUACACAUUAUUGACUCCGCUCCUAGUGUGCCUUUUCCAGUCUGUCUCCCCUCAUACCGCGAUUGAGGGAGACCAUUCUUCUUAAGGUCAGGAAUGAAGUCAACACAAAGUCCAAUGACAUCCUCUGUUUGAUGGCCCAUGGAGAUUCUUCCUUCUGGCUUAACGCGGCUACGAACAUAUUUCUUUAAGACUCCCAUGAACCUCUCAAAGAGGAACAUAUUGUGUAAAAAUACACGGCCCAGAACGACAAUAUCGUCGACUAGAUGAACUAGGAUGUGCGUCAUGAUAUUGAAGAAGGAUGGUGGGAACACCAGCUCGAAACUAACAAGACAUUGCACCAAAUCACUCCUUAACCUUGGCAGGAUUCCUGGAUCGAUCACCUUCUAAGAGAUUGCAUUGAGGAAUGCACAUAGCUUCACAAUGGCUAAUCGAGCGUUUUCCGGUAGAAGUCCCCUCAAUGCAACCCGAAGCAGUUGUGUCAUAAUCACGUGGCAGUCAUGAGACUUUAGGUUCUGAAACUUUUUCUCUGCCAUGUUUAUUAUUCCCUUUAUAUUCGACGAGAAGCCAGACGGGACCUUCAUACUGAGCAGGCAUUCAAAGAAGAUUUCCUUCUCUUCUUUGGUAAGAGCGUAGCUGGCAGGACCUUCAUACUGCUCUGGUUGCAUGUCGUCUUUUUCAUGCACACGUUGAUGUUCCUCCCGUGCCUCCGAUGUAUCUUUUGUCUUACCAUACACUCCCAAGAAGCCUAGCAGGUUCACGCAAAGAUUCUUCGUCAUGUGCAUCACGUCGAUUGCAGAGCGUACCUCUAGGUAUUUCCAAUAGGGUAGGUCCCAAAAUAUAGAUUUCUUAUUCCACAUGGGUGCGUGUCCCGCAUCGUCAUUCGGAACAGAUAGUCCGCCAAGACCCUUUCCAAAGGUUACUUGUAAAUCAUUGACCAUAUCAAGUAUGUGAUCACCAGUACGGAGGGCGGGCUUCUUCUGGUGAUCUGCCUCACCUUUGAAAUGCUUUCCUUUCUUUCGACAUUGAUGGUUGGUCGGAAGAAAUCGAUGAUGCCCCAUGUACACAUUCUUCCUGCAUUUGUCGAAAUAUAUACUGUUGGUGUCAUCUAAAUAGUGUGUGCAUGCGUUGUAUCCCUUGUUUGUCUGUCCUGAAAGGUUACUGAGAGCAGGCCAAACGUUGAUGGUUACAAACAGCAACGCAUGUAGAUCAAAUUCCUCCUGUUCGUUCUCAUCCCACACACGUACACCAUUUCCAUUCCAUAGUUGUAAAAGUUCAUCAACUAAUGGCCUUAGGUACACAUCAAUGUAUUUGUCGGGUUGCCUAGCGCCUUGGAUGAGCACUGGCGUCAUAAUAAACUUCCGCUUCAUGCACAACCAAGGAGGAAGGUUAUACAUACAUAGAGUCACAGGCCAUGUGCUAUGCUUGCUGCUCUACUCCCCAAAAGGAUUAACGCCAUCUGCACUUAAACCAAACCAUGCAUUCCUUGGGUCACGUGUAAAGUUGCUUCACUUCCUCUCGAUCUUUCUCCAUUGCGACCCGUCAGCGGGUGCUCUCAACUUUCCGUCUUUCUUACGGUCUUUUAUAUGCCAUUGCAUCAACUCGGCCUGCUUUUUGUUUCUAAACAUAUGUUUCAACCGUGGUAUUAUAGGAGCAUACCACAUCACCUUGGCAGGAACCAUCUUCCUGGUGCGCUGGCCCUCAACAUCACCAGGGUCAUCUCAUCUGAUCUUAUACCGCAAUGUGCCGCAUACUGGGCAUGCGUUCAAAUCCUCGUAUGCACCACGGUAGAGGAUGUAGUCAUUACGGCAUGCAUGUAUCUUCUGCACCUCCAAUCCUAGAGGGCAUAGAACCUUCUUCGAUUCAUAUGUACUGUCGGGCAAUUUGUUAUCCUUUGGAAGCUUCUUCUUCAUUAACUUCAUUAGCGAACUAAAUGCCUUAUGAGAUACACCAUUGUGUGCCUUCCAUUGCAGCAAUUCCAGUGUGGUACCGAGCUUUGUGUUGUCAUCUUCGCAAUUUGGAUACAACCCUUGUUUGUGAUCCUCUAACAUGUGAUCGAACUUCAACUUUUCCCUUUCACUUCCGCAUUGUCUAUGUGCAUCAACAAUGAACCGACGAAGAUCAUCAUUGGGCACAUCGUCUGGUUCAUCUUGAUCUUCAGCUUCCCCCAUUGCAGCAUCACCAUAUUCAGGGGGCCGGGUAGUUGUCAUCAUCCUCUUCUUCUACGUUGUCUUCCAUCAUAACCCCUCUUUCUCUGUGCUUUGUCCAAACAUUAUAGUGUGGCAUAAAACCCUUCUAAAGCAGGUGAAGGAUUUUAUAGUCGGAGAAUUCCUUUGUAUUCCCACAGACAGUACAUGGACAAUGCAUAAAACCAUUCUGCUUGUUUGCCUUAGCCGCUUCGAGAAAAUUAUGCAGGCCAUUAAUAUACUCGGAGGUGCGUCGGUCACCGUACAUCCAUUGAAGGUUCAUCUGCGUGCGUUAUAUAACAAAGUGUAUUAAAAACUACACAAAUCUUGAUGAAAAUGGAGUUUGGACAAGGAGCUUCUAAAGGAGAAAGCUUAAGUAUGGCUCGGGCAUUUCAUUGAACACCUCAUGUGCAUAGGAGGUGAGCUAGAGCACCACAAAGCUCUCCCAUGGCCGGCCGAAAAAACAGAGCAGUGCACUUCUCUGCUCGCGAGGGUAUAUGUAGGCCAAUCGUUGGUCCCAGUUAUUGGCUGGAACAGAGACCAAAGGACAACCUAAGGUCUCGGUUCCAGCCACAAACUGGGACUACUAGUUGUGGGCCAGGAGCGAGGCACAUUGGUCCCGGUUCGUGUCUGGAACCGGGACCGAAGGUGACAAACGAACCAAGACAAAUGGCCCACAAGGCCCGGCCGGUGCCCUGGCCUCACGAACCGGGACCUAUCACCACAUAGGUCCCGGUCCAUGAGUGAACCGGGAUUAAUGGGAUUUCAUCAAGUGGACCAAAGCCCUAUUUUCUACUAGUGACAUGAAACAUUAGAUGAGUAUGCCAUACAUGGCAUCGAACAACCAAAUGGGAUGGGAAGUUCAUUACAUUGCAUCGGACAACCAAAAGACAGAGCUAGUUCAACACCGGAUUCUACUACUACUUCAUAUAUAGUCCUUCUUGUCCUUUUUAGUCUUCAUCCAAAGUCAAAGUAUCUCUACUUUGACCAAAUUUAUAGAAAAAGUAUCAACCUUCAUAAUGCCAAAUAAAUAUUCUUAGAUCCAAUGUGAAAUGUAGUUUCAUAGUAUAUAUAUUUGGUAUUGUAGAUAUAGAUAGUUUUGAAUAUAAAUUUGUUCAAAGUUUGCAAACUUUGACUUAACAGAAAUCUAAUACGCGGAGUAAAAAGGACCAGAGAGAGUACAUAUACUAUGAAAUUAUACUAGGAAAAGAGAAUACCACCGCUUUGACUUGCCAUGCCCCUUGUCAUAUCUAGGGCGGUGGUAGUACAUGGUGAAGACCGCGCGAGGGUCAUCGCCCGAUGAGCGUUAGAGUAGGAGGAGCUGGUGAUGCAGGAGGAUGGGGAGGGGUAGGGGGCGGUGAGGAGUCAGGCGAUGCAAGCCCGCUCUACGACGGGCUUUUGUUAUCGUCUUCACUUUCCGAGCCACUUCCCACUCGAUGCAUCGAUGCCCUCUCGCAAUGCCUUCACAUUUUUGCGGCAACGAGUGUUCGUCAUUGUGGAGAUCAAUGACCAGCGCAUUACUUCAUGUAAUACAUGGUCAUCGAAGUUGGGCAGGAGACCAACAAUUGUAGCGGACUAGCUAGAUCGAACCUUGUCACAAGCCUUCUGCCGAGCACGCCACACUGCCCGCGUCAAAGGCUCGGAGGACGCCACCGAGCAUCAAUUUGUUGGAGAUAUGCCAUAGAGGCAAUAAUAUUGUAUUUUGCAUUUCCAUAUUCAUAGUUAAGACUUUAUAUUCUAUGCCAUAACUGCUAGGAUCCUAGAAUAUGUGAUUCAGUGGAAAACUCAUAUGCAUGUGUGGAAUAGUAAAUGGUUAAAUAGAGAUUCACAGUGUUGCCUCUAAUACUGGCUCAAGUGUAGUGGGUGAUCUCAUUUUUUGGAUCUUAGGAUAUCAUCAUGUGCAAUGAUGAUCUUAAAACAACAUUGAGACUACGACAUUAGAACAAUGAUCAUAUUGAAUCGACCAAAUACUUGUUUGUUAUACUUUGAGAUAAUAUCUUCUCAAAUCAAUUGGUAUAACACAAAGUGUUAACAUGUGUUUUAUGUUCCUUAUACCAUGACAGUGUCGUAGUCACUUCUUAUCAUAUGCCGAGCUUUGGGGUUGCUCAAACAUCAUUUGUACCUAGGUGAUCAUAACGACAACUUACACGUUCAUCAGAAAUUUUGACAGGGGACUAGAUAGUUCGAGAGUGGGAUUUUCUCCUCCAAUGAUGGAGAGUUAUUAUUAGGGCCCUCUCCGUGUGACAAAAUCAAUCAUCAUAUGGCCAGACACAGGUGACUUAGUCACGUGGACGCCUAAACAUGAAAACGAGAAAGAAGAACAAAAACAGCAACGAGGAUAACAGUAUAGUGAGUGUGUGAUGACUCAUGAGGAUAUGGAUGCAUCUCGGGUUUAAAAGUAUCGCAAAGAAAAUUUAAUGUCACAUGGUAAUCAAAGGUUCACUCUAAUAUCAUUCAUGUGCUCAUAGGGAUCGAUAUGGACGUCCACGGUCCCGCUACCGGUCAUUGAACAAAGGGGUUUCGUUCAUGAGUUAUCGAACCUACGGGGUCACAAGACUAAGGCUAUCACAAUCUUCUGAGUGUUAGUAGUACGGGGGAGAUGAGAACAUGUUUUUGAAAUUGUUUCAUUAUUGUAUGAAAUAGUUUCGAGAGGACCCGGAAGCGUUUCGGGGUCACCAUAAGGGCCCCGGAGAGUAUCGGGUAAUACCGGCGAUUGCUGAUAAAUAAUAUAUAGGUGGAAAUGUUUUGUAGCAUGUUAAAUUAUAUAUAAAAUGGACUGAAAGUGUUAAGAAUAAUUUUAUAUUUUAUUUAAUAAUAAUGGGCCUUAAAAGACCAAGAGGUGGAAGGCAACUUGGGCCACAAGAGCCCAAUGGGAAGGUGCCUCCCUUCCCUAAGGAAGGGGGCCGAAUUGAUGAGGGGGAGGAGUUGGACUCCUCUUCCCUUGUCCGGCCAAAAGGGAGGGACUCAUUCCCCUUGUGGCGCCCUCCUUCUCUCCUCCAACCUAUAUAUACUCGAGGUAUUUGCACCUAUUGUAUACACAAGUUUUGGAGCCGCUUCUAGUUCAUCUAGUUCUAGUUCUAGUUGGUCCUAGUUGACUAAUCAGAGCUCGGUCUAGUUCCUCAAAUCCUCAUAAUUAGAAGGCUAGUGUGAUUCUAAUCUUCUCCCUCUAAUUCUCAAGUGACGAUUAGCUUUGGAUGACAAAGCGAUGUCGGAUCAUGAAGAUCGUACACUUGCAACCAAGUAGAGAGGUUGUGUUUUUGUCUUCGGUUCGAGGGAUUGUUCAUCUAUGAUUCAAGGAACUCCAAGCUUGGUCUUCAUCAUCACGUUCUUGUUUUGCUCCUACUCGGUGAUGGUAACGGUCGUGAUCCCAACCAUUAUUAUAUCUUCAUAGUGUUCCUCGUUGCUUGCGUGGCGUUUUUUGUUUUCUACUAUGUUUCCCAACACCAACAAUGCCCAAGAAUGCAUGCUGGCGACAACACACCAUAUACACAUGAGCAGCGUCGGGACACCAAGGACGGUGUGGAGUGCCUUAACUAACAACUCCAUUCACCCUAUCCGCAACUUGGGACGGUGCGAAGCUCAAAGAGUCUCCAUAGUCAACCCACGAGCGGUGGAGGGCCAGCUACUCGUCGGACAAUUAGAGCUAGAAUCCUCCGCCACCACCAUAUCCCAAUCAAUGGGGCUUAAUCGGAUCUUGAUCCACUACCGGAGCUGUAUAUGGUGGCUUGGGAUGGUGAGGACUAGAUGACAAGGAGGGAGUAGAGCAAUCGAGAGUGAGGGCUAGGGUUUGGUCCGGGUAGGAUAGAGUGGGGUUUAUGUGGUGUCAGAGUGGGACCAAUAGGGGUUGUUUUACGUGGUGUGUUACACAAUCUCGGGUCCGCUAACACCAGCCUUUCCGACCCACAUGCAUCAACAGGACAAACAGGAGAGCAACACCGACUUAUGACAGGCCUGGGGCCCUCUCCCCCCAAAAGACUAGCCUUUUAGGAGGGGACACCCUCACCCUUAUAAGUCGUGUUAUGUCUCCUCCCACAACCAAUGUGGGACUAAACCCAACAAUCUCCCCCUCACACAUCGCUCACCCAUGGGCCCGCUAAUACCAGCGUCUCCAGCCCACCUACCAUGACCGACCACCCGUGAGUCCACCGAGAUUUAUUCUGGGCACCUGGGCUCUGAUACCACUUGUUACACAAUCCCGGGUCCGCUAACACCAGCGUUUGCGACCCACAUGCGUCAACGGGCCCAACUGGAGACGUUCUCUUCGUACAAGUCUGGUGAUUUUGGUUUAGCCUAUAUGAGCGAUGACACUGGUUAUCGUGUUGUACAUCGGUUGUGGGAGGAGAAGUUACACGACUUAUAAGGGUGAGGGUGUCCCCUCCUAACAGGCUAGUCUUUUGGGGAGAGAGGGCCCAAGGCCUGUCAUAAGUCGGUGUUGCUCUCCGGUUGGGCCUGUUGACGCAUGUGGGUCGGAAACGCUGGUGUUAGCGGACCCGAGAUUGCGUAACAAGUGGUAUCAUGAGCAAGGUUACGACGAGGUCGUUGUGCAUUGAUCUAGAGGAUGAAGAACAAUUGGAAGCAGUUGGAUCGAAAGCUUUACGGCGGAAGAAUUGCGAGGCUACGAAGUAGAUCGGUCAAAAUAUCAGUCGAUGAUGUGGCAGCGACGUGUGGUCGUUCGUCGUACAAGCGACAUCUCGAUUGGCUGGGCUUUUGGCGUACAUGCAAGUCGCGCGUGGUGUUGGGAGAGGCCCAGGUGCAGCGAUAUAUCUCCUGUCAAAUCGCGCGUGGCGUUGGCAGAGGCCCAGGUGCAGCGAUAUAUCUCAUGUCAAAAAGCUAUCAUACAUAGCAGCAUAAUUAGAUUUGUUUGGAAACAAAAAUUAACAAGACCGAGUCCUGGAAGAACUCGUGUUGGACAGGAACCUGGAGGUGCGCUAUUAUAUAUAGCCGCAAGGGCCGGGCACCUGAUGUGACGAAAAUAACAGCAGAUCAACCGGCAAAGAAAGUCCAUUGAUACGCAUUAGUACAUCGGAAAGCAUCAGGCUUUGGCAAAGCAAUUAACAUCAAGCGUCCAGAUUUGUGCUUUCGAGUAGAUCACGUGGAAGGCCAAUUUAUUUUGGUGGAUUGCUACUAGUGCACAGAGGCGAGACCAUGUGGGUUUUGCUCGUGCACUUCAGCAUCACGGGGAUAACUCGGGUAUUUUUUCACACAAUCAGCCGUACAAAGAACCAUGGCGCCAGUGGGUACCAGGUUUGAGGUGGAGAAGUUCGACGGGACUGGAAGCUUUGGGUUAUGGCAGACAAGGGUGAAAGAUUUGUUGGGAGAACAGGGAUGCUUGAAGGCGUUGUUGCAGGAAGCCAAGCCAGCUAAGAUGGAGGCUGAGGACUGGGAGGAGUUACAGUUGAGGACAUCUGGAACUAUACGGUUGUGUCUGUCGGACCAGGUUAUUUAUCAUGUGAUGGAUGAGAAUUUGCCGAAGAAGAUCUGGGAGAAGCUGGAGAGUCAAUUUAUGUCCAAGACUGCUACGACCAAGGUGUAUCUGAAGCAAAAGUUGUAUGGGAUGAAUAUGCGGGAGGGGUCAGAUCUUGUGGAGUAUAUGAACGCCUUUAAUCAAGUCGUGAUAGAUCUAGCACGCUUGGGUGCAACGAUUGACGACGAGGAUAGGGCAAUUCUGCUUCUUUGUUCAUUGUCAUCAUCCUAUGACCAUUUGAUCACUACUUUGACGCAUGGCAAGGAGACUGUCAAGAAUGAGGAUAUUACUGCAGCCUUGCUAUCUUAUCAUAUGAGAAAGAAGAAUGCAGUGGAAGUCUCUCAUAGUGAAGGUUUGCUAGUCAAGGGUGAAGCGUAGCGAAAGGGAUAUGAGGCAGGGAAGAAAAAGAAAAGAAAAUAAAAUACAGUGUCACAAGUGUAAGCAGAGGGGACAUAUUAAAAAGGACUGUCUAGAGCUUAAUGGUGGGUCAAGUGCUAAUAUGACAAUUCAUGGUGAUGACUCAGACAUCAGUAGUGAUGCCCUUGUAGUAUCAGACAAGCGGUCAACCAAAAGUGAAGCGUGGAUGUUGGAUUCAGCUUGCUCUUUUCAUGCGACACCCAACAAGGAGUGGUUCUCUUCGUACAAGUCUGGUGAUUUUGGUUUAGCCUAUAUGGGCGAUGACACUGGUUAUCGUGUUGCUGGAGUAGGUGACAUUAAAAUAAAGAUGUUUGACGGAGUUGAGCGGAUGCUUCGGGGAGUCAGGCAUGUGCCGGGGUUAAGGAGGAAUCUAAUUUCGCUUGGAGUUCUUCAUGAUGGUGGUAUGGUAUUCCGUUGUGAUCGGGAUAAUAAGACCAUGGAAAUCAUGGAAGAUAAGGUGACUGUGAUGAUUGGAGCGAGGAAAGCUUCACAUCUUUACAAGUUGCAAGGAAGCACUAUUGCAGGUGGAGUCACGGAGACUGGAAUUGCAGGAGUAGCAACAGGAUCCCACGGAGGCGGCGGGUCUGGGGAAGAAUCAUCGGGUAGCUCUCGGUAAGCUACAAAGAAGACAACACAAGUCCGGAGUACACGGAAGUUUGACGCAUGGACACAUUCAAAGGGGUGAAGAAUAUUCGCCAAGGUGGAGUUUGUUAGAGUUGUGUCGAAUAUUGUGUACGAGUUGGGUUACAUAUGGACUUGGUGUUGUAGUUUGGGUAGGAUACAUGUAGUGUUGUAGUCGGACAUGUUGUACCCUUGGCCUCUUAUAUAUGAGGAGGCACCCCACGUUGUAACCUAUGACUACUAGAUAGCGACAGGCUCGCAAGGGGGGAGCCGGGGCUUGUGCCGACGCCCGGGUGGCCGGUGUUGCGGUAUCUCGGGGAGGAGCGCCCGUAGUCAUUGCCCCGGGGAGUAGGCGAGUUCGCCGAACCUCGUUAACAAAUCUCGGUCUCGUUAUUGUGCUGUGAUUGUUUGUCCCUCGGUGGAUCGACUACGUACCUCGGAUUUAUUCGUAACAUGGUGGACGUGUCUGCGCAUGUGUGAGCCGCCCAAAUCAGCUACAGAUAUGAGCUGAAUUUGAGGGGCGUUGAACGAUCGUGAACAUUUAGGCUCGAUUUGAAGGGUUAACUUGGACGAGGUCGAGAAGUCUCAACUUGAGUAAAGGAUUUAUAAAUGUUGGGUUAUCCAGAGUGUCCACGUGGAUAAAUAAAGGGAAUAUAUAGGGUCUAACGGAGAUCAUCUUUGAGACACGAAAGCAUUUCAAAACAUAGAACCAGACAACCAACAUUCAAGCCAACUCCAACGCGCUGAUGCAUUUGAUCUGCACAUGUCCGUAUAUGCCGAAAUGGACAGAAGCGACGUCUCAACAUGUUGACGCAUCCACAAAUGUGGUCCGCUCAAUGACCGUCUCGACAAAUAUCAGGAUCAAAUUUGCGGCCGAUUUGCAUCCACAAAGAGAACACAUGUCAUCUUUGUGUCCGUUCUAACUCGCAUGUUGGACUACCAACCAAUGCCCAAUCAUUGUGAAUGCAAACCAACCAUCUUAGGCCCGCUUGUCACCGACACGAAGAAUCCAGUCCACGUUCUUUUAAAUGGCCAUGCGUGCUCCCUUUCUGGCCGACACAAACCCUAGCCUCUGUCGUCGCCAUGGGCUUCGUCAUCCACAAGCAUGACCAUGAGGCUCGAUCUUCACGUAGCCCGGCCAAUUUAACGCUGGCGUCGGGAUGGGGGCGAUGACCAUGCUACCGACUCUACAUUUCGGUGCAUUGUGCUUAGUACCAAUGGGAGUACUGUGUCCAAUUGUCAUGGCUGAACAUCAACCUUCUACACAGUUGGCAUCUCGACAGCCAUUAGAUUCCGGUGACGGUCGUGCUGCAGUCUGGGCAUGUACGUGCAGUAGAGAUCUGCAACCUCCAUGCUCUUAUCGUGCCGGAGCAACACCGCGACCCUGCAUACAUGCUCGACUCCCUGAAUUGGGACAUCUAAUUCACGGUUGAGCACGCCAUGAGCCGUCGUGGCGUCGUCUAGAUCGACGAUCGCCCCCAUCGCCAUCGUCGAUGGAGAAGGAGGACGACAAAGAGGUGGCCUACCAAGCGGCACUGGAGGAGGCGAUCCAGCGCGCCAUCGAGGAGUCCAAGUGUGUGAAGGAUGCUCGGUGACCUAGCCUCAAGGAGGCGUUGCAGCAUUCGGUGGCCGGUGAGAACGUCUAUCCACUACGACCUUCAUCACCACCGCCAUCGUCCGCACCCGCGCCCAUGCUCGAGACGUAUCAAUGGGUGGGCGUUGUGCCCAGGUAUAUCUCUAGGUCGCCAGUUUGGCUAUGCGUGAUGGAGGAUGGGGAGCGAUAGUACCUUGCGCAGUGGGAGGGCCGCGCGGUGGUAUCAAAUUGGGCAGACUUGGAGCAUCCGAUGCAAUCAUUGUGCAAGGAGGAGGCCGAGCGGCGCGCGCAGGAGGAAAAGAUGCAGUGUCACGCAACGCCGCCACCGCCACCGCGUCAGCAAACGACACUGGCAGCCUACCAGCAUGCUUUCCCAUGGGCGGCGUUGCUGAGUACGUCGACCUAACCAUGGAGGGCAAGCAUGACGACGAUGAUGCCUAGGGCUGCGGGCUGGGGCACCGAGCGCAUGAGAGUGGUAUUUUUAGUUUAAAUAUUUUUUGUUUUAAUUAAUUAUUAAGUGGGCUUCGACCAGCAUUCCAAUAUGCAUGUUUUAUUUUAAAAAAUUUAUGCCUAUUGAGUUGUUUGUAAGUUGUGGCGUCGGCCAAAUGCUUUGGCCACAUUUGGGCGCCCCGAUGGCCCAAGGCCACAAUCGAACACAUUUGUCCGCUCGAACGACUCAAACAAGCAAAAAACAAAAAAUAUGUGUCUAUUUGCGCGUGGGUGGGGAUGCACACGUCUCGCAAUGCCUGGGCGACAGCCGGAGAAGUACAAAGACGAUGCCGGAGGAGGAGGAGGAUGAGGAUGCACUGCAAGAGGGAGUUGGGGUCGAGUGAAAGAAAAGUGACCCGAGAUGAGAAUUCGAGUGGAUCGGGGGUGUCGGAGUCCCACGUCAUUGCGGUUCAGAAUACCACAAAGCUCCCCAAUUUUGUGAUCGGUUUACAAAAAAUUAGACAAACGAACGCAUCCACGCACAAAUGCAUGUGUGUUGAAUGGCAAACUACACGGUUCAAACGUAUGUGGGCGUUUUGAGGGUCUACUUGAAGAUGCCUCGAGUGUUCUUCCUUUAUUUGUUCGGACCUACCGUUAUAAUUUUUCUGAAUAGAUGUUUCAAAAAUCUGAAAAUAAAUUAUUUGUGUUCACUAGACAUUUGUCCACAACCCUAUGCUUUGAGUUUGGAUCUGUAUUUCUGAAGAGCUGCGUACACAUGUGUGGUGAACAUUCGCGAUUAUUUUCUGAAUAUUUUAAUUUGAAUUUUUAUAAUUUGGAAGUAAGAGUGACACCUGAUACACUUAUACGACAUUUUCCGUGGCGGGGGUACCCAGAAUACGUGUCACCCGUUUCAGCCGUUAGCAAGCGUCGGUGCUGCCAUUGCCGACAGUCGACAUCUGGGGUUCCCUGUUCAGCAGGUAAUUAUCACAUUCAGAGGAAGGACACGUAUCUCCACGUUAUUGGCUAGUGCUUUCUUUCAUUUUUCUUUUUUGCAUAAAUCCACUUGCGAUUGUGACCACAAGAGCUUUAGCUGAUUCCAUAUCUGCCACUUUAUCUUAAAGAGGUAACCCGCUGAGAUUUGUGCGAACAAAGUUCAUUUCGUGACUGCGGUUCUUCACGGUCAAGCACUAAAAAAAGGGACAGAUAGACAUUAACACUGUCAGCCUGCUCUUAGUUCAAGUACCUUUACGAAGGAUUGUUAUAGAAAUUUGGAGGAUCAAAAUCAUAAGAAAUUUUUCUGUGUUAUUCGUCUGAUUAGUAGAAGUAAGUUUCAUAGGAAUUCUCAGGCAGCACUUUACACUAAACGAUUUUAAAAUAAUUUGUAUCCACUCAAAGCUCUUAGUAAUAACCAUGGAUUAGAAAGACUACGUUCAUUCUUAUCCUACACAAAAAUGAUUGUUAUCCUACACAAAAAAACUGAACAAGGUUAGUCUGUCUAAUACAAAAACUUCUAUUUUUCUACAACACUCAAAUAGAGAUUGAAGUGUGCUACUAUUUUACAUUACAAUUUUCUCUUCCCCUGUCUGUCUUAUUAUAUCCGAAGAUAUUUUCUUCUCCACUACCAAACUCAACCACACAAGUAGCUUUCCCUCUUGUCGCCGAUCCCAUCCACACCUUCCUCCACCUAUAAAAUCGAACCCCUACCAUCUAUCCUCUUCACUCCCUCUGCUACUAGCCUCACCACUCUUAAGCGACAAAAGAUUGUUGCUACCAGCACCUAAGCUUGAAUGGAGGGUGAGAAGAACUCGUCCGGGGACCUGAUGUCCAGCAGCAAGCUGGUCGCGGAGGCCGCCAGGACAGCCUACGAGAAGAAGAGCGUCGAGGGCAUCGACAAGGAAAAGGUAGCCGCCGCCUCCGCCGAUAUCCUGGACUCCGCCGCCAAGUACGGCAAGCUAGAGGACAAGCCGGUGGGCCAGUACCUCGAGAAGGCCGAGGAGUACCUGAAACAGUACAGCUCCGGCGGUGCAGAGAAGACUGAUGCACCUGCUGCCGCUGACGCACCGAAGCCGGAUGCACCCAAGGAGCCAGCGCCUGCGCCUGCACCUGCACCCGCCGUGGAGGAAGAGAAAUCGUCCGACGGGUUCGGUCUCGACGACGUCAUGAAGGGGGCUGCAUCGCUAUCAGGGAAGAAGGGUGACGGGGAGGAGAAGGAGAGCGGCGGCGGCGGCUUCAUGAAGAUGGCUCAGGGGUUCAUGAAGUAGAAGUCGGGUUUCUGCUUCUACUACAUGCAUGUAGCUCUUGCUAAGUUCGUGCGCUGCGUUCCUUUUUUGUAUUUUAUUACUGUAUAAAAUAAUAACGUCGUGGUUGCGCUUAAUUAUAUUAUUAGCUGCUGAUAUUUGGUUCUGUAAAGUUUCUUAAGUUAUGGAUGUCUGUAUGAUGAUCAAUAAUCCGGUUGUGCUAGCUAGAGGCAUCCUGCUUGCAGGAUCUCGGUUGUAAUCUACUCCCUCCCUUUUUAAAUAUAAGUUUUUUUAGACGUUUCACUAAAAGACUAUAUACGGAUGUAUAUAAACAUAUUUUAAAAUAUAAAUUCAUUCAUUUUGCUUCGUAUUUGGUUUUUUAAUGGAAUUUAAAAAAAUAUAUAUAUUUAGAAAUGGAGGGAGUAUAAGUUGCGACAUAAAGACCGGUGUUUCCAUUAUCAAUUAUUGCAUCUGGCCCUAUAUCAUGUUAUUUUAGGGGUAUGACCCUAUAUUAUUUGGGCCAUGCCUAUGACUACCAAGGAACAUGGAGGGUUUUUGCACUGUUUUGACCUUUUCAACAGUCUUUAUCAUAAACUGAAAGUAUUUUACGAUUUGACCCUUUUAAAAAACGUCACAGCCCGUGAUGUUGCUGCUGCACGUAGAAACGUCGGUCUAGCUUGAUGUUUCUAUUCCACAUUUAAACGUCGAUCUAGCUCGGAUGUCAUUCACGCAAAAACGCCACGCUCACUGAUGUUGUCCUUGCAGCAAACGCCAUACAUCGUUCCUUCUCCCGGACAGGUGGGCGUCGUGUGCUCGUGCAUGCAUGGUCACGGGUAGGGAGGGACUGGGCGCCGCAGUCGCACAGGGGAAUGCGGCUCCCCGCCAAGCGGUGCCCGGUUGAGAAACUGCCUGCCGCCUCGGUAAGCAUGCAUGCCAGAGAUGGUGACUCUGACAGCCGGGCCUGGCUAGCUAGCUAGUGUAUUAUGACAGUGGCAACAUCUCGCUCGUUGGCAGCGAUGGUUGACGGUCAAAAGCUAGCUAAGUAGCGAGCCAUGCAGCGCUAGUCCAGUCCCGUCAGUCACCACAAAACAAAAAACAAACACAAACACACAAUCAGGCUGUAGUAAGUGUCAAUCCAUGGCGUCACCAAGGGCUGUUUGGCUUUCGGUCACACUUUGUCAAGUCAAAAUUUAGCAGCCACAGUUUAAUUAACAUAUGUUUGGUUUUUGCCACACUUUGGUUUGCCAUACUUUAUUAAUGCUAUGACCCAUUGUCAUGAGCAAGCAAGCGGAGUAGAGCACAGUUGUACAGCUAUAUGAAAAAUAAAACGGGAGCAGGAGCGUGGAGAAAAAGUGGGCAUGGCAACGCCGCUAGAACAGUAACAGGCCACGGAAACGACAUGGUCCAUGGCGUUUGCCGUCUGGGUAGCAACGUGAGAGCCUGGCGUUUUUAUGUGAGCUGCAAUGCGAGCUAGUUAGUCGUGUGAACGUGGAGCAGAAACGUCAUAGUAGAUUGGCGUUUCUACGUGUAGUAGCAACACCACGGGUUAUAGCGUCUUUAAAAUGUCAGAUCGUGAAAUAGUUUCGUACAGAGUUCAUUUUGUGUUAUAAUUUCAGAUUAACGUCAGAAUAGUGAAAAAAAUCCUAACAUGGAGUACUAAAAUUGAUUAGGACUUUUUUUUGCAAACACCCAAAAGACUUGCGUGCCGAUGUAUUACAAGAAAGAAAAUAGUACAGGGUAUUCGGCGGGUGGCCGUGAUUACAAGGGACGCCGAUGCGACUCCAUCGGCGGGCAAUCAGAAUAAAGCAACGAUCAAUACAAUCUGUACAUAAGUUCAUGCACACAUAAAAACCGGGGCGACGACACUAUCUAACUCAAAGAAAAAAAGAAAUGAGAAAAAAGCCAGCUAAUGACGGUACAACCUUGGUCCUACAUGAAAGCCAGACGCCGGCCGUAGCCAAAAUAGCGUCCAACAUACCAUUCACACAUGCGCAGUCGUGCUGCCUAGAAAGUGGGUGCCAAUACUGCAUAAAAGACAGGAAUUUGAAGGAGUGAGACGUGUACCUCGAAAAAAUCCGUUCUAUCACCAUCUUAUUGCGAGUCGUCUAGAGGGUCCAAGCCAUGGCGGCAAAGAUCAACCAGAAUAAACGGCGGUGGCGCCCAGUGUGAUUGGCCCUGAAUUGGAGGAACUCUGCAAGGUCUUCAGCCUCCGAGUCGGGUCCAAGAGCCUCGCGAAUGAAUUCCCAUAUGGCUCUUGCCGUCGUGCACGUGAAGAUUUUGUGGGUUGCGUCUCUCGCACGCCAAUAAGGGGCACGUGUCGUCACCUGGUCCGUGCCGCUUCCGCAACUCUGUCCCCGAGGGGAUGCGGUUACGGAGUAGCUGCCACACAAAGAUUUUGAUCUUUAAGGGUAGAGGGGCCUUCCAUAGCGGCUAGCCAUGGAAUAAUGAGGAGCGACAGAUGACCUGAUAGGACGAACUAACCGAAAAUUCCCGCGACAGGGAAAGACGCCAGACCACCGUAUCUGGGCGAUCCGGGAGUACAUGUGCCAAGACGUCGAGCAGGCGGUGCCACUCGUCCGUUUCUAUCGAUCCGAAUGAGGGCCUGGACAUAAUAGCCAAGUGCCCUUGGCGGAGGGCGCUAGAUGCUAGAAGGGAUGGGUUUACGCAGAUGGGGAAAAGGAUAGGAAACCACACCCUGAGUAGUUCAUCCCUAACCCAGGGGACCAGCCGAAACUAGGUCCCUUCUCCGUUACCUUUAUUAAAGGAGAUUCCUAGAUGAAUCUCCUCUUUGAUAUUGUGGAUAGCGCGCCCGAAUUCAGAUCCGCCGGUACGAGAGCACACAAGGAGCGGCUCACCCCUUAGGUACUUUGCGUGAAGGAGUUGGAGUCAGAGACCACCCUCGUUACGGAGGAUCCUCGAAAUCCACAGUAACACGAGGGAGGUAUUCAUACUGCGGGAUGCCGGGAUCCCCAACCCACCAUGGUCCUUAGGAAGGAAAAUAUCUGCCCACUUGACCAUGUGGUGCUUCUGAUGACCGUCAUUGGCCUGCCAGAAGAACCUGGCGAGCUCCUUAUCGAACGAGCUAUGGACGCUCUCCGGUAGGAUAUACAUCCCCAUCAUAAACAUGGGUAGGCUCGCCAAGUUGUUAGAAAUGAGGAAAGCUUUACUCCCUUUGGAGGUAAAACGGCCUCGCCAUGGCUCAGCCCGUGAAGCAAGCCGACCCACUAGGGGGGUCAACCCCUGACGCCAGGAUCUUUGACUUCGCCAAAGGCAUUCCUAAAUAAGUUGUGGGGAACACCGAUAGCUUGCAAUUUAGGUUAUUUGAAAUACAGAGCUGAUCCUCUAGGGAGUAGCCUAGGACGAAGAUCUCGCUUUUAUCAAAGUUGAUCUUCAGACCCGACAUCGCUUCGAAGCAUAGGAGGAGAAAUUUUAGAUUCAUAAUAUCGAGGUUGGACCCUUCAACCAUGAUCAUGGUAUCAUCUCUGUACUAGAGGUGGGUGACCCCUCCACAAGGGAUCAGGUGCCCCACCACCCUAGAAAGAUCUCGAACAUACGAGCUUUGUCUAGAAUGCCCGCCAGGGCAUCAACGAUGAGGUUGAAGACGAGGGUGAGAGAGGCCCCCCCUGCUUCACUCGAGCCGAGGAUGAGAAAAAAGGUCUCACCUUGCCAUUAAUGUUAAUGGUCGUCUUGCUAGACCGGACCAUCUGCAUAAUCCAGGAGCACCAUUUGUCAUCGAAGCAUCGGCGGUUAAGCACCAACCUCAGGAAGGACCAAUAGAGACGGUCAUAUGCCUUCUAGAAGUCCAACUUGAGGAACACACCCUUCUGGCCGCGUGAGUGCACCUCAUGCACAAUAUCUUGGAGGACCAAGAUCUCAUCAUGGAUUCAUCAGGCCUUCAAGCAUGAAGUCUGAAGGGGAUGAUCAAGCCUCUCCGCCAAGGAGCCACGUGUGUCGCACAUAGUUUAGAGAAUAUGCGCUCUAACAGUUUGAUCACCGUGAUAGGCCUAAACUGAUGAUAUCCGCCGCCCCAACUAUUUUGGGGAUCAGGGUAAUCACGCCAUAAUUGAUCCGGGCCUUUUCAAAGGUCCCAAUAUAGAACUCAUGGAAGAUUGCAUAAUCACCGGCUUAAUGUCGUCCCAGAAUUUUAGAAGAAGACCACUCACAGCCCAUCUGGACCAGGGGCCGAGCCUUCCUUCAUAGAGGCGAUAGCCCUGCCCACCUCCUCCUUCAAGAAAGGGAGGGUUAACUCCGUAUUCUCGGCAUCCGAAACUCAAACGGUAGGAGACCAGAAGUUGUCGGUGAUCGAAACCCCACUACGGGGUCCCGCCAAAAAUAACUCCUUGUAGAAAGAGUAUAUGUGGGACCGGAUCUCGUCCUCAUGCUCAAGAAGGUUUCAACCAUCCCAUAAACACGGGAUAGCGUAUCUCCGGCGUCGACCAUUCACGAUUGCCUGAAAGUAUGCGGUAUUGGCAUCACCUUGUAGAAGCCAUUUCUAUCCUACAUGGUAUUGCCAGAAGAGCUUCUCUCCCUUGAAUAUCUCCAUAAGCGAGGCCACAAGGGCAUAACGCCGCAUCCAUUCAUCGGCCAAGAGGCGAGAAGCAUCGUCCAGCACAUCAAGGGCUUUUAUCUGGACUAGUAGUGCCUCCUUACGCGCUAUAGUGUCCGCACCAAGGAUAGGACCCCACCCCCUCAUGAACUGGUGGGUACGAUGCAAAUAGUGGUGCCAAACGUCAGUAGCACAUUACGCAUGAGGAGGUGAUGCCACGGCCUCUACCGAGCGGUUGCACACCAGCGCCAAGAAUCGUGGUUGCAUUAGCCAAGCGGGCUUAAAGUGGAACCACCUCGGCUUAGGGGGUGCGUCGUCCCCCGACGAGAGAAGAACAGCGACAUGAUCUGCCCCUAUCCAUGUGACUGCCCGAAGCGAGCAAAGCGGGAACAUGACCUCCCACUGCAUCGAUACUAGGACCCUAUCCACAACACUACGGAUAUGGUCCAUCUGCUUAUUAGUCCACGUGAACCUAGCCCCUAUGUAGGCUAACUCCCAUAGAGCCAGGUCGGCGAUGCAGUCAUUGAACAUGCGCAUCCGACCCCGAUCCAAUGUCAUGGAACUUUUGUCGUCCGCCUGUUGAAUAAGGUUGAAAUCACGAGCCACCACGACCGGUGUAGUGUAGCGUUCAACCUCAUUCUUGAGUUCGGCCAGGAAAUCCACCGACCUACUAUGGUCAGCCGGGACGUAGACAAUGAUCACCUCCCAACUGAGGUUCACUUGUCGGUCCACGAUGGACAUGCUAAGGAAGAACUCCUCUCGGUCCAUGGCCUCAACCUAGAAGGUGUCCUCCUAGACCCUAAUCAAGAUGCCCCCCGAGAGGCGUGUAGAAGGAAGCUACUUCUAGGCAAACGAGCGGUGGGAGAGCCCAUGCAUUUCUGGAUGGAGAAGUCUUGGAGAAUGGUCUCUUGGAAGCCCACAAUAUCGAUCCUUUCUUACCUAAUGUAUUCGAUAAAUUGUUGAUUCUGGCCUAGGUGCCCGAAGCCCCGUAUGUUCCAACAUAGGAGCUUCAUGAUGGAACCAUGGUCGGGGAACUAGAGUGCCACUUAGGCGGGGCCUAGAUAGCCCGUCCAGCAACUGCAGAGCGGGGGAACUGUUUGGUCGGGUCCCCACGAUGCCCCUUUCUAGCAGGUGCCUCUGCGUGUUGGAGUUACGGAAGGCCGACACUAGCAGCAUGUGCGUGCACCCUUUGCUCGGUGGGGUGAAGGCGUGUGGGAGGCCGGCCCCGCGGUACCCUACCAACUCCAGGGCCUUCACGGACAGCCCGAGACAGGCCUAGGUCACACAGCCUGGCAUCAACCUUGGGCUCUCUAUGCCAAGAGUCUUCCGAGGGAGGGUUACCCAAAGGUCCACGAAGCUCAGGAGCAAAGGGAAUGGUGUUGUCUUCAGCCCAUGGCUCUACACGAGCACGGGCCUCAGCCAAGACACCAUCCAACCUCUCCUUGACACAAAUGGCCGAGAUGUGUUCAAGCCGCGAACCCUUCUCACCAUGGAACACAAUGUCAUAGUUGGAAGCCACAUUGCCUAGAUGACCAAGCGUAAGAGAGCCAAGGAUCGCAAAGUGGGAGCAAGAACAAGAUGAAGCAGGGUCCAGUGAGGGAUUACUUGAGGGGAGGUCGUGAGCAGUCACCCACAAGGAUGCAUUUUCUGCGAUGGUUGGGACCCAACCGUCCUUCAAUGCCAUGGAGCCGGAGAUAUGAGCACUUUGGCGUACGACGAAUGCUGGCGUCGGCGGUCCACGGCCUGGCGCAAACCACGAGAGAGACGCGGUCGGUCGAAGUUGCGCUGACCCCCGACGGCGGUGGAGUGCUGGGGAACAAAGACGUGAACCCCGAUGCUGAAGCAGGGGGGUCCGAGGCAAGCGGGUGUAGCAUACUGCCCGAGGGGAUCGCGGCGAAGAUGGAUGGCAGAUGUCCAUCCCCGGUCUCGUGGAACCCAGAGCGACCGGCGCGUCCGACAACCCCACACCCUCGGACGGGUCGGGUGGAACAUGUGCUGGCACAACAAGGGGGGGUCAUCGUCUCCUGAGUCAGCGGUGUUGUCCUUUGACUGACCCUCCUCUCCCCCGGCCCCUCCUCCACCAACGACGGAGACGGGGGAGGCGGUCCGACGGCCAUCCUAGCCUCUAGAUCGUUCUGGUCCAGCUUGUAGGUGAGACAGACCCCUUUGGAUCUCCCGAAGUAGAAGAGCAUAUAAAGGCCCUGGACCUCCUCCAAGGACAGGCACGGGAUCUCAGCAUGCGCACGGCCAUGAUACGUCUCGAACGUAUCUAUAAUUUUUGAUGGUUUCACGCUAUUAUCUUGUCUUCUUUGGUUGUUUUAUGUACCUUUUAUAUCUUUUUUGGUACUAACUUAUUAAUUCAGUACCACGUGCCAGUUCCUGUUUUUUCUGUGUUUUUGACUCUUUUCAGAUCUGAUUUUGGAACGAAGUCCAAACGGAAGAAAAACUCCGAAAUGAUUUUUUCCCGAACGCAAGAAGAUCAGGGGGCCUUUGGGCCAAGCCAGGUGGGCUCCAGGGAGUCCACAAGCCCUCACUCCGCCAACAAGGGGGGAGGCGGCGGUGGGCAGGCUUGUGGCCUCCCUGACCGCCCCCUGACCUAGAUCCUUGGCCUAUAUAUUCCCAAAUAUUCCGCAAAAAAUCAGGGGAGCCUCGAAAAUACUUUUCCACCGCCGCAAGCUUCCGUUUCUGCGAGAUCUCAUCUGGAGAUCCUUCCCGGCACCCUGCCGGAGGGAACUUCCGAGUUGGAGGGCUUCUUCUUCAUGAUCAUCGCCCCUCCAAUGACUCGUGAGUAGUUCACUUCAGACCUACGGGUCCGUAGUUAGUAGCUAGAUGGCUUCUUCUCUCUCUUGGAUCUUCAAUACAAAGUUCUCCAUGAUCUUCAUGGAGAUCUAUCCGAUGUAAUCUUCUUUGGCGGUGUGUUUGUCGAGAUCUGAUGAAUUGUGGAUUUGUGAUCAGAUUAUCUAUGAUAUAUAUUUGAGUCUUUGCUGACUUAUUAUAUGCAUGAUUUGAUAUCCUUGUAAGUCUCUCUGAGUCUUGGGUUUUGUUUGGCCAACUAGAUCUAUGAUUCUUGCAAUGGGAGAAGUGCUUGGUUUUGGGUUCUACCAUGUGGUGACCUUUCCCAGUGACAGUAGGGGCAGCAAGGCACACAUCAAGUAGUUGCCAUCAAGGGUAAAAAGAUGGGGUUUUUAUCAUUGGUUUGAGAUUAUCCCUCUACAUCAUGUGAUCUUGCUUAAGGCGUUACUCUGUUCUUAUGGACUUAAUACAUUAGAUGCAUGCUGGAUAGCGGUCGACGUGUGGAGUAAUAGUAGUAGAUGCAGAAAGUAUCGGUCUACUUGUUUUGGACGUGAUGCCUAUAGAUAUAAUCAUUGCAUAGAUAUCGUCACGACUUUGCGCGGUUCUAUCAAUUGCUCGAAAGUAAUUUGUUCACCCACCGUCUACCUGCUUUCAUGAGAGAAGCCACUAGUAAACACUACGGCCCCCGGGUCUAUUCACAUCCAUCGUUUACACCUCCGCUUUUACUUUGCUUUGUUACUUUGUUGCUUUCAGUUCUCACUUGGCAAACAAUCUAUAAGGGAUUGACAACCCCUUCAUAGCGUUGGGAGCAAGCUUUUGUGUUUGUGCAGGAUCUUGUGAUACUCCUCCACCGGAUUGAUACCUUGGUUCUCAAACUAAGGGAAAUACUUACCGUCGCUGUGCUACAUCACCCUUUCCGCUUCAAGGGAACACCAACGCAAGGCUCCAAGGCCACGGGGGAAAUCCUUUGCAUACUUGCGUAGGAAGUCCCUUAAGGCGUAGCCGCAGCUGAAGGAUUCCUGGUGCCGUCGACACACCUGUUUCUGGUGCCAUUGGAAGGACUUUUGUGCAUUAGCAUAGCUGACAUCAGAAGCUUUUCUGGCGCCGUUGCCGGGGAUCUUUUUGAAGCAGAACAAGCAUUUCUGGCGCCGUUGCCGGGGAGGAGAAAUCAAGAUCUAUCCAAGUAGGUCUCACAAACUCUUCACUUGCAUUUACUUUUGUUGCCAGUUGCCUCUCGUUUUCCUCUCCCCCACUUCACAUUUGCCGUUUUCAUUUGCCUUUCUCCUUCGCCGUUUUCUUUUGCCUUUGCCGUUUUCCUUUGCCGGUUCUCUUGCUUGCUUGUGUGCUUGUUUGUUUGUUGAAGUCAUCAUGGCUGAAAACACCAAACUUUGCGACUUCUCGAGCACUAAUAAUAAUGAUUUUAUUAGUACUCCAAUUGCUCCCACCACUAGUGCGGAAUCGUAUGAAAUCAACGCAACUUUGCUGAAUCUUGUUAUGAAAGAGCAAUUCUCUGGCCUUCCUAGUGAAGAUGUCGCAUCCCAUCUCAAUACCUUCAUUGAGCUUUGUGAUAUGCAAAAGAAAAGAUAUGUGGAUAAUGACGUGAUUAAGUUGAAAAUUUUUCCUUUCUCGUUGCGAGAUCGCGCAAAAACUUGAUUUUCUUCUUUGCCUAAAAAUAGUAUCGAUUCUUGGGAUAAGUGCAAAGAUGCUUACAUAUCCAAGUAUUUUCUGCCGGCAAAGAUCAUCUCCUGACGUAACGAUAUGAUGAAUUUCAAGCAACUUGAUCAUGAACAUGUUGCACAAUCUUGGGAGAGGAUGAAGCUUAUGAUUAGAAAUUGUCCCGCUCAUGGCUUGAGUUUGUGGAUGAUUAUACAAAUCUUUUACGCUGGCUUGAAUUUCGCUUCUCGCAAUAUCUUGGACUCCGCCUCAGGUGGAACGUUCAUGGAAAUCACGUUAGGAGACGCUGCAAAAGUCCUAGACAAUAUCAUGACCAACUACUCUUAGUGGCACACUGAAAGGUCGCGUGCUAGCAAAUGGUGCAUGCUAUAGAAGAAAUUAACUCGCUUAGCGCUAAGAUGGACGAGUUGAUGAAUUUGGUUGCUAGUAGAAACGCUACCAUAGAUCCUAAUGACAUGCCACUAUCUUCUUUGAUUGAGAGUAGCAACGCUAGUUUGGAUGUGAAUUUUGUUGGUAGGAACAAUUUUGGCAACAACAAUGCUUUUAGAGGAAACUAUGUUCCUAGGCCUUUUCCUAGUAACUCCUCUAACAAUUAUGGAAAUUCCUACGGCAACACUUAUGGAAAUCACAACAAAUUACUCUCUGAUUUAGAGAGUAAUAUCAAAGAAUUCAUUAACUCUCAAAAGAUUUUCAAUGCGUUCAUAGAGGAAAAACUACUCAAAAUAGAAGAUUUGGCUAAGAGCGUUGAUAAGAUGUCUUGUGAUAUUGAUGAUUUGAAAGUUAGAUGCGCUCCUCCCAAGGUCAACUUGGAUGAAACUUUGAAAGCUAUGCGUAUCUCCAUGAAUGAGAGCAAAGAAAGAACCGCCCAAAUUCGCGCUAGGCAUGAAUGGUUUAAAAGGGUGCGUUCUAGUGAUGCAAAUCACGAAUAUCUUAAAUUGCUUGGUCUCCUCUUGCAUAUUUGUUUUCGCGUGUCAAAUCUACUUAUGGAGGGGCUGGAUAUGAGUCUACUUUGGUUCAAAAACGCCCCAAUGAUUCUGACUCCACCUAUCUUGAUGAUAAACGUGCGGAGAGUGGAGUAGAAGAAGUCAAAAUUUCGGGUAGUAAUGAAACUCCCACUUUGGAUUUCAAGGAAUUCAAUUAUGAUAAUUGCUCCUUGGUUGAAUGCAUUUCUUUGAUGCAAUCCAUUGCAAACUCUCCACAUGCUUAUAGCCAAAGUAAAGCCUUUACCGCGCAUAUCGUAGAUGCUAUGAUGAAAUCUCUUCAAGAGAAGCUCAAACUAGAAGUCUCUAUACCUAGAAAAUUUCAUGAUGAGUGGGAACCUACUAUAAAAAUCAAGAUCAAAAACUAUGAGUGCAAUGCUUUGUGUGAUUUGGGUGCUAGUGUUUCCGCGAUUCCAAAGUCUUUAUGUGAUAUUCUUGGUUUUCAUGGGAUUGAAGGGUGUUCUCUUAAUUUGCAUCUUGCGGAUUCUACUCUCAAGAAACCCAUGGGGAGGAUCGGUGAUGUUCUUAUUGUUGCAAAUAAGAACUAUGCACCCGUGGAUUUCAUUGUACUUGACAUAGAUUGCAAUCCUUCAUGGCCCAUUAUUCUUGGUAGACCUUUCCUAAGGACUAUUGGUGCUAUCAUCGAUAUGAAGGAAGAGAAUAUUAGAUUUCAAUUUACUUUAAAUAAGGGCAUGGAGAACUUUCCUAGAAAGAAAAUAAGAUUGCCUUAUGAGUCUAUGAUGAGGGCUACCUAUGGUUUGAGCACCAAAGAUGACUAUACGUGAUUUCAUCACCUUUCGCCUAGCUAAGGGCGUUAAACAAAAGAGCUAGUUGGGAGGCAACCCAACGAAUCUAUCCUUUUUCUUUCUGUUUUGUGUUUUUCACACUUUCAUAAUUCUGUUAUGAUUGUGUUUUUUGUGUUUCUUUUUGCGUUUGUGCCAAGCAAAACCGUUACUAUUAGUCUUGGGGAUGAUCGUUUGGUCAUGCUGGAAAAGACAGAAACUUUCUUCUCACGAAAAGAAUUUUCAUUUUGUUUCUGUAAGAGAUUUUGAGUUGAUUCUUUUUGCUGCUGAUUUCUACGCAAAUUCUUCAGACUGUCGUAAUUGUUCAGAAUUUUUGAAGUACCAGAGGUAUACGAAAUAUACAUAUUGCUACAGACUGGUCUGCUGUUAACAGAUUCUGUUUUUGUUGUGUUGGUUGGUUAUUUUGAUGAAACUAUGGAUAGUAUCGGGGGGUAUUAGCCAUGGAAUAUUGAAAAUACAGUAACCCAACAUCAUCACAAGUAUAAUUUAAGUUGCUACAAUACCUAAGGAAGUGGUGGUUUUCUUUCUUGUACUAAUGUUAUCACGAGUUUCUGUUUAAGUUUCGUGUUGUGAAGUUUUCAAGUUUUGGGUGAAGUUCUUAUGGACAAAGAGAUAAAGAGUGGCAAGAGCUCAAGCUUNNNNNNNNNNNNNNNNNNNNNNNNNNNNNNNNNNNNNNNNNNNNNNNNNNNNNNNNNNNNNNNNNNNNNNNNNNNNNNNNNNNNNNNNNNNNNNNNNNNNAAAAGAGGACAUGACUUGGAGAUUGGUCAAUGAUUUCAGAAAAGUGAAUGAGCAAACUGUCAAAACAAAUACCCCAUUCCUGUCAUUGAGGAUCUGCUGGAUGAGUUAAAAGGAGCUACUGUUUUCUCCAAACUUGAUCUAAGAAGUGGUUAUCAUCAGAUAAGAAUGAAUGAAGAGGAUAUUUAAAAAACUAGCAUUCAGUACCCACUAUGGACACUAUGAAUACCUGGUCAUGCCCUUUGGAUUAACUAAUGCACCAUCCACCUUCCAAAUCUUAACGAACACCAUCCUAGCUCCUUACUUAAGGAAGUUUGUGCUAGUAUUCUUUGAUGAUAUACUUAUCUUCAGUAUAAAUAUGAAAGAGCACUUGCUACACUUGCAACUAGUUCUGAAAAGUUUUUGCAAGACAACCAAUUGUUUGGAAAACUAAGCAAAUGUUCCUUUGCACAAACCCAAUUGUUCUGAAAGUUCUGAAAGUUUUGAAUUUGGAGGUUUAAGAAGUGGUUAAGGAUGUAAUAAAGGACUUAAUAUGGAAAUAAUAUGAUUUAUGGAUGAACCAGGGCAUUUUGGUGAUACUUUCUGUGUGAACAAUAGACCAAUCGGAAAGAAAAUGUUAUUCUAUAAUGUGGAGUUUGGACAAAAUAAGAUUGAGUUUUAUUUCAUAUGCUGAUUACCCCAAGAGUAAGAAGGAAUGAAGAACUAUUGGACUUAAAGGGGUGUAAGGUUGGAAUAUAGAAUAAUAGUAACUCAAAGGAUGACUAAAGUUGUACAAGUUCUAAAGUGGGCCAGUGACCCACAUGCCCAAGAAUUAAUAAGGGGNNNNNNNNNNNNNNNNNNNNNNNNNNNNNNNNNNNNNNNNNNNNNNNNNNNNNNNNNNNNNNNNNNNNNNNNNNNNNNNNNNNNNNNNNNNNNNNNNNNNACAAAACGAACAAUCUCUUUUGAAGUAUCAGGGUUUCAUACGAAAACUCAUGUGUUACAAAGGGAUUUCAUUUUUUGAACUUAUUUGAACUCCAGACUUUUUGUGUGUUCAAAAUGCACCAUUCAAAGACACAUCAUCAAUUUUUAACUAUUUCUCACUUCAUUUGGUAUUUUUCAUGCAUUUAGUGAUUUUUAAGCUAAAUGACCCUUAAAUUGAAAAGCACUACAAAUGAACUCUGAAAAGGUUGAAAGUUGGCAUGGUAUCAUCAUUUCACCCACAUAACAUGUGCUAAAAAGUUGAGAGGGUUGCGGCAAAAACUGGAUGCACUUCGUGUACAAAACAGACAAUCUCUUUCGAAGUAUGAGGAUUUCAUAGGAAAACUCAUCUGUUACAAAGGGCAUUUCAUUUCUUCACUUUUUUCUUCUCUUGUGUUCCUUUCUUAUUUCACCGUAAGCGUGGAUAAUCUUCAUCGUUUAAUAGGGUGCUUGGGUCAGCCUUGACUUUGAAGGGAUGAAUUUCAUGAAACUUUUUCAUAAUCUUCAGACAUGUCUGUCUUGCCCUACAAUCCCCACGAUGUCUCUUUUUCCUAAAAGACUAUGUGGUGCUUUGGCUCAUCGUAUGAUGUAUUCGCUUCCUUAUANNNNNNNNNNNNNNNNNNNNNNNNNNNNNNNNNNNNNNNNNNNNNNNNNNNNNNNNNNNNNNNNNNNNNNNNNNNNNNNNNNNNNNNNNNNNNNNNNNNNGUUCAGUUUUUUUGUGUAGGAUAACAAUCAUUUUUGUGUAGGAUAAGAAUGAACGUAGUCUUUCUAAUCCAUGGUUAUUACUAAGAGCUUUGAGUGGAUACAAAUUAUUUUAAAAUCGUUUAGUGUAAAAGUGCUGCCUGAGAAUUCCUAUGAAACUUACUUCUACUAAUCAGACGAAUAACACAGAAAAAUUUCUUAUGAUUUUGAUCCUCCAAAUUUCUAUAACAAUCCUUCGUAAAGGUACUUGAACUAAGAGCAGGCUGACAGUGUUAAUGUCUAUCUGUCCCUUUUUAGUGCUUGACCGUGAAGAACCGCAGUCACGAAAUGAACUUUGUUCGCACAAAUCUCAGCGGGUUACCUCUUUAAGAUAAAGUGGCAGAUAUGGAAUCAGCUAAAGCUCUUGUGGUCACAAUCGCAAGUGGAUUUAUGCAAAAAAGAAAAUGAAAGAAAGCACUAGCCAAUAACGUGGAGAUACGUGUCCUUCCUCUGAAUGUGAUAAUUACCUGCUGAACAGGGAANNNNNNNNNNNNNNNNNNNNNNNNNNNNNNNNNNNNNNNNNNNNNNNNNNNNNNNNNNNNNNNNNNNNNNNNNNNNNNNNNNNNNNNNNNNNNNNNNNNNGAGGGGCGAUGAUGAUGAUGAAGAAGCCCUCCAACUCCAAAGUCCCCUCCGGGCAGGGCGCCGGAAGGGGUCUCCAGAUGAGAUCUCGCGGAAACGGAUGCUUGCGGCGGCAGAAAGUAAUUUUCGAGGNUCCCCUUGAUUUUUUUGCUGAAUAUUUGGGAAUAUAUAGGCCAAGGAUCUAGGUCAGGGGGCGGCCAGGGAGGCCACAAGCCCUAACACCGCCGCUACCCCCUGGUGGCGUAGUGGGGGCUUGUGGGCUCCCUGGAGCCCACCUAGCUUGGCCCGGAGGCCCCGUGAUCUUCUUCCGUUCGGGAAAAAUCAUUUUGGGGUUUUUAUUCCGUUUGGACUCCGUUCCAAAAUCAGAUCUGAAAGAGUCAAAACACAGAAAACACGAACUGGCACUUGGCACUGAAUUAAUAAGUUAGUCCCAAAGAUAUAAAGGUACAUAAACAUCCAAAGAAGACAAGAUAACAGCGUGAAACCAUCAACAAUUAUAGAUACGUUUGAGACGUAUCAAGCAUCCCCAAGCUUAACUCCUGCUCGUCCUCGAGAAGGGAAGUGAUAAAGAAUGAAUUUUGAUGCUUUCAUGCUACCUAGCAUAGGUGUCCUUUGUAAUUCCUCUUAUGUGACGUGAAUGUUCAGAUCCAUUAGAUUCAAAACAAUAGUUUGCUAUAGACGUGGAAACAAUAAUAAUUCAAGCAAAAAAGCAAGGUAAUCAUAAACUUUCAAAAUAACAAUGCCAAAAUAAAGUUAUCCCUACAAAAGGAUAUAGUCUGGCUAUGCUCUAUCAUCAUUGCACAACGAAUUUAAAUCAUGCACAACCCCGGUAUUAGCCAAGCAAUACAUGAGCGUGAGCCAUGGUUAUAGCACUAUAGAUGGUGUGGAGUGUGGUGGAGGUGCAAGACAAAGGAGAAGAUAGUCACAUUAACUAGGCAUAUCAAUGAGCUGUGGAGAUGCUCAUCAAUAGAUAUCAAUGUGAAUGAGUAGGGAUUGCCAUACAAAUGAUGCACUAGAGCUACGAGUAUGUGAAAGCUCUUAAAAAAACUAGUGGGUGUGCAUCCAACUUGCUUGCUCACGAAGACCUAAGGCAAUUUUGAGGAAGCCUAUCAUUGGAAUAUACAAGCCAAGUUACAUAAUGAAAAUUUCCCACUAGCUAUAUGGUGGUGAAAAAACGAGAGACUCUCAAUCAUGAAGAUCAUGGUGCUUAAUAUGCACAAGUGUGGAAAAAGUGGUAGCAUUGUCCCUGCUCUCUUUUUCUCUCAUUUGUGUUUUAUAUUAUUUUUUGGUGGGCUCUUUGGCCUCUUUUUUGGUGGGCUUCUUUGGCCUCUUUUAUUUCCUCACAUGGGACAAUGCUCCAUUAAUGAUGAUCAUCACACUUUCAACUCAAAACUUAGAGCAACUAUGACUCUAUAUGGAAUGCCUUCGGUAGUGUACCGUGGCAAUGAUCUAGCAUGGCAUAGACAUCAAUGGAACAUCAUGCUAGCUAUCUUANNNNNNNNNNNNNNNNNNNNNNNNNNNNNNNNNNNNNNNNNNNNNNNNNNNNNNNNNNNNNNNNNNNNNNNNNNNNNNNNNNNNNNNNNNNNNNNNNNNNGAUUCGAUCGGCCAAGGUCCUUAAACGUGCAGGACGAAAGUUGCUACGGUAAGGUUAAAUCGGUUGUAUACCUUUGCCGAAGGGCAACUGGUGUGGUUCUUUCGCUACCUAUUGCUCAGGAAUUCCGCCCUUGCUUGACAAACCCCUACCGGUUUAGUAUGAAUAGUGGUCCGGCAUGCGCUCCGGCGACCCCUAGGCACGGCCCCUCGUCGGGCAACAGUUUUUCUCUUACUCCCUGAAGAGGGAAAGGACCUGGGUUUGUUGGCUAUAAGGGCCACCUUCUUCUCUUCAACACUCUCUUGAUAAAACACCUCGUCUUGAAAGAUAAUCGAAAGCUCUGGGUCUUCAUGAAACCGGGAGUCAUCUUUAUGGGCAAAGUCCUCGAGUUGGGGUGUGGGAUAGUUUACCAUCUCGAUCCAGUGGUUCCAGAGCUACGAAGGAGGUAUAGGAGUUAUAAAUCAAACAAUAAUGGGCAUGAAUGCCCAAAACUUUGAACAUGAACACAAUUACCCAUUCGACGGGGUUAUAUGCCGAAUAGCCAUCCUUCGGGGUGAGGCGGGUAAAAUCUYYUUUCCCCUUGAAGAUAUCGGUCAGAAUGGCCCCUAAGGCCUUCUCGUCAUCCGGUCCUUGCCUUCUGGAUCGGGUUGAAUCGCUCGUCCCACUGUAAUGCCACAAAGGAUGUGUGCGAUGUUGGAGUGGUUGGANNNNNNNNNNNNNNNNNNNNNNNNNNNNNNNNNNNNNNNNNNNNNNNNNNNNNNNNNNNNNNNNNNNNNNNNNNNNNNNNNNNNNNNNNNNNNNNNNNNNUCAUUGAAAGAAUUAGCCUGAUGCCAUCAUAUAAUAGAGAAAAGGAGUAUUAUUGAUGCUUGAAGACAAAAUAAAAAUAGAAGGUAACACUACCACAACCAGUUGGAACCGAGAUUAUAUAGCACAUCCACAUAAUCUAUGAGUGGAUCGCCAGCCAAAUUGGUUGAAUAAGCCGUAUGCAACCAUUUCAGCCGAUUGCACCAAGAGGCCAUAAACGCCCGCGUCUCCAUGUGCUUAUGUGAUGACCACAUAUGGAUUGGUGCCGUAGUCCUGUAGAUAACCUGCAAGAAAUCAGGAAUAAAUGAUCUCUUAAAAACACACCUCUUCCGGCAAGUCCAUAUUUCCCAUAGAGUGACACAAACUCCCACAGGAAUUUGGCCCUUCUGCUUAUGAUGAAUAACACCCAACAAGUUCUCAAACAGAUUUGGAAUGCUUUUUGGUGGCGCUAAAUUGUAGGCAACAAGAAUCGUGCGCCAAAUCAAGGUAGUAAACGGACAUGAAAAAUAAAUGAUGAAUUGUCUCCUCCUAAUCACAAAAUGAUAUUUUUACUGCCAUGCCAAUUACGCUUAGCAAGAUUAUCUUUUGUAAGAACUACCUCCGUUGGCAAAAAUCACAUGAAAACUUUGAUCUUGCAAGGAACCUAAGCCACGGAAUCCUCUUUUGCAGAUUGAAUGUUCAAAGGGCUAGCCCAAGAAUAUAAGCCACCAAAUCCUCUUUUGAACACAAUAUUAUCCUGAUCAGGUAUUGUAAUGGCAUUAUCAAUAAUGCAAAAUAAGGGGGUGUCACUUGGGUCUACUGGUGGAGGUGUCUAAAUCUAUUAAUGAUUUACUAACUAGAGGCUGAGCAAGUGAUGAACAUGAUAAAAAUACNNNNNNNNNNNNNNNNNNNNNNNNNNNNNNNNNNNNNNNNNNNNNNNNNNNNNNNNNNNNNNNNNNNNNNNNNNNNNNNNNNNNNNNNNNNNNNNNNNNNUGCCAUAUUGCAGAUUAUCUCUGAGGGAAGUUACAUUAUUUUCCCGUUAAUUCAGAUAUAUUAAUAUGUCCAGAUGUAAUUCCAAAUAUCUUAUGUUAGGCAAAGCUUCUAAAAUCAGUGAAGCUCUAGAGCUACUAAGGACUGGUUAAAUCAGUAAAGUUUUACAAUAUCUGCAUGAGUGGUUAUAACAUAGCACAUGUUAUUUGGUACUUCACUAUGUGGUAUCCUUUUUAAUCUUGAUUAUUGAGUCAACAUAUUGAUUGUGGGCUUAUAUACUGCCAAACUGGCCUUCUUAUUCUGUCAUCCAAUUCAUGCAAAAUUCACGCUCACCAUGACAAAGGCCUAAUUUGUUAGCUGAUGUAGUUUUCUAAUUGUGUGCUCUUCAUUUGUAGUUGCCAAGUCUUAAAAUAUUUGUAGUGACGUAACUUUUUUUCUUCAUAUCAGCAGGAUUUUAGAUAGCAUUUUUUAAUGCUAACUGAAGUAAUAAACAAAUUAGCUUAGAAGUCAGUGUAAAGUGCUUAAGAGGAUUUUUUUUCUCUGCACUAACAAAAUUUGAUGGCAAUUCUUGUGAACUGAUCAAAGGUCAGGUUUCAAAAGGUAUGCAUUUUUUUCAUCAUUCUCAGUAUCAUAAAUCAAUUUUGCACAUACAUAUGAUGAAUAUGAUUGCUCAUUUUCCUUUCAUGGUAAAGAAAUCUAUGUGGCGUUACAUGUCAGAUGAUACAUAUAGGAAUUCAUCCUACAACUGAACCUUUUAUUAUAUGACACAUUAGGAAAAUAUGCUUUUCUACUUUUUUAUAUUUGCUUCCAAGAGGUUUAGUCAAUUGUUAAUCCGUUCCCUGCAUUAAUUUGUAAGGCUCUAAAGCCACGUUUUUUCAAGCUGAAACAAUAAAGGCUAACAUGUCAGAUGAUACAUAUAGGAAUUCAUCCUACAACUGAAAUUUACUGGAUUAUUAUCUCGAUCUUCAGUUCUUCUGAUAUAUUUUUYMACGAUCCAAGUGUUAGGAACAAAGAGUCUAAGAAGAAGCAUCAUAUUCCAAUGUUGAUAAUGUUCCCUACUGUCUUUCUUUCAAGUACCCGUAUGGGUACAAAAAAUAUUAGACUUCUAUCGAUCAUGGUUCUUUUGGAGNNNNNNNNNNNNNNNNNNNNNNNNNNNNNNNNNNNNNNNNNNNNNNNNNNNNNNNNNNNNNNNNNNNNNNNNNNNNNNNNNNNNNNNNNNNNNNNNNNNNAUCACUGAAUAUUACAAGAAACUUUUUGGACCACCUGAGCAGAAUCAUAUGAUUUGAUGAGCAUAUGAUUGCGGAUUUGCCGUAGGAGGGUUCAGAAGAAAAUGAGAUUUUAUCGGCCCGUUCAUCAAGGAGGUGUUCGAGGUGAUCAUACAAAUGAAAAAUACAAAGCGUCAGGUCUGGAUGGUUUCCCAGCUGACUUCUACAAGCGGUGUUCGGAAACAAUCAAAGAUGAUCUUCUACCUGUGUUCCUUGUUCUAUAUAAUGGUCAACUAAAUUUAUUCCACCUCAACUUGAGGACAAUAAUGGUGUUGCCAAAAACAGGAGGCGAUCCGCAUCGAGUAGUUCAGACCGAUAUGUCUGCUCAAUGUGAGCUUCAAUUUUUUACGAAGGUUGAAACAAAUAGGCUCACACGUAUCGCACAUGCGGUGGUGCAACCAACUCAGACCGCCUUCAUGCCGGGACGACAUAUCCUAGAGGGUGUUGUAGUUCUACACAAAACUUUACACAAAAUCCACUCAAAGAAACUAGACGGUGUAGUUUCUAAGGUAGAUUUCGAAAAGGUGCAUGGUAAAGUCAAAUGGCCAUUCUUACAACAAGUCUUACAUAUGAAGGGAUUUAAUGAGGCCUGGAUGAAGCAGGUUUAANNNNNNNNNNNNNNNNNNNNNNNNNNNNNNNNNNNNNNNNNNNNNNNNNNNNNNNNNNNNNNNNNNNNNNNNNNNNNNNNNNNNNNNNNNNNNNNNNNNNUGGUGGACAAGCUUAGUUGGUUAAUUUUUUCUAUCUCUUACUGUCUUACACCAAAAUAAAGCAAAGUAGACAAAGGAAGAACAAAAAUACCAUGUGUUUGAAUAAACGACUUAACAGGAGGGGGGCUCGGUGCACAGGAAUGAGAGUGGGCGUUGUCAUCACACCACCACUCCAGACCUCCAUCAUGGUCAACAAUACAACCACCUUAACGCGGCCACACACGUCACUACAACUAUAUCUGUACUAUUAAAGGGGAUCUUGCCGUCUGUCGUGAUGGUUCGACCACAGCAGAUCCCGCGUCGUUACAGCUAUCCCUUCCAUCGAUUUUAUUCGUCCCUCAAUAAACCACGCGGCCCUUUCACCGAUUUUUCCCAACCCUCCAUAAACCGGUUCAAUACCCCACUCGUGACUCAUCGAUCGCAUGCAGUAAAAAGAAUCGUUAGAUCCCGCAGCACGAGAGAACGAGUCCACGUUUCCCACCCCUUGUCGCUAAAAAAACUGCCACGUUUCCCACCCCACCUCUCCCCACCCCUCGUUCCCGAUCUCGUCGCUCUCCUCCCAAAACUCAUCCCCACCAGAGAGAGGAAGGAGCACAGCCGCCAAGGCGCCGAGGAGGAGUCCUCCUGCUCCCCCCUACCCCCUCCCCGGCACCCCCCUUCUCCUCCUCCCCCUCGCCGCAUGGAUCCGCACGGAUCCGUCAGCGGAGGGGUCUCUAGCACGCCGGCGGCUCGACUUCGAGGGGGAUCUGCUUUGAGCGGGGUCAAUGGCCGGGGAGUCGCGCCGGACGAUGCGUCACGGCGGNNNNNNNNNNNNNNNNNNNNNNNNNNNNNNNNNNNNNNNNNNNNNNNNNNNNNNNNNNNNNNNNNNNNNNNNNNNNNNNNNNNNNNNNNNNNNNNNNNNNAUAACCUUCUCCUCAAAAUAUUAUGUCCUUUCAUCAUGAUAGGGUUCUUCUGAGACUGGGUCUUCUUAGCUGACAAGUAUAUCACCAAUACUAAACAACUAUAAGAAAAUCUCAUGGUGGUCAACAAUUUAUGGUUCUUCUAGAAGAAAUGGGUGUGGGCUGAAUCUUGUCGUAUACUUUACGAUUGGCAACGGUUGAAUUACAUGGUUUAUAGUCCUACCAUUAUGAGGUUUUGGCUUGUCAUGUCGACACUCUUCUAAGGUUUAAGGCUCUCUCGUUUCGUCAACAUAUGAGAGUUCAUGAUAGAAGUUUCCAGUAUGAGGGCCAAUCCAUCCCGUACUUCAAUCAUUACUACAUAUACAGACAUUGAAUCACGUAUUCUAACACUAGGGCAUCCUUACAAGCAUUGCAGAAAUUCUAUUGUCGACAAACUAAGUUUGGAUAAAUCCAUUGAUUCUGUAAGCCAAACAAUCAUCUAUUGUUCCUUCACAACUUUCGAGUUUUCAUAUCCUCCUAAGNNNNNNNNNNNNNNNNNNNNNNNNNNNNNNNNNNNNNNNNNNNNNNNNNNNNNNNNNNNNNNNNNNNNNNNNNNNNNNNNNNNNNNNNNNNNNNNNNNNNCACUCCGGGGUUGCCGGGUCAUAACACAUAGUAGGUGACUACAACUUGGAAGAUAGGAUCUAAAACACACAUAUAUUGGCGACAACAUAAUAGGUUCAGAUCUGAAAUCAUGGCACUCGGGCCCUAGUGACACGCAUUAAGCAUGGCAAAGUAGUAGCAACAUCAAUCUUAGAACAUAGUGGAUACUAGGGAUCAAUCCCCGUCAAAACUAACUCGAUUACAUCAUAGAUCGCAUCCAACUCAUCACCGUCCAGCAAGCCUACGAUGAGAUUACUCACGAACGGUGAAGAGCAUCUUGGAAUUGGCGAUGGAGGGAGGUUGAUGAUGACAAUGGAGACGAUUUCCCCUCUCCGGAGCCCAAAACGAACUCCACAUCUGCCCUCCAGAUGAAGAAUAGUAGGUGGCGGCGCCUCCGUAUCGUAAAACGCGAUUAAUCCUUCUCUCUAAUUUUUUCCGGCUGAAACGGAAUAAAUAGAGCUGAGUUUGGAGGCGGUGGAGCCUCGUCGGCCCCACAAGCCUAGUUGGUGCGGCCUGGGGGGUGGCCGCGCCACCUGGGCUUGUGACCCACUGGCUCACCUCCUCCGGUGGAUCUUUGCGCAGGUAUUUUUCAUNNNNNNNNNNAUCUCCAUAAAUUUUCAGGACAUUCCGAGAACUUUUAUUUCUGCACAAAAACAACACCAUGGCAAUUCUCCUGAAAACAACGUUAGUCCGGGUUAGUUCCAUUCAAAUCAUGCAAAUUAGAGUCCAAAACAAGGGCAAAACAGUUCGGAAAAGUAGAUACGACGGAGACGUAUCAACUCCCCCAAGCUUAAAGCCUUGCUUGUCCUCAAGCAAUUCAGUUGACAAACUGAAAGAGACAAAAGAAAAACUUCGACGAACUCUGUUUGAUCUUGUUGCUGCAACUAUGUCUAACUCAUAUCCAUAGUUUCAGCAAGAUCACAAGCAAACCACAUAAGAAAAUGACAUCUAGGUCUCACGGUAGACUCAUAUCAAUGGCAUAAUCAACUAGCGAGAAAAUAAUAAUAAGCCUCAAAUGUCAACACUUCAAUCAAAACAACAUGAAUCAGUGCAAACAGAUGGUAUCUCGCUAGCUCUUUCUGAGACCGCAAAACAUAAAUGCAGAGCACCUUCAAAGACCAAGGGCUGACUAAACAUUGUAAUUCAUGGCAAAGAAGAUCCAGUCACAGUCAUACCCAACAUAGUUAAAACAAAAGCAUAAAAAUGACAGAGGUGCUCUCUAAUUGGAGCUUUUAUAAGAGGAGGAUGACUCAACAGGAACAUAAAUAGACAGGCCCUUCACAGAGGGAAGCAUUGAUUUGCAAAGGUGCCAGAGCUCAAGCUUUGAAAACAGAGAUAAUAAUUUUCGGUGGCAUGCUUUCAUUGUCGACGCAAUGACUAAGAGUUCUCAACAUCUUCCACGCUACACAUGCUAUAGGCGGUUCCCAAACAAAAAAGUAAAGUUUUGACUCCCCCACCACCAAUCAAUCACACUCCAUGGCUAGCCGAAUCCUCGGGUACCAUCCAUACCAACAUCAAUCCUGGGGGAGUUUUGUUUGCAAUUAUCUUUUCGAUUUGAGCAUGGAACUGGGAAUUCCAAUUACCGGCCCCUUUCUCAUGAAUGAUAGUGAAUAAACACAUAUCGAGGAUAACACGCCUAGCAUGGAAGAUACUAAUAGCCCCCUGUCACUACAUGAGCGGUUAGGGCAUGCAAAAUAGAUUAUUUCUUGAAGAUUUAGAGAGUGGCACAUGCAAAUUUAGUUGGAACGAUAGGUAGAUACCGCACAUAGGUAGGUAUGGUGGACUCAUCUGGAACAAGUUUGGGGUUAUGGAAAUGGAUGCACAAGCAGUAUUCUCGCUUAGUACAAGUGAAGGCAAGCAAAAGAUUGGGAAGCGACCAAUUAGAGAGCGACAACGGUCCUCAAAAUGCAUUGAGAUAAACUAACAUUGAGUGCAAGCAUGAGUAGGACAUAAAUCACCAUGAACAUGAAUAUCAUAGAGGCUAUGUUGAUUUUGUUUCAACUACAUGUGUGAACAUGCGCCAAGUCAAGCCGCUUGAAUCAUUCAAAGGAGGAUACCAUCCUAUCAUACUACAUCAUAGUCAUCUCAACAUUCAUGUUGCCAACCAAGACAGACCAUUAUAAGCUCCUAGCUAAGUAAGCAUGGCAUCAGCAACUAUGAUCUCUAAGUUGUCAUUGCAAACAUGUUUCUCUCACAACAAAGUUGAACUAGGAACAAUGAGCUAGUCAUAUUUACAAGAACAAAAUAGAUCGAGUUCAUACCAGCUUUUCCAGGCUCAGUCACUUCAUCAUAUAUCGUCAUUAUUGCCUUUCACUUGUACGAUCGAACGAUAAAAACAAUAAUAAGAGUGCUCGUGCAUUGGACUAAAGCUGGAACCUGUAGGAAAACACAAAGGAGAAGACAAAGUAAUAUGGCUCUUUGAAAGCAAAACAGGUAUGCAUGCAAGAGCCACUAAACAUUGUAACCAUGGUCUUCUACCUUGACCCAAAGAAAAAGAAAACUAUUUACACGAGAAAGCUCCCAACAAGCAAAAGAAGAAAAAGAAAAUCUUUUUGGGUUUUCUCAAACUAGGCAAACACACGAAAAGAAAAUGAGAAAAAGAAAAUAAACUAGCAUGGAUGAUACAGUGGCAAAGUGUGAACACCAACGAACAAAGUGAAAGCAUAAGCAAGAAUGUAAAGUCGGUGAGAAACACGUACUCCCCCAAGCUUACACUUUUGGCCUAAGUUGGUAUACUCCCAAGGAGGGAAAUAACCAGCUCCGGGGUACUCCAGAGUGGACUGACGAUGCCACUGCUGUGUGAGCUCCUGUGGCUCCCACUGAUAAACUGGCAUCUGGUACUCGACUGGUGGCUCGGGCAUGGGCACCUAUGGUUGGGCCAAGCCCCAAUAUGCGGUGAUGUCCGAGGGCAUAAUAAUGUACCUCCCUGCAUGAAGAUUGAACAAAGAAGGAGCAGGCAAAGUAAUAGUCUCACGAGUACCCUGGCUAAAUACCAGGUUAUAAAUCAUCCUUCUAUUUAUAUCUCUAUAAAGAAAGUCAUGGCGAACCAUGCUAUCUUAAUCUAGAUAUUUUUUGGGAAGAAGAAUCUCUUCUUCCUCGUCCAGUCUAAUAGGUAUCUCAAAGUGUCCGGCAAGACGAGUAGCAUAGAUACCUCCAUAGACAAUGCCUUUAUAACGGUUCGUGUUCAACCAUUGAGCUACUAUAGCGCCCAAGCUAUAAGUUUUAUCAUUAUAAAGUGCUUCGCGCAAGACCUUAAGAUCUGGGGAACUAAGUGACCCAGCUUUCCCACGGCCAAUCAAACAUUUUCCCACAAAUAAUGAGAAGUACCGAAGCACGGGAAAAUGAAUGCUAGCAGCUCUAGCACAAGACACUCCUCUCUCCUCUCCUACGGCAAUUGUAUCGAUGAAAGAUUCUAAGUCCCGUGCACGAGAUUCACGAAUAUCCCCAACGUAAGGUAAUUUGCAAACAUUGCAAAAAUCCUGGAGUGACAUGCCCUGGGGGAUAUCAUAAAGUUUGAACACAACCAUAGGAGGAUUCUUCCUUGGAUAGAAGUUAAAGCUUUGUACGAAGAUAUUAGUGAGGAGGAGGUAUUGCAGACACUUAUCUUCAACGAAGGCGGUAAGGCCUGCGUUCUCCACCGAGUGAUAAAAGUCCUCAUAAAUUCCGGCGGCGCGUAAGAACACGUCGCUUGGCCACUCGCACGCUCGAACUUCCAGGACUCGACGGACCAGAUAAUUGGGCUUCUUCUCACUCCCAUCAUCCUUGGGGUCACGGCUUGAAGAGCCUCUUCAGAACCUCCUCAUAUUUUCCCUUUUCUAUCUCUGAAAAUUUCUGAAAUUUUUAGUGACUCUAAGGAAAAGUGAACAAGGCUCAACAAAACUCGUAGCAACUACCCCCACAAGUGCCUAGAGGCCAUAUUACGCAUCAAAACUACUUGGGACCAUCUAAAAUUAGCAUGCAAAGCUCAAGAACAUGGUCAUCAAGGCAGCAAAAAUACGCGAAGUAUGAGGCACUAGAGCAAAGACUAAUUGGACCAAUGGAGGAGUCACUUAACAAGGAGUAAUUUCCCCAAAACAGUUCGGAGAAUGGUGCUUUCAGCAAAGAAAUCAGAAAUCCCAGCAAGAGGAGCAAGAACACAGGUUUGAGUUGCGAAACGAUUUUUUCUGGAGGUAGGAGAACCAGAUGAGAGCAAGAAUGAGUGGAGGGGGUGCCUGUGGACCCCACAAGCCUGGGUGGCGCGGAAAGGGGGUGCCCACGCCCCCUGGGCUUGUGGCCCACUGGUGCAGCCCCCAGACAAGCUCUUCGUCUCAGUAUUUUUCAAAAAAUCCAGCAAAAAUCAUACUUGAUUUUCACGACGUUCGGAGAACUUUUAUUUUCGCGGUACUUUUCUACCGGACGCUAAAACAGAAAACAGGGAAAACUAAACUAAAUCUAUCAUCUUUCUUCUAAGCAACCAAAGAUGAAAGCUUAAAACAGAGGUUUGUGACUCCUUGAUUCAUCCAUCUCAUGGUCAUCGAAAGAAAUCCGUCAAUGGGGUUGAUCAAAUCCCCUCGACAAAACUUCUCGAAUCGCAAAAGAAGACGGAGAAUUUUCGAAUAGUCACUAUGUCACCUCAAUGGCGAUGUGUAUUUCCCCAACAAGCGAAUCAUACUUCAUCUUGACACAAGGAAUAGGGCAUUCAAAGCUCCCAAUAAGAAUCGAUGAAGUUUUUUCGAUAGCAUUGAUGCAAUGUACUCGAUAUUGUUUCUUCGGAAAGUGCACCGUAUGCUCAUUACCGUUGACAUGGAAAAUGACAUUGCCUUUGUUGCAAUCUAUAACAGCCCGUGCGGUGUUUAAAAAGGGUCUUCCAAGGAUGACUUCCAUGGCAUUGUCCUCGGGAAUAUCCAAGAUAACAAAGUCUGAUAAGAUAGUGACGUUAGCAACCACAACAGGCACGUCCUCGCAAAUGGCGAUAGGGAAAGCAGUUGAUUUGUCGGUCAUUUGCACAGAGAUUUUCAGUGGGUGUCAACUUAUCCAGUUCAAGUCUACGAUAAAGAGAGAGAGGCAUAACACUAACAGCGGCUCCAAGGUCGCAUAACGCAGUUCUAACGUAGUUGCCUUUAAUGGAGCAAGGUAUAGUGGGCACACCGGGAUCACCUAGUUUCUUGGGAGUUCCACCCUUGAAGGUAUAAUUAGCGAGCAUGGUGGAAAUCUCAACCUCGGGUAUCCUCCUCUUAUUAGUCACAAUAUAUUUCAUGUACUUCGCAUACAGAGACAUCGUGAGCAUAUUCGUCAAACACAUUUGUAGAAAGACAGGUCUAAUCAUUUCAACAAAGCGCUCAAAAUCCUCAUCAUCCUUUUUCUUGGAUGGUUUGGGAGGAAAGGGCAUGGGUGCUUAACUUAGGAUCAACAGAGAAUUCAUAAUCCUUAUCGGUCACAAAGAUAGGUGAAGUGGCAAACUUCGGGUCGUAUUUCAUCCUCGUGUUUAGACAUUUUUAUUUCCACUUGCGCAGUAAUUUCUCAACAUCAUAGCUAUCCUUACACGCAAGAAAAUCCUCAGCUAUCUCUCCCUCCAUAACAUAACGCUCAGGCAUAACAGGCAUAUCAGGUCUAGGAGAGCUAGUUCUAGCAGGCAAAAUAGCAGGUUCUACUUCAAUAGUAUCAGCAGUUUCAGAAAUAUCAUCACAUCUAGAAGCAACUCUAGCAAUUUGUGCAUCAAGGAAUGCACCUAGUGGCAAAGCAGUAUCAGGCAUAGCAUCAUCAGGCAAAGUAGUAAGCAUAGCAUCAUCAGGCAUAGUAUCAAGCAUAGCAUCAUCAGGCAUAGUAUCAAGCAUAGCAUCAUCAUAAGCAUCAUGGGAAGCAGAAGUAGCAUCAUCAAGCACAGGCGACAUAUCAAGAUUUCUAGCAGGAGGUGAUGUUGCAAACUUACUCAUAACUGAAGAUGAAUCAAGUGCAGAGCUAGAUGGCAGUUCCUUACCUGUCCUCGUAGUUGAGGGCAAGACUUUAGUUCUUGGAUCUAUCGGAUUCCUCAUAGUGAUCAGCAGACGUAAAUUCCAAGUGAGUCAGAGAAUAUAGUUGUGCUUCCCCGGCAACGGCGCCAGAAAAUAGUCUUGAUAACCCACAAGUGUAGGGGAUCGCAAUAGUUUUCGAGGGUAGAGUAUUCAACCCAAAUUUAUUGAUUCGACACAAGGGGAAGCCAAAGAAUAUUCUCAAGUAUUAGCAGUUGAGUUGUCAAUUGAACCACACCUGAAAGAUUAGUGUCUGCAAGCAAAGUAUCAGUAGCAAAGUGGUACGUUAGCAACGGUGCCAGAAAAAGGUGUGUUGACGGCAGGCUAUUCCUGACUUGUUGUAUCAAUGGCGCCAGAAAAGUCUUGCUGAAGGUAGCAGCAAAGUAACAAGUAACAACAGUAGCAAGUAACAGCAGUAACGAGUAGUACCAGAGUAACAGCAGUAGCAACACAGUAAUAGCAGCAGCAGCAACAGUAGUAGCGACAAACUAACGUAGCAAGGACCAGUAGUAAAAGACUUGUAGGCAUUGGAUCGCUGAUGGAUGAUUAUGCCGGAUGUGAUUCAUCAUGUAACAGCCAUAACACGGAGAGAUAUGUAACUAGCUCCCGUUCGUGAAUCUAAUGUAGGCAUGUAUUCCGUAUUUAGUCAUACGUGCUUAGGGAAAAGAACUUGCAUGACAUCUAUUGCCCAUCUCUCCCGUGGCAGCGGGGUCCUAAUGGAAACUACGGGAUAUUAAGGUUCUCCUUUUAAUAAAGAACCGGACUAAUGCAUUAACACUUGGUGAAUACAUGAACUCCUCAUACUAUGGUGAUCUCCGGGAGUGGUUCCGGCUAUUGUCACUCCGGGGUUGCCGGGUCAUAACACAUAGUAGGUGACUACAACUUGNNNNNNNNNNNNNNNNNNNNNNNNNNNNNNNNNNNNNNNNNNNNNNNNNNNNNNNNNNNNNNNNNNNNNNNNNNNNNNNNNNNNNNNNNNNNNNNNNNNNGCCGCCACACAAAGGAUGACAAUCAAUAGACUAAUCAUUGCUCAGACUUCAUCACAUAGCGGUUCACCAUACGUGCAUGCUACGGGAAUCACUAANNNNNNNNNNUUUUUAGUAGUAAUCGAAUCAAAGCAUUCAACUCAUACUCCUAGGGGAAGGGUUGGUAGGUAUAAACCAUCGCGCGAUCCCGACCGCCACGCAAAGGAUGACAAUCAAUAUACUAAUCGUGCUAAGAUUUCAUCACAUAGCGGUUCACCAUAAGUGCAUGCUACGGGAAUCACUAAAUUCAACACAAGUAUUUCUAGAUCCACAACACCUUACUAGCAUGACUUCAAUAUUACCACAACCACAACUCAAAACUAAUUGAGAUGAAUCAAACUUCUCUAACUAUUCAAUGCACAUGAAGGUGGAAGUUUCCGUAUCCCUUUGGAUAACUACCCCUUUUGAUACUACUUUCAAAGCAUAGAUCAACUACCAUGCCACGCACUGCUAUGCUCGAAAAGAUAUAAGUGAAGCACAUAGAGCAAAAGUAUCUAGCUCAAAAGAUAUAAGUGAAGCACAUGUGAGCUGAAUUGUCUACCAAAAGAUAUAAGUGAAGCUCGACAAAAUCACGGUGAGUGCAUGUCUCUCUCUCUAGGUGUGCAGAAAGGAUUAUUGUGACACAACAAAAAUAAAAGACUCCUACGAUAAAAGACGCUCCAAGCAAAAACACAUAACAUGUGGUGAAUAAAAAUAUAGCCCCAAGUAACGUUACCGAUGGAUUGAAGACGAGAGAGGGGAUGCCUUCCCGGGGCAUCCCCAAGCUUAGGCUUUUACGGCAUCCUUGAAUCUCUUGGGGUGCCUUGGGCAUCCCCNNNNNNNNNNNNNNNNNNNNNNNNNNNNNNNNNNNNNNNNNNNNNNNNNNNNNNNNNNNNNNNNNNNNNNNNNNNNNNNNNNNNNNNNNNNNNNNNNNNNUAUCUACAAUACCAAAUAUAUAUACUAUGAAACUACAUUUCACAUUGGAUCUAAGAAUAUUUAUUUGGCAUUAUGAAGGUUGAUACUUUUUCUAUAAAUUUGGUCAAAGUAGAGAUACUUUGACUUUGGAUGAAGACUAAAAAGGACAAGAAGGACUAUAUAUGAAGUAGUAGUAGAAUCCGGUGUUGAACUAGCUCUGUCUUUUGGUUGUCCGAUGCAAUGUAAUGAACUUCCCAUCCCAUUUGGUUGUUCGAUGCCAUGUAUGGCAUACUCAUCUAAUGUUUCAUGUCACUAGUAGAAAAUAGGGCUUUGGUCCACUUGAUGAAAUCCCAUUAAUCCCGGUUCACUCAUGGACCGGGACCUAUGUGGUGAUAGGUCCCGGUUCGUGAGGCCAGGGCACCGGCCGGGCCUUGUGGGCCAUUUGUCUUGGUUCGUUUGUCACCUUCGGUCCCGGUUCCAGACACGAACCGGGACCAAUGUGCCUCGCUCCUGGCCCACAACUAGUAGUCCCAGUUUGUGGCUGGAACCGAGACCUUAGGUUGUCCUUUGGUCUCUGUUCCAGCCAAUAACUGGGACCAACGAUUGGCCUACAUAUACCCUCGCGAGCAGAGAAGUGCACUGCUCUGUUUUUUCGGCCGGCCAUGGGAGAGCUUUGUGGUGCUCUAGCUCACCUCCUAUGCACAUGAGGUGUUCAAUGAAAUGCCCGAGCCAUACUUAAGCUUUCUCCUUUAGAAGCUCCUUGUCCAAACUCCAUUUUCAUCAAGAUUUGUGUAGUUUUUAAUACACUUUGUUAUAUAACGCACGCAGAUGAACCUUCAAUGGAUGUACGGUGACCGACGCACCUCCGAGUAUAUUAAUGGCCUGCAUAAUUUUCUCGAAGCGGCUAAGGCAAACAAGCAGAAUGGUUUUAUGCAUUGUCCAUGUACUGUCUGUGGGAAUACAAAGGAAUUCUCCGACUAUAAAAUCCUUCACCUGCUUUAGAAGGGUUUUAUGCCACACUAUAAUGUUUGGACAAAGCACAGAGAAAGAGGGGUUAUGAUGGAAGACAACGUAGAAGAAGAGGAUGAUGACAACUACCCGGCCCCCUGAAUAUGGUGAUGCUGCAAUGGGGGAAGCUGAAGAUCAAGAUGAACCAGACGAUGUGCCCAAUGAUGAUCUUCGUCGGUUCAUUGUUGAUGCACAUAGACAAUGCGGAAGUGAAAGGGAAAAGUUGAAGUUCGAUCACAUGUUAGAGGAUCACAAACAAGGGUUGUAUCCAAAUUGCGAAGAUGACAACACAAAGCUCGGUACCACACUGGAAUUGCUGCAAUGGAAGGCACACAAUGGUGUAUCUCAUAAGGCAUUUAGUUCGCUAAUGAAGUUAAUGAAGAAGAAGCUUCCAAAGGAUAACAAAUUGCCCGACAGUACAUAUGAAUCGAAGAAGGUUCUAUGCCCUCUAGGAUUGGAGGUGCAGAAGAUACAUGCAUGCCGUAAUGACUACAUCCUCUACCGUGGUGCAUACGAGGAUUUGAACGCAUGCCCAGUAUGCGGCACAUUGCGGUAUAAGAUCAGAUGAGAUGACCCUGGUGAUGUUGAGGGCCAGCGCACCAGGAAGAUGGUUCCUGCCAAGGUGAUGUGGUAUGCUCCUAUAAUACCACGGUUGAAACAUAUGUUUAGAAACAAAAAGCAGGCCGAGUUGAUGCAAUGGCAUAUAAAAGACCGUAAGAAAGACGGAAAGUUGAGAGCACCCGCUGACGGGUCGCAAUGGAGAAAGAUCGAGAGGAAGUGAAGCAACUUUACACGUGACCCAAGGAAUGCAUGGUUUGGUUUAAGUGCAGAUGGCGUUAAUCCUUUUGGGGAGUAGAGCAGCAAGCAUAGCACAUGGCCUGUGACUCUAUGUAUGUAUAACCUUCCUCCUUGGUUGUGCAUGAAGCGGAAGUUUAUUAUGACGCCAGUGCUCAUCCAAGGCGCUAGGCAACCCGACAAAUACAUUGAUGUGUACCUAAGGCCAUUAGUUGAUGAACUUUUACAACUAUGGAAUGGAAAUGGUGUACGUGUGUGGGAUGAGAACGAACAGGAGGAAUUUGAUCUACAUGCGUUGCUGUUUGUAACCAUCAACGUUUGGCCUGCUCUCAGUAACCUUUCAGGACAGACAAACAAGGGAUACAACGCAUGCACACACUAUUUAGAUGACACCAACAGUAUAUAUUUCGACAAAUGCAGGAAGAAUGUGUACAUGGGGCAUCAUCGAUUUCUUCCGACCAACCAUCAAUGUCGAAAGAAAGGAAAGCAUUUCAAAGGUGAGGCAGAUCACCAGAAGAAGCCCGCCCUCCGUACUGGUGAUCACAUACUUGAUAUGGUCAAUGAUUUACAAGUAACCUUUGGAAAGGGUCUUGGCGGACUAUCUGUUCCGAAUGACGAUGCGGGACACGCACCCAUGUGGAAUAAGAAAUCUAUAUUUUGGGACCUACCCUAUUGGAAAUACCUAGAGGUACGCUCUGCAAUCGACGUGAUGCACAUGACGAAGAAUCUUUGCGUGAACCUGCUAGGCUUCUUGGGAGUGUAUGGUAAGACAAAAGAUACAUCGGAGGCACGGGAGGAACAUCAACGUGUGCAUGAAAAAGACGACAUGCAACCAGAGCAGUAUGAAGGUCCUGCCAGCUACGCUCUUACCAAAGAAGAGAAGGAAAUCUUCUUUGAAUGCCUGCUCAGUAUGAAGGUCCCGUCUGGCUUCUCGUCGAAUAUAAAGGGAAUAAUAAACAUGGCAGAGAAAAAGUUUCAGAACCUAAAGUCUCAUGACUGCCACGUGAUUAUGACACAACUGCUUCGGGUUGCAUUGAGGGGACUUCUACCGGAAAACGCUCGAUUAGCCAUUGUGAAGCUAUGUGCAUUCCUCAAUGCAAUCUCUUAGAAGGUGAUCGAUCCAGGAAUCCUGCCAAGGUUAAGGAGUGAUUUGGUGCAAUGUCUUGUUAGUUUCGAGCUGGUGUUCCCACCAUCCUUCUUCAAUAUCAUGACGCACAUCCUAGUUCAUCUAGUCGACGAUAUUGUCGUUCUGGGCCGUGUAUUUUUACACAAUAUGUUCCUCUUUGAGAGGUUCAUGGGAGUCUUAAAGAAAUAUGUUCGUAGCCGCGUUAAGCCAGAAGGAAGAAUCUCCAUGGGCCAUCAAACAGAGGAUGUCAUUGGACUUUGUGUUGACUUCAUUCCUGACCUUAAGAAGAAUGGUCUCCCUCAAUCGCGGUAUGAGGGGAGACAGACUGGAAAAGGCACACUAGGAGCGGAGUCAAUAAUGUGUACGGACGGGCAUUCUUGGUCUCAAGCACACUACACAGUUCUACAGAAUUCUACCUUGGUGACCCCGUAUGUCGAUGAACACAAGAAUAUUCUGAGCUCCAUACACCCGGAGUAGUGUGACAACUGGAUUACAUUUGAACACAUCAGGACUUUCAAUAGUUGGUUGCAAAAACGUCUUAUGUGUGACAACACCGUUUCUGAUGAGUUGUACUCCUUGGCCAGGGGACCAUCUUCGACUGUAUUGAGUUACCAAGGGUACGAGAUAAAUGGGAAUACAUUUUACACGAUCACCCAAGAUCAAAAGAGCACCAACCAAAACAGCGGUGUCCGCUUUGAUGCAGCAACCGAGAGGGGAAAGGACACAUAUUAUGGUUACAUAGUGGACAUAUGGGAACUUGACUAUGGACAUGAUUUGAAGGUCCCUUUGUUUCAUUGCAAAUGGGUCAAUCUGUCAGGAGGCGAGGUACAGAUAGACCCACAGUAUGGAAUGACAACAGUGGAUCUGAACAAUCUUGCACACGGAGAGGAACCAUUCGUCCUAGCCAAUGAUGUGGCGCAGUUUUCUAUAGGAAGGACAUGUCUACCAAACCGAGAAUAUGAAAAUAUAAGGAAGCGAAUACAUCAUACGAUGAGCCAAAGCACCACAUAGUUCUUUUAGGAAAAAGAGACAUCGUGGGAUUGUAGGGCAAGACAGACAUGUCUGAAGAUUAUGAAAAGUUUCAUGAAAUUCAUCCCUUCAAAGUCAAGGCUGACCCAAGCACCCUAUUAAACGAUGAAGAUUAUCCACGCUUACGGUGAAAUAAGAAAGGAACACAAGAGAAGAAAAAGUGAAGAAAUGAAAUGCCCUUUGUAACAGAUGAGUUUUCCUAUGAAAUCCUCAUACUUCGAAAGAGAUUGUCUGUUUUGUACACGAAGUGCAUCCAGUUUUUGCCGCAACCCUCUCAACUUUUUAGCACAUGUUAUGUGGGUGAAAUGAUGAUACCAUGCCAACUUUCAACCUUUUCAGAGUUCAUUUGUAGUGCUUUUCAAUUUAAGGGUCAUUUAGCUUAAAAAUCACUAAAUGCAUGAAAAAUACCAAAUGAAGUGAGAAAUAGUUAAAAAUUGAUGAUGUGUCUUUGAAUGGUGCAUUUUGAACACACAAAAAGUCUGGAGUUCAAAUAAGUUCAAAAAAAUGAANNNNNNNNNNNNNNNNNNNNNNNNNNNNNNNNNNNNNNNNNNNNNNNNNNNNNNNNNNNNNNNNNNNNNNNNNNNNNNNNNNNNNNNNNNNNNNNNNNNNGUGAGAUCUGAAGGCGGAAAGUGCAGCGAAGUAAAACAGUAAGGCUGAAAAUAUGGUGUGAAGUAGACCCGGGGGCCAUAGUGUUCACUAGAGGCUUCUCUCAAAAUAGCAAAUAUUACGGUGGGUGAACAAAAUACUGUCGAGCAAUUGAUAGAACCGCCCAAAGUCAUGACGAUAUCUAAGGCAAUGAUCAUACAUAUAGGCAUCACGUCCGAGACAAGUAGACCGAUACUUUCUGCAUCUACUACUAUUAUUCCACACAUCGACCACUAUCCAGCAUGCAUCUAGUGUAUUGAGUUCAUGACGAACAGAGUAACGCCUUAAGCAGGAUGACAUGAUGUAGAGGGAUAAACUCAAACCAAUGAUUAAAACCCCAUCUUUUUCCCCUUGAUGCCAAUAACACCAUGCGUGCCUCGCUACCCCUUCUGUCACUGGGUCAGGUCACCACACGGUAUGAACCCAAAACCAAGCACUUAUCCCAUUGCAAGAAUCAUAGAUCAAGCCGGCCAAACAAAACCCACAACUCGAAGAGAAUUACAAGGAUAUGAAAUCAUGCAUAAGAGAUAUCAGAAGAAACUCGAAUAAGAUCCAUAGAUAAUCUGAUCAUAAAUCCACAAUUCAUCGGAUCUCGACAAACACACCGUAAAAGAAGAUUUCAUCGGAUAGAUCUCCAUGAAGAUCAUGGAGAACUUUGUAUUGGAGACCGAAGAGAGAGAAGAGGCCAUCUAGCUACUAGCUAUGGACCCGUAGGUCCAUGGUGAAAUACUCAUGCAUCAUCGGAGAGGUCAUGGUGUUGAUGAAAAAGCCCUCCGUAUUUGAAUCCCCCCUCCGGCAGGGCACCAGAACGUGCCCCAGAUGGGAUCUUGCGGAGAUAGAAGCUUGCGGCGGCGGAAAAGUACUUUGGAUGAUCUCUUCAUUUUUUCUGGAAUUUUUAGGAAUAUAUAGGCGAAAGACCUAGGGCAGACGUGUGCUACUGCAACAGAAGACCUUCCAACAGCGCCAGAAACAAGCGUGCUGACUAUUCUUGUCUUGAUACUCCUAAGCAACGGCACCAGGAAUCCUUCUGCUACGGCUACGCCUUUAGGGACUUCCUUGGCAAAUAUGCAAAGGAUUCCCCCGUGGCCUUGGAGCCUUGCGUUGGUGUUCCCUCAAAGCGGAAAGGGUGAUGUAGCACAACGGCGGUAAGUAUUUCCCUUAGUUUUGAGAACCAAGGUAUCGAUCCAGUGAAGGAUUGCGUCCAGUCACAAGUACCUGCACAAACACAAAGAGCUUGCACCCAACGCUAUGANNNNNNNNNNNNNNNNNNNNNNNNNNNNNNNNNNNNNNNNNNNNNNNNNNNNNNNNNNNNNNNNNNNNNNNNNNNNNNNNNNNNNNNNNNNNNNNNNNNNNNNNNNNNNNNNNNNNNNNNNNNNNNNNNNNNNNNUUGAAAGCAAAAAGAAACAAAGCAAAGUAAAAGCAAAAGUUGAAACGAUAGGUAUGAAUAGACCCGGGGGCCGUAGUGUUCACUAGUGGCUUCUCUCAUGAAAGCAAGUCGACGGUGGGUGAACGAAUUACUGUCGAGGAAUUGAUUGAACCGCGCAAAGUCGUGACGUUAUCUAUGGCAAUGAUUAUAUCUAUAGGCAUCACGUCCAAAACAAGUAGACCGACACUUACUGCAUCUACUACUAUUACUCCACACGUCGAGCGCUAUCCAGCAUGCAUCUAGUGUAUUAAGUUCAUGAGAACAGAGUAACGCCUUAAGCAAGAUGACAUGAUGUAGAUGGACAAUCUCAAAUCUACGAUAACAGCCCAUCUUGUUACCCUUGAUGGCAACAACAUGAUGCGUGCCUUCCUGCCCCUUCUAUCACUGGGAAAGGUCACCACACGGUAUGAACCCAAAACCAAGCACUUCUCCCAUNNNNNNNNNNNNNNNNNNNNNNNNNNNNNNNNNNNNNNNNNNNNNNNNNNNNNNNNNNNNNNNNNNNNNNNNNNNNNNNNNNNNNNNNNNNNNNNNNNNNAAAAGCAACAAAGUAACAAAGAGAAGUAAAAGGGGAGGUGUAAACGAUGGGUGUGAAUAGACCCGGGGGCCGUAGUGUUUACUAGUGGCUUCUCUCAUGAAAGCAGGUAGACGGUGGGUGAACAAAUUACUUUCGAGCAAUUGAUAGAACCGCGCAAAGUCGUGACGAUAUCUAUGCAAUGAUUAUAUCUAUAGGCAUCACGUCCGAAACAAGUAGACCGAUACUUUCUGCAUCUACUACUAUUACUCCACAUGUCAACCGCUAUCCAGCAUGCAUCUAGUGUAUUAAGUCCAUAAGAACAGAGUAACGCCUUAAGCAAGAUGACAUGAUGUAGAGGGAUAAUCUCAAACCAAUGAUAAAAACCCCAUCUUUUUACCCUUGAUGGCAACUACUUGAUGUGUGCCUUGCUGCCCCUACUAUCACUGGGAAAGGUCAGCACAUGGUAGAACCCAAAACCAAGCACUUAUCCCAUUGCAAGAAUCAUAGAUCUAGUUGGCCAAACAAAACCCAAGACNNNNNNNNNNNNNNNNNNNNNNNNNNNNNNNNNNNNNNNNNNNNNNNNNNNNNNNNNNNNNNNNNNNNNNNNNNNNNNNNNNNNNNNNNNNNNNNNNNNNUGACCAGGGCGGGCUCGGGCUCUUCCACCACCCCUUGUUGAUGAGCGACCGAGGGAAGGAGCGGAGCCACAGCCUGGGAAGGCCAGUGGGAUGCGGGAGCACGCGAGGGCGGAAGGUGGGACGGUCGACGUCGCUGUUUUGUUCGGGAUGCUCCGAUAUGGUGAUGCUCGAGCACAUGCACAUGGAAGACACGCCGCGGACCACCACCGCCUUGUGAUUGAGCGCAUCAGUGCGCGACUGGCCCAUGAAGGGUUGGUGGCAGUACUCUAAUAGAUGUAGAGUGUGGCUAUGAACUCCUCUCGCGGCUUGGCAACGACACCGGACAAAGCGUGCAUCAGGUAUGUCCUAUCUUGCCACGGUUGUUGGUAAUACAACAUUUUCUCUUGGAUACAUUUCUCAACACUUGCCCUGUCGUCCCUAACGCGGGCACUGUCCAAGCUACUCCUCUCAUGCCCCAUAUCAGCCACGACGAUGGUGUUCGUCCACCUGCAGAAGUCGCCCAAUCAUCUGUGUCACCGUGUGUUCUCUCAGGUCAGCUUCUCUCUCUCUCUCUCNNNNNNNNNNNNNNNNNNNNNNNNNNNNNNNNNNNNNNNNNAGAUCUGGAGCGCCGCAUGCCGUGUACCUCUUGUUCGUCCACCUGCAGCAAUCGCCCAAUCAUCUGUGUCACUGUGUGUUCUCUCAGGUGAGCUUCUCUCUCUCUCUCGAGUUGGUACCUCUUGUUCCCCUUCAUUCACCCGUUUUGUGAGCCUGCAGUUUGAUGUGGACGACACGCCGCGGACCACCACCGCCUUGUGAUUGAGCGCAUCAGUGCACGACUGGCCCAUGAAGGGUUGGUGGCAGUACUCUAAUAGAUGUAGAGUGUGGCUAUGAACUCCUCUCACAGCUUGGCAACGACACCGGACAAAGCGUGCAUCAGGUACGUCCUAUCUUGUCGCGGUUGUUGGUAAUACAACAUUUGCUCUUGGAUACAUUUCUCAACACUUGCCGUGUCGUCCCUAACGCGGGCACUGUCCAAGCUACUCCUCUCAUGCCCCAUAUCAUCCACGACGAUGGUGUUCGUCCACCUGCAGCAGUCGCCCAAUCAUCUGCGUCACUGUGUGUUCUCUCAAGUGAGCUUCUCUCUCUCUCGAGUUGGUACCUCUUGUUCCCCUUCAUUCACCCGUUUUGUGAGCCUGCAGUUUGAUGUGUGCACUUGUGAUUUUUUCUUUGCAUGAAGUUAGCACAUGGGAUGGAUCUGGCGUGAUGGAUUUAGCUCAGCCGAAGAUGAUUCUAGGUAAUCUAUUUGUAUAUGGCAAGGUAAAAUGUUCUUAUCCAUUACUGUUCCAAUGGCAGGGAAGGAUGACCUUAGUCUAAUUAUGGCAAAUAGGUGGACUAUUGAGUUGCUGAUGUCUGAGUGUGAGUAAUUUUUUGCCUAUGUGUUUGAUUUGCAAACUCGUUCGAUACAUUUAUCUCUCCACUGUUAUUCUGAAUAAUUGCAUGUUGUUAUAAAUUUCAAGUUUGCUUCUUCACUAUAAAUCUUCCAAUUUCUUUUUACAAGAAUCUUGCAUACACAGAAAAGUGAGGCUUUGACAAGGGAUUACGUGUGGACCAUCUCGAACUCAAUGAAUAUGUAUGCUCCUUCUGUUAUAUUCUUGAUUGUUUUUCUUGUUAGUUAGCAUAAAAGAUUUCUAUCGUCUUGUUGAAUUUGUUAAUAAUUAGAAAAUGAUUACAUUUUUCUGAUUAAAUUUUAGUGAUGCUUAGUUUGCCAUGCUGUGGAAGGUGGAGGCAGUCUCGAUGUGGAUGGGUGAAAGGUAAAGGUUGAGGGAACGAGGGCGUCGAAGGAUCCACCAAAGUUGCCAUUGUAGUUGACCACGCCACCGGCGGUGUGUCAGACCUUUGUUGCCUCUGCAGGGAAGGGCAGAAGGCCUGCACCGCCAUGGAUCCUGUCCCAUCAUCUUGAGCACUUGUCGGUAUUGCCAUAUUGCAGAUUAUCUCUGAGGGAAGUUACAUUAUUUUCCCGUUAAUUCAGAUAUAUUAAUAUGUCCAGAUGUAAUUCCAAAUAUCUUAUGUUAGGCAAAGCUUCUAAAAUCAGUGAAGCUCUAGAGCUACUAAGGACUGGUUAAAUCAGUAAAGUUUUACAAUAUCUGCAUGAGUGGUUAUAACAUAGCACAUGUUAUUUGGUACUUCACUAUGUGGUAUCCUUUUUUUUAAUCUUGAUUAUUGAGUCAACAUAUUGAUUGUGGGCUUAUAUACUGCCAAACUGGCCUUCUUAUUCUGUCAUCCAAUUCAUGCAAAAUUCACGCUCACCAUGACAAAGGCCUAAUUUGUUAGCUGAUGUAGUUUUCUAAUUGUGUGCUCUUCAUUUGUAGUUGCCAAGUCUUAAAAUAUUUGUAGUGACGUAACUUUUUUUCUUCAUAUCAGCAGGAUUUUAGAUAGCAUUUUUUAAUGCUAACUGAAGUAAUAAACAAAUUAGCUUAGAAGUCAGUGUAAAGUGCUUAAGAGGAUUUUUUUUUCUCUGCACUAACAAAAUUUGAUGGCAAUUCUUGUGAACUGAUCAAAGGUCAGGUUUCAAAAGGUAUGCAUUUUUUUCAUCAUUCUCAGUAUCAUAAAUCAAUUUUGCACAUACAUAUGAUGAAUAUGAUUGCUCAUUUUCCUUUCAUGGUAAAGAAAUCUAUGUGGCGUUACAUGUCAGAUGAUACAUAUAGGAAUUCAUCCUACAACUGAACCUUUUAUUAUAUGACACAUUAGGAAAAUAUGCUUUCUACUUUUUUAUAUUUGCUUCCAAGAGGUUUAGUCAAUUGUUAAUCCGUUCCCUGCAUUAAUUUGUAAGGCUCUAAAGCCACGUUUUUCAAGCUGAAACAAUAAAGGCUAACAUGUCAGAUGAUACAUAUAGGAAUUCAUCCUACAACUGAAAUUUACUGGAUUAUUAUCUCGAUCUUCAGUUCUUCUGAUAUAUUUUUCACGAUCCAAGUGUUAGGAACAAAGAGUCUAAGAAGAAGCAUCAUAUUCCAAUGUUGAUAUUUUAUUCAAGCAUCAAUAAUACUCCUUCUUCUCUAUUAUAUGAUGGCAUCAGGCUAAUUCUUUUUUCAAUGAACAACUACAAUGUGCAACACGAAACAUAGACCGGGACCUGAUGAUGGUGCUCCGGAGGCAAUGAGCUAGCACUGGGUUCACGUGCGAUCAUAGUUUGAGAAACUUAGCGAUCCUUCAAGUGCAUUGUGUCAAAAGAUUGUCGUGGUCCUGCUCUUCUACACUGCCCACAAGAGACAAUAGAUGACCAUGUUGUCAAUUCCAAACGGGAGCUCAUGUAGAGGAGCAGCAAAAGCAUGUCACACAUGCUCUAAUGUGGUUGUACGAACAACGUCUAUGCCAGCAAUGAUAUCUAUGUCAAGAAGAGUGGCAACUGUGGGAACCCAAUCAGAAGGUGGUUUAGACUCUCUUUAGCCGAUGUACGUUGCGCUCCACACAAGUGCGUCUGCAUUUUUUCCCUUGCACUCCUAGAGGGAUCAAGACACAUAGAAUUAGAAAUGAGAUGGUAGGCCUGAAAAUGUAAGAACUAAAGAAAUAUAUCCCCUUUCCUGUAUCUCUUCUCGAGAUGAAACAAUGUUUUUGCAAUAUUAUUUCCUGUAAAAUCUCAUAUUGAAAUAAUCUUGUAGACUUUAGUAUUGCAAGGUGUAAGAUGUUGAUUGCGAGUUGCAAAUCUUACACCAAGAGGUGGUAUCUCUCAGAAAAGUAUCCUUGUUUUUUCUCCUUUUUAUUUCUUGUGUUCUGUAUAUCCAAUGCUUUCACUACCUGAUUUGUUGGAAUUACUACCUUCGUACCAAAAUAGACCAUACUUGGCACGGCCUUCAUUAUUCAUAUUAAAGGCAGAAAUUUCCAAGUUUGAUACAACACGAAGUUGACGAUGGAGACACAAUGAAGUGGGAUGGCAUUAAAUUAGAGAGAAAGAAGAACAUGAGGCGUGAUAUGGCGAAAGGUCGGGAGAGAAAAACAAGCUUUGAUGUACCGAUUUGGUAGAACAUUGCAUGCACAUUACUGUCCCCACAGUUUUACGGAGUAUAAAAGUCGAUUGAUUAGCCUAUACGUUGGUUUUAUGACCUUCAAGGAAGAUGUGGAGGUUGCUAAAUAGGAGGGAGGAAGACACCAUAUUUAUGAAUAAAUUGUCAGAAAAAAAUGAUAUUAAUUUUUCCUGUGGCAACACACGGGCAAUCAACUAGUUGUGGUAGUGUUACCUUCUAUUUUUAUUUUUGUCUUCUACUCGCUGAUUUGAACUUGGUUCACAUUUAAUAAAACGGUUGUGCCAAAAAUGGGUGGUUGCAUAAAUGCCUUGCAAAGGCUCAUUUGAGAACAAACAUAAAUAGUUCCAAUUUAGAAGAAGAAACUAAAGAUGCAAUCGCAACAUCGUUGAUAGUACUAGUAGCAGUGAUCUACCAGAUAUGGUGUUCACCAAUCAAUGAGGCAUGACAUGUCGUGUUCAUAGUGACCUAUUGUAUUGGUAGUGUGGUACAAGAAGAGUAGCAAACAUAUCUGAAGAUGAAUCACCAACAUUUAUACUGCCAAAAAAUGACAACAAUAAAUGUAAUCUCGUGAAUGAACCUAGCACAGAUCAAACAAAUCAUAAUAGAGGUCGUGAGUCCAUUAUAGCCAGUUCAGUUCAAAGGCAGCAGUCCUAUUCAAAAGCUACAACAACAAAAAAGACCUGCAUAUUUCAGGAAAUAUAUCCCUCUCGUGAAUUGAGAAACAGUUACAGGCCACACUAAUACACAACUAGAUAAAUCACUAUGGUAUGCAUCAACUGACAUUUUACCGAUCUCCAUUAGUGUAAUAUAACAUGAACUUUUCUCACCAGCCUAGUAUUAGUUUUGGUAACUCACCAUGUUGGAUGGAGAUGCCAGAGACAUGGGUUCAGUGACAGUUCGCCUGAGUCAUGGUGGUCCUAUAGGCUAUGGUGGACAAGCUUAGUUGGUUAAUUUUUUCUAUCUCUUACUUUCUUACUCCAAAAUAAAGCAAAGUAGACAAAGGAAGAACAAAAAUACCAUGUGUUUGAAUAAACGACUUAACAGGAGGGGGCUCGGUGCACAGGAAUGAGAGUGGGCGUUGUCAUCACACCACCACUCCAGACCUCCACCAUGGUCAACAAUACAGCCACCUUAACGCGGCCACAGACGUCACUACAACUAUAUCACAAUUAGUAUGCGAACGGUCAAAUAAUAAAUUAUUGUUAAAGCCAAAGUGUGCAUACCAAAGAAAAAAAUCCAAAUGUUUCCUUACCGUUUCAGUUCUUGCAGUUUGAGAGAAUAGUUGCCCUUAAAAAAGAGUAAAAUUAAGCACAUACAAACAAACUGAUAGGAGCUGGCCUCCUACCAGGGCGUAGACGUAGGUUAUAUGGGUGGCUGGGGGAUUGGCGAAGCAGUAGGCGUGAGCGACGGCGCCGCAGCGCCAUGGUCGCGAGAUGGAGAAGGCCGCCCACGACGGCUAGGGUUUAGGGUUGCCGGGCAGAAGCCGAGCAAAUAAAUUUGCUUCUUCUUAAUCUCAGAAUAGGUCUUUACAUGAGUAUAUAUAAUCUCAUAGCUAGAUAAACAUACGAUAACUGGGCUAAGCCCGUAACUAUGAUAAGUGGGCUAAUCCCCUAAUUACUGUUGGGUCGGCGGCGGCUAUAAGUAGCCCCGGUCAUAACAUCUCUCCCCGCCUGCGCAAACGGCUCGUCCUCGAGCUGAAGUCUGGAAACUGAUGACGAAAUUCCUCGAGCUGCUCCGAAGUGGCGUCCUCCUCGGAAAGGCCUUGCCACUGAAUCAGAAGUCGCCAAACGUCACGGCUCAGCUGAGCCCGCAACACCUUCUGUGGAACUGGAAGUAGGCGACCUUUGGCAGCUGUCGGAAGGACCGGCGAAGAUGUCGGUGGCUCGCCGCGGAAAGGCUUGAGCAGCCCCACAUGGAAGACAUCUUGGAUACGGGCGCCCGACGGCAAUUGUAGUCGGUAGGCCAUGCUGCCGACGCGCUCCACCACCAGAAACGGCCCGAUGUAACGUGGCCCGAGCUUGCGCUUGGCGCGCAGGUCAAGCAAGUGAGUGGUGCAGUGGAGAAGGCGCAGCCACACCCAAUCGCCUACCGCAAACUCUACAUCACGAUGAUGGGCGUCAUAGUAAUUCGUGGACAGCUGUUGUGCUUGGAGAAGACGUUGACGCACUACCNNNNNNNNNNNNNNNNNNNNNNNNNNNNNNNNNNNNNNNNNNNNNNNNNNNNNNNNNNNNNNNNNNNNNNNNNNNNNNNNNNNNNNNNNNNNNNNNNNNNGGCAUGCAAGCUUGCUCCCAACGCUAUGAAGGGGUUGUCAAUCCCUUAUAGAUUGUUUGCCAAGUGAGAACUAAAAGCAACAAAGUAACAAAGAGAAGUAAAAGGGGAGGUGUAAACGAUGGGUGUGAAUAGACCCGGGGGCCGUAGUGUUUACUAGUGGCUUCUCUCAUGAAAGCAGGUAGACGGUGGGUGAACAAAUUACUUUCGAGCAAUUGAUAGAACCGCGCAAAGUCGUGACGAUAUCUAUGCAAUGAUUAUAUCUAUAGGCAUCACGUCCGAAACAAGUAGACCGAUACUUUCUGCAUCUACUACUAUUACUCCACAUGUCAACCGCUAUCCAUCAUGCAUCUAGUGUAUUAAGUCCAUAAGAACAGAGUAAUGCCUUAAGCAAGAUGACAUGAUGUAGAGGGAUAAUAUCAAACCAAUGAUAAAAACCCCAUCUUUUUACCCUUGAUGGCAACUACNNNNNNNNNNACCAAUGAUAAAACCCCAUCUGUUUACCCUUGAUGGCAACUACUUGAUGUGUGCCUUGCUGCCCCUAUUGUCACUAGGAAAGGUCACCACAUUGUAGAACCCAAAACCAAGCACUUCUCCCAUUUCAAGAAUCAUAGAUCUAGUUGGCCAAACAAAACCCAAGACUUGGAGAGACUUACAAGGAUAUCAAAUCAUGCAUAUAAGAAAUCAGCAAANNNNNNNNNNCCCGUACUAUCACUGGGAAAGGUCAGCACAUGGUAGAACCCAAAACCAAGCACUUAUCCCAUUGCCAAAAUCAUAGAUCUAGUUGGCCAAACAAAACCCAAGACUCNNNNNNNNNNNNNNNNNNNNNNNNNNNNNNNNNNNNNNNNNNNNNNNNNNNNNNNNNNNNNNNNNNNNNNNNNNNNNNNNNNNNNNNNNNNNNNNNNNNNCGAGUAUGUGAAAGCUCUUAAAGAAAACUAGUGGGUGUGCAUCCAACUUGCUUGCUCACGAAGACCUAAGGCAAUUUUGAGGAAGCCUAUCAUUGGANNNNNNNNNNNNNNNNNNNNNNNNNNNNNNNNNNNNNNNNNNNNNNNNNNNNNNNNNNNNNNNNNNNNNNNNNNNNNNNNNNNNNNNNNNNNNNNNNNNNNNNNNNNNNNNNNNNNNNNNNNNNNNNNNNNNNNNNNNNNNNNNNNNNNNNNNNNNNNNNNNNNNNNNNNNNNNNNNNNNNNNNNNNNNNNNNNNNNNNNNNNNNNNNNNNNNNNNNNNNNNNNNNNNNNGUGUUUUAUAUUAUUUUUUUGGUGGGCUCUUUGGCCUCUUUUUUUUGGUGGGCUUCUUUGGCCUCUUUUAUUUCCUCACAUGGGACAAUGNNNNNNNNNNUAAAUCAUGCAUAUAAGAAAUCAGCAAAGACUCAAAUAUAUAUAUCAUAGAUAAUCUGAUCACAAAUCCACAAUUCAUCGGAUCUUGACAAACACACCGCCAAAGAAGAUUACAUCAGAUAGAUCUCCAUGAAGAUCAUGGAGAACUUUGUAUUGAAGAUACAAGAGAGAGAAGAAGCAAUCUAGCUACUAACUACGGACCCGUAGGUCAGAAGUGAACUACUCAUGAGUCAUUGGAGGGGCGAUGAUGAUGAUGAAGAAGCCCUCCAACUCCAAAGUCCCCUCCGACAGGGUGCCGGGAAGGGUCUCCAGAUGAGAUCUCGCGGAAACGGAAGCUUGCGGCAGCGGAAAAGUAUUUUCGAGGCUCCCCUCAUUUUUUGCGGAAUAUUUGGGAAUAUAUAGGCCCAUGAUCUAGGCCAGGUGGCGGUCAGGGAGGCCACAAGCCUGCCCACCGCCGCUUCCCCCUGGUGGCGGAGUGGGGGCUUGUGGGCUCCCUGGAGCCCACCUGGCUUGGCCCAAGGGCCCCGUGAUCUUCUUCCGUUCGGGAAAAAAAUCAUUUCGGGGUUUUUCUUCCGUUUGGACUCCGUUCCAAAAUCAGAUCUGAAAAGAGUCAAAAACACGGAAAAAACAGGAACUGGCACUUGGCACUGAAUUAAUAAGUUAGUCCCAAAAAACAUAUAAAAGGUACAUAAAACAACCAAAGACGACAAGAGAACAGCGUGAAACCAUCAAAAAUUAUAGAUACGUUUGAGACGUAUCAAGCAUCCCCAAGCUUAACUCCUGCUCGUCCGCGAGUAGGGAAGUGAUAAAGAAUGAAUUAUUGAUGCUUUCAUGCUACCUAGCGAGGUGUCCUUUGUAAUUCCUCUUAUGUGACGCGAAUGUUCAGAUCCAUUAGAUUCAAAACAAUACUUUUCUAUUGACGUGGAAACAAUAAUAAUUCAAGCAAACUAGCAAGGUAAUCAUGAACUUUCAAAAUAACAAGGCCAAAAGAAAGUUAUCCCUACAAAAGCAUAUAGUCUGGCUAUGCUCUAUCAUCAUUGCACAACGAAUUUAAAUCAUGCACAACCCCGGUAUUGGCAAUGUAAUUGUUUCACACCUUUACUUUCUCAAACCUUUUCAACUCUCACGCAAUACAUGAGCGUUAGCCAUGGUUAUAGCACUAUAGAUGGUGUGGAAUGUAGUGGAGGUUGCAAGACAAAAAAGGAGAAGAUAAUCACAUUAACUAGGCAUAUCAAUGAGCUGUGGAGAUGCUCAUCAAUAGAUAUCAAUGUGAAUGAGUAGGGAUUGCCAUACAAAUGAUGCACUAGAGCUAUGAAAAUGUGAAAGCUCUUAAAGGAAACUAGUGGGUGUGCAUCCAACUGGCUUGCUCACGAAGACCUAAGGCAAUUUUGAGGAAGCCUAUCAUUGGAAUAUACAAGCCAAGUUACAUAAUGAAAAUUUCCCACUAGUUAUAUGGUGGUGACAAAACGAGAGACUCUCAAUCAUGAAGAUCAUGGUGCUUAAUAUGCACAAGUGUGGAAAAAGUGGUAGCAUUGUCCCUGCUCUCUUUUUCUCUCAUUUUCUUUUUAUUUUUUUGGUGGGCUCUUUGGCCUAUUUUUUUUAUUUUGGUGGGCUUCUUUGGCCUCUUUUAUUUCCUCACAUGGGACAAUGCUCCUGUAAUGAUGAUCAUCACACUUUCAACUCAAAACUUAGAGCAACUAUGACUCUAUAUGGAAUGCCUUCGGUAGUGUACCGUGGCAAUGAUCUAGCAUGGCAUAGACAUCAAUGGAAACAUCAUGCUAGCUAUCUUACGAUCAUGCAAUGGCAAUGUAGACAUGGUGGCACAUGUCAUGGCGGUAGUUGCAUGGCAAUAUAUCUCAGAAUGACUUUGAAAAAGCCAUAAUAGGUUGGUAUGGUGGCUGUUUUGAGGGAGGCUAAUGGUGGGUUUUGUACACCGGCGAAAGUUGCACGGCACUAAGAAGAUAGUGAUGGUGGAAGGUGAAAGUGCAUCUAAACCAUGGACUCAACAUUAGUCAUGAAGAACUCAUAUACUUGUUGCAAAAGUUUUAUUAGUAAUCGAAACAAAGCAUUCAACGCAUACUCCUAGGGGAAGGGUUGGUAGGUAUAAACCAUCGCGCGAUCCCGACCGCCAUGCAAAGGAUGAUAAUCAAUAUACUAAUCAUGCUCAGAUUUCAUCACAUAGAGGUUCACCAUACGAUGCAUGCUACGGGAAUCAGUAACUUCAACACAAGUAUUUCUAGAUCCACAACACCUUACUAGCAUGACUUCNNNNNNNNNNCGCAAAGGAUGACAAUCAAUAUACUAAUCGUGCUAAGAUUUCAUCACAUAGCGGUUCACCAUAAGUGCAUGCUACGGGAAUCACUAAAUUCAACACAAGUAUUUCUAGAUCCACAACACCUUACUAGCAUGACUUCAAUAUUACCAUAACCACAACUCAAAACUAAUUGAGAUGAAUCAAACUUCUCUAACUAUUCAAUGCACAUGAAGGUGGAAGUUUCCGUAUCCCUUUGGAUAACUACCCCUUUUGAUACUACUUUCAAAGCAUAGAUCAACUACCAUGCCACGCACUGCUAUGCUCGAAAAGAUAUAAGUGAAGCACAUAGAGCAAAAGUAUCUAGCUCAAAAGAUAUAAGUGAAGCACAUGUGAGCUGAAUUGUCUACCAAAAGAUAUAAGUGAAGCUCGACAAAAUCACGGUGNNNNNNNNNNUCGUAUCCCUUUGGAUAACUACCCCUUUUGAGACUACUUUCAAAGCAUAGAUCAACUACCAAGCCACGCACCGCUGUGCUCUAAAAGAUAAAAGUGAAGAACAUAGAGUAAAAGUAUCUAGCUCAAAAGAUAUAAGUGAAGCACAUGUGAGGUGAAUUGUCUACCAAAAGAUAUAAGUGAAGCUCGACAAAAUCACGGUGAGUGCAUGUCUCUCUCUCUAGGUGUGCAGAAAGGAUUAUUGUGACACAACAAAAAUAAAAGACUCCUACGAUAAAAGACGCUCCAAGCAAAAACACAUAACAUGUGGUGAAUAAAAAUAUAGCCCCAAGUAACGUUACCGAUGGAUUGAAGACGAGAGAGGGGAUGCCUUCGCGGGGCAUCCCCAAGCUUAGGCUUUUACGGCAUCCUUGAAUCUGUUGGGGUGCCUUGGGCAUCCCCAAGCUUGAGCUCUUGCCACUCUUUAUCUUUUUGUCCAUGAGAGCUUCACCCAAAACUUGAAAACUUCACAACACGAAACUUAAACAGAAACUCGUGAUAACAUUAGUACAAGAAAGCAACCUUAAAUUAUACUUGUGCUUAUGUUGGGUUACUGUACUUUCAAUCUUCAAUGGCUAAUACCCCCAUACUAUCCAUAGUUUCAUCAAAAUAAGCAACCAACACAAGAAAAACAGAAUCUGUUAACAGCAGACCAGUCUGUAGCAAUCUGUAUAUUUCGUAAACCUCUGGUACUUCAAAAAUUCGGAAAAAUUACGACAGUCUGAAGAAUUUGCAUAGAAAUCAGCAGCAAAAAUAAUCAACUCAAAAACUUUUACAAAAAAAAAA